UGUUAUCCCGUGUUUACGCUUUCUGUACUCUGUGCUUGUCUUCAUUUCAUCAUGAUGACCGUGCUUGUGUUCUGCUAUGCAUACUUUUGAGUACUUAUUCCGCUGCAAGUAGUUCUUCGCUAAGGAAUUUCCUCACUGGCAAAUUCCUCAGUGAAGAAUUCAUAAAAAUCGCCUAUUCACCCCCCUCUAGUCGAUAUAACGCACUUUCAAUCUUGGAUCACUAAAAGUAAACUGUAGAGUCUUGAGCAUUACAGCUUGAGCCAAUCUUUUGUCCUUAGCUUUUUGAGGGGUCCACAUUUCUAAUCCAUGCCAUGCCAAUCAUUGAACUUUCCUGAAAUAUUCAUCUUGAAAUAGCAUUAGCUCAAUGAGCUAUAUGUUAUUAAUAAUUACCAAAACCACCUAGGGAUAGUUACACUUUCGAUUUCCCCCUUUUUGGUAAUUGAUGACAACAUAUAGAUCAAAGCUUCGACAAAUGAUAAUAAGAUUGAAGUACCUCGUCGCUUUGAGAGGUAUGUGAUAAGCAAGAGCUCCCCCUAAAUUUGUGCAUUAUUUAAGAUUUGCUUUUGAAUGCAAAUGCACAAUCGAUUAGGAUCAUGGGUUACUCUUCCAUGUCACAUACAUCUUGGUGGAGCGCUCAAAAUGAUAUAAAUUAAAAGCAUGCACUCGUCACCAAGCAAAGUGAAUGAUCAUAUAUGGAUAUAAAGGAUAAUAUCAUCCAAGCAAGCAUUAAAGUAGCAUAUGAUCAAACACAUGAUCAUACAAGUAUCUCACACAAGGACAUAAAGUAUAAACCAAGCACACAAUAAAGUUCAACCAAAAGCAAGAGAGAUAAAAGACAAAACACACUCUCUCAAAGCCUAUGAUCUAUACAUAUUUCUCCCCCUUUGGCAACAAGUUACCAAAAUUUUGAAAGUGCAUAGAGCUAUGCGUCUCUCAAGCUUGGUCUUCGAGAGGUGGUGUAGAGAGAACUGCUAGGACGAAGGCAUCAGUUGAUGUUGUUGGAGCUGGUGGAGUGGCUGCUAGAGGUGGCACUGAAGUUAUGGCUGCUGGUGCUGAUGUGGUGGCUCUAGUGUUAGUCAUGGGUACUGCAGCAAACCUACGACCUCUAGGCACUCCCUGAAAAGCAUCAGUAGUUGCCUUCCCUUUCCUCUCUUCUGGUUCCUCCUAGAGCUGCUCAACUGCUGUUUGGAUCUCAGUUACCUUCAGAUCAAGAUCAUAAAAUUUUGUCUCUAUGAUCCUCUCCAAACUCUCCUGAUUCUGAGUCAGGGUGGCCAAUCCCUUCUCAAUCCUCAAAGUAGCUUGAAUCAGAUAUCCAAGCUGGUCUUGUUUUCUUUUCAGGAAAACUUGAGAUGCUUCCUCAACACUAGGCAUCUUGGCAGCUUUCUCUGCUUUAGCUUUUGCUCUCUUCUCUUGUGCUUGAGCUAAUGAAGGUUCAUUCUCAUUCAUGACAACCUCAUUAUCUUCAAACUCAGGGAGCAAGGGUAAGUGCUCUUUGUCCAACAAGUAUGUUCCUGUGCCCAUCUUAGCAUUGAUGAGCUCCUGAAUAUGUGGAGCAUACUCACAACUCCUCUUUUGAUCAUCAGCUCUCCUCUUGAUUGUCUCUACAAUCAGGCUCAUGACUUUAAACUUUUGAGGGACAUAAAAAAUUUGCAACAUGUUGAUGGAAUGUCCUCUGAUCAUCUUGUGAUCUCCUGACUUUGGUAGCAAUGUGUGCCUAAUGACCCACAAGUAUAUUGGAUCUAUCAUAGUCCUUUCGAUAAGUAAGAGUGUCGAACCCAACGAGGAGCAAAAGGAAAUGACAAGCGGUUUUCAGUAAGUUAUUCUCUGCAAGCACUGAAAUUAUCGGUAACAGAUAGUUUGAUGAUAAGGUAAUUUGUAACGGGCAACAAGUAAUGAAAGUAAAUAAGGUGCAGCAAGGUGGCCCAAUCCUUUUUGUAGCAAAGGACAAGCCUGGAAAAACUCUUAUAUAGAGACAAGCGCUCCCGAGGACACAUGGGAAUUAUCGUCAAGCUAGUUUUCAUCACGCUCAUAUGAUUCACAUUUGUUACUUUGAUAAUUUGGUAUGUGGGUGGACCGGUGCUUGGGUGCUGCCCUUUCUUGGACAAGCAUCCCACUUAUGAUUAACCCCUAUUGCAAGCAUCCGCAACUACAAAAGAAGUAUUAAGGUAAACCUAACCAUAGCAUGAAACCAGAGUGAAGUUCAAAUAGACAUGCCGCAGAAGUUCAACUCCUUUACGUAGUGCAAAAACAACACGUCAAAAACAGAGUGAGGUUCAAACAAACAUGCCCGAGAAGUUCAACUACUUCACGUAGUGCGUUGCCAUUCGCAAUGAAGGCGGAAAUCAUGAUCUCGUCAUUUCUCUAAUUUACUUCAAAACGACAGGAAUAUCAUUUGUGUAAAUUCAAGUCCUCGGUCGGAGAAAGUUAAAAAAAUAUUGUGAGAGAGGUUUGUACAAAAAGAAUAUCAUUUGUGUAACACUUACGAAAUGGAUGAGAAAAUUACAAAUGAAAAUACGUCACAGAAGUUCAAUGUGAGAACAGCACGAAGUUCGACUACUAUAGUGAAUGAAUUUGAGAUGAAAAACUUUUAAAAUUGUCGCGAGUAUGAAAAAAUGAUCAACACGGAAAAGUUGUGUGUUUACAGCAGCUUUCCAUCGGUAUAUCACUUGCUCAAUUCCGAUGAGUGGAUGGAGAGCUACAAGCAGUGGAUGGAGAUCUACGAGGAAAAAAAGCACGUGAAAAACAGAGUGAAGUUCAAGUAGACAUGCCGAGAAGUUCAGGUUCUUUACGUGGUGCAUUUUCGAAGAAUCUGUUUCGCGAUAAAGGCAGAACGAAUGGUCUCGACAUUUUCAAAAUUACUUGAAAACGGCUAGGAAUCACAGAAAACCAUCAACAUGAAAAAGUUUCGCAUUUUCCUUAGCUUUUCAACGGUAUAUUAUUUGCCCUGUUCCGAUAAAGUUUGUAGAAAUUACAGCAAAAAUACGUUUUUAGCCAUUUUUAAUUGGACUUAAAACAGUAAGGAGUUGGAAGAAACAACAUAUACUGUCGUGGAAUUGUCACGGCAGAUGUCCUUGAGCUAGGACUUAGUCGUGGAGCCAUCGCAACUAGGAAGCUUGAAGGGGUUAUGCGGGACAAGGAACACGAGGGUUUAUACUGGUUCGGCCCCUUACGGUGAAGGUAAAAGCCUACGUCCAGUUUGAGGUGAUCUUGAUUAUGGUUACGAUCGCUAGGAGCUAAAUAGCUAUCCCGGCUCUCGAUGAGAUUGUCGUCCUCAAACCGCUGCCGGGUCGUCCCUUUAUAUAGGGAGGCCGACGCCCAGCAGCCCUUAGAGUCCCGGCCGGCUCAUAAGAGUGUCCGGCUCGGACUCUCAACUAUACUUGCCUUACGCUACAAGUUCUACCAUAAUACUGAUUGUAUCUACGGGCUUUAAGCCAUAUCCGGGUCUUAGCCCAUCUCUGGCCCAUCAUCUUUAAGCUUGGCUCCGGGCUUCUGGCAAUGACCAUACGAGUAACCCGGCCCCUCCUGGCGGGUGACUCUAGGGUCUAUAUCCUCAACAUUAGGCCCCAGAUUGAUUUGAGCCGGCUCAUGUCAAUCUUCAACUCUUCUGACAGAAAAAAAAUCUCUGGCUUACCAUUCAUGUGAAGGCCAUAACCCGGAGUGACGUCAUCCUCUGGACUCCGUAUAAUCCGCCGUGACGUCAUCCUCCAUUAAGUCCGUUUUUUACUCCGCCAGAUCCGCAACGGAUCUUUGCCUUUACUGUCAUUUCAAAAAUCGAGGCGUCGUGGGGGGAGAUAACCACGCCGUGGUCUCCUUGAAUCUCGCGCCCACUUACGACCUCGCCUUAUAAAUAGGCCAGCCCAACGGGCUCUUCUCACGCUCUCUUCUUCCUCCUCGCGCCGUCGCUCCUCUGCCCGAGCUCUGCCAUUGCCGCCGCCGUCGCGCCCCUGAUCUUCAUCAACCCGGCCGCUGCAUCACCCUGACUCGGACCAGAUAAACUGCGGCGACUUCCGCUCCUCUCCAACUCCGGUGAGUCUCUUCUGCCUUGUUAGAACAGAUCUGCGGUAGAGUUUAAACAGUUCAUCCGUGUUCUUCGCCAUUGUCCGCAGGCUUCAGUAGUUCUCGUAGUUGCCACCCUUGCUUGAUCUUAGAUAUGUAUAGACUUGCUGCAGUAGUUGUUUAUUACUCAUUUCACCUGUAAAACACACUUCUUUCCACUACAUAAGAUCUCCUUCGAGCUCAAGAACUCCCCUGCGUCCGCAUUUUAGGUCUAGAAAAUUUUCUUUGCUCCGACCAUUUUGAUCCAAAAAAGUUACGGUAGUAUGCGAAACCUGUUUUACCACACUUAGUAAAAACUGCAACCAUUGAGAAUCUUGGCGGCUUACAUUUCCGGCUUAAAGAAAACACGCACCGUAGAACUUUCCGGUUUAAAGAGAACCAUGCUCUGUAGAAUCCUCCUGCGGCUUAAAUAACCCACUGCAUCUGAAUAUAUAUAUCAUUAGUCCCCUUCAUAAGCCGCCAUCUUAGUUUGAACGAUAGAUCUCCGGCUUAUAUUUAACCCGGACACUUUUCUCUUUAUCAUAGCCUACCAACCUUCACCAUGCCUCCCAAGGCUCCCAUCACUUGCAACUGGAUGAGGUCCAACGUCACCGACGAGACCCUGGCCAAUUUCGUUAAGUCCGGAUAUUUGCCUAAAAAGGAAAUCAUGUCCUACCGUGCCCCUGACCCGUCGGAAGAGAGACCACAGCCAAGGGACGGGGAGGUAGUGAUCUUCGCAGACCAUAUGAGCCGGGGAUUCGCACCGCCCGGCUCAAAGUUUUUCAGGGACGUGCUCAACUCCUUUGACCUACGGCCUCAGGAUAUAGGACCCAACUCCGUAUCCAACAUCUGCAACUUCCAAGUCUUUUGCGAAGUGUACCUUGGAGAAGAGCCUAGUCUGCUGCUUUUCAGAGAGCUGUUUUACUUAAACCGCCAAAAUGAGUGUGCCAACGGGCCAAGUCUGGAGUUAGGUGGCAUCUCCAUCCAGCGGCGUAGGGACUGUCUUUUCCCUUACGUAGAGCCGCCGAGCCACCCCAAGGACUGGAAUAUGACUUGGUUCUACUGCCAAGAUACGUCCCCGGCUGACGAGAAUCCGCUGCCCGGCUUUCGCCCAACACGUCUAGAGCCGACUCAUCCACUGUCGGACAAACUGACUGCAGCGGAACGUCAGCCUCUACUUCCAACUAUCAAUAAGAUCAAGGCCCUGCUAGGCAACGGUCUGAACGGAAUCGACCUGGUCCGGGUCUGGAUCUCAUGGCGGGUGAUCCCAUUAAGCCGCCGCCCCGGCUUAAUGUGUGAGUACACCGGGCGAAAGGAUGACCCUCAGAGGCACAGUCGCAAUGAUCUUCCAGAAGACGUUGCUGAGGAAGAGACCAAGGCUCUGUUAAACGAGAGUCUGGCAGACUGUGGAAGGACCGGGUUAGCCCCCUUCUGCAAGACCAACCCAGCCCCAGCGGUAAGCCGCUGACUUUAAUGUUUUAUCUCCUUCUGCAUAUAACCUGCAUCUGAACCGUUUUGAAAAUUCAUCCUUGUAUUUCUCAGGCUGAUGAUAAGUUCUGGCGGGUCAAAUAUGACCAUGAGGCGGCCAAGAAGGCCAGGAAGGCGAAGAAAGCCGCCAAGAAAGCCGCCCCUCGUAAAAAAGGAAGCAGACCUACUGCUUCGGAGCUGAUGCAACUAAGCGAUAGCUCCGAGUCAGAGGUAACCCCUAAGCCUUUAAAUUCUUGCUGUACUUGUUGUUUGUUGCUGUCCGCCUUAUCAACACUUGCUCAUUGACAGGAUGACACCGGCGCCAAUAACCCGGUGGUUGAAGAGGUAAUGUCACUUUCCUCCGACUCGGAACCCUUGCCACAGCUGAAAGUCCGAAGGGUGACCCGGAAAGUAAGCUUUUCACAUCCUUUAGCUCAUCAAGACCCUCAAUUUCUUUUGAAGCGACAGGUUCACGAAAGCCGGCGUCACACCCGGACCAACAAGGACACCGAUCUCUCCGCCGGGUUACCCGACGCAACAAGGAAGCGUCGCACUGAGGUUUUUUUCUCACUUGUACCCUUUUCAUCCGUUGGCGGGUGUUAUCAGUCAGCCACUCAACUCUUCUGACUCCAAUUAUCAGGAGACCUCCCCCUCUUCGGGUGACUCCAUGCAGUCAAAUCUGCCGGCCUUCAAGACUGCGCCCGGGUAACAACAAUCAUCUUACAUUAUCUUUGUCUGUACUUACUCUUUGUGUGCCUAACACUUCUGUCUUUUCAGUGCCCAGGCGAAGCUCACCAAAAGAGCGAAGAAGACCAGGUCAGCCGGAGUGCCGGACAUACCUGAACCGGAGGUGACGGCUAAAGAGCCGCCAGCUGCCUCCGCCCCCGAAGCCACCACUGCAAUGGACACGGCACCUGAGGCCUCAGCCCCGACUACCAAGGCAACGACCGAAGCUUCGGUUAACCCGGAGGCCUCCGGCUCAGCCCCACCAGCAGACGACCCGGACGUGGUAAUCACCCGGACGGAGUUCGUUGAGCCGGGGAGACCGACUGCGCUGGCCAAAUGCUCCGCGAAGGGGGAGUUGCUGCAGCCCCACCGGGUGAACCUGGACCUCUCCGGCUACACCGACUUGAGCAUUGGAGAGCUCAUCUCUGGCUACAUCAGCCAAGUACACAAGAGCCGGGACGCCGAGGUCGCCAUGGUCAACCAGAUCCAACAAAAAUCUGAGGUAUCCUUCUGCUGUCUUCUUACUUACUGCAUAGUUACCUUUGCCAUGCUAGCCCCCAAGUCGACGACUUAUACUUGAAUAUGUUGUAGACUUAGGUUCCGGCUUAGUCAACUGAGCCGGCAGUAUGUAGAUAGAUACGUUCAAUAUGCAUUAGCCCCCAAGUGCCAAGUGUCUUUGCUUGGAAAACGCUUGGGACUUAUAUAAUGACUGUUAAUAACCCGGAAAUAUAUGCAGGCUGUUGGCAAGAAACUAGAGGCGGACCUUGCGGAUCUCAAGAGCCGGAUGAAGAUGCAGGAGAUGGAGACCCGGAAGGCAAACGCCAAGUUUGUAUCCAGCAUCGCCACUCAAGAAAAAUUUAAGACCGAGUUUGAUGCUGAGAGAAAAGCCUGGGUCGAAGAGAAGGCCGCACUGGUGACCCGGGCGGAACAGGCGGAGAAGGCUCUUGCUGAGAAGACCGCCGAGCUCUCCGGCCUAAAGCGCCAGGUUACCCAAAUGGUGGCCGCUAUUUUCGGUAAGUCGCCUCACCGGCUUUCAUCAAGUCCAUAUAUGUCAUGAUUCAUCCUUGUCACCGGCUUAUCUGAUUCUGUUAAGCAGGUCCCAGGAGUGCCAACCUCAACCAGAGCGUGGUCACCAAGCUAAAGGCCAUGUACACCCUGGUGGAACAGCUCUACACUGGGUCACAGUGUGCCUUAGCUGUGGUGGCCCUAUCCAAUGAGGUGCCAACUCAUCUGGCCGAAGUCCUGCGCCGGCUCGCCGUUCUGCCUCAGCGGAUCCAAGAGCUGCGACGGGCCUCCACGAGAGCCGGAGCAAUCGCCGCGCUGAGCCGGGCCAAGGCAUUCCUGCCGGAGCUAGACCCGGCAGACAUCGCCCUGGGUUACCCAAGCCUGAAGGAAGAUGGCUCAGCCUUCGACCAGAAGGACUUCGCGGCAUGUGUGAAGGCUGUACGCCCGGUGGCCACCCUCAUCGGGAACGACACCGACUUGACCAAGUACCAGCCGGGUUAUGAUGCGGAGAAUCAGAGGAUUCCAACCCCUCGCUAUGAAGCCCUCAAUCUGAUCCCUCCGGCUCGUCAGCACACCUUCGCCCCGGAGAUUGACCCGGCCGGGUUAAUUGACGAAGAAGCCCAGUUCGAAGCUCUUAGCGGCAUCGACUGGAAAUCAUCAACCUUCGAGGUCUUGGGAUCAGACGGAGGAGAAGACAGGAAUGAGCCGGGGACUUCAACUCAGCGGGCAUCAUAAUUUAGCUGGCGGCUUAUCAAACAUUGUUCCAUCUUUUAGACUUGGAGAGUUAUUGUAAUAGAGUAGGUGCAACAGUUUAUCUCUGCCGUGCCAUCGUGCACGUUUUGAAUGCGAAAGCCCUUUGAAUUUUCCUCUUUGAUAUUUCUCCGGGUCAUAAUCAUCCCUUUGUUUUUCUCAACCUCAAAAGGUGCCUUUAAGUAUCUGCAUAUACAAGGCAAAUCACAAGUCCCGAGGCGGCUUACCGCCCUGAGAAUCAGGUGUUUGAGAUAAAUAACCCGGAAUAUGAAUCAAAAAAGACUGGUCCUUAAUUAUACUCUGAACAUAGCCAAAAUAAUACACUUAACAGCCUGUAAGCAUCUUCCGGUUUAAAUAACCCGGGUAGCAAGGUUGACACCUUAACUCCGAUUUACUUGCCUUGAUGACACCCAUGACGUGCAACUAACACUGCAAACCAAAGUUAAGCCAGCAAGUGAGACCCGGCCAUGCACCCCUCAGAGUAAACUUUUGAAAAAGCAGAAGAACUUAGGGGCUUCCGGUUCGAAUACGACCAGAGACCCGGCCCAAAGGGGUUAAGCCAAGAUUCGGAUACGAUCAUAUAGCCCCCAGUGGGUGCGGCGAUGCCAAUCAAGAGGGUACCGACAGCUAUGUUCUCUUUGGUUCGAAUACGACCCAUGUUUGAACAGGAAGCCCCCAAGUGAUUCUUAAAAUUGUUCAACGACGCUGAUUCGAAUACGAUCCACGUCGGUUCUCAGAGGGGUUAAACUACGAUUCAAAUAUGACCAAAGGCAACCUCCCAAUGAGCUCGGCACUUGGCCAAUCAAAUGGGUAUCGACAACUAUGUUCUCUUUGGUUCGAAUACGACCCAUGUUUGAACAGGAAGCCCCCAAGUGACUUUACUUCUUACGGCUAGAUUCGAAUACGAUCAUAAGCCGGAUCCUCCUUGAAGUCAGCAUGUAAUCUUGUAAUAAAAACAACACACACAUAUUUGGAGGAGAGAAAAGGACAGAGGUCCUGCUUUAUUGUUUAUCAUAAUAUAUACAUGGCCGAGAUAAAUAUGUACACCACGAGAGCCGGUAGCUCAAGUGUAGUAAGGCCGAAGCUGAGCUAUGUUCCACGGCCGACGGGUCUCUUCCUCAGAUUUACGUGAAUGUUUGUGCUCCCGAAAAUCAAUGAGGUAAUAUGACCCGUUGUGCAAGUUCUUGCUGACCACAAAGGGCCCUUCCCAAGGUGGGGAUAACUUGUGUGCAUCUGUUUGAUCCUGGAUGAGCCGGAGCACAAGGUCGCCUUCCUGGAAGACCCGGGAUUUGACCCGGCGGCUAUGAUAACGGCGCAGGUCUUGUUGGUAAAUCGCUGAACGGGCUGCUGCCACAUCACGCUGUUCGUCCAACAAGUCCAGAGCAUCUUGGCGCGCCUGUUCAUUAUCCGUCUCAACAUAAGCCGCCACGCGAGGUGAAUCGUGACGGAUGUCGCUGGGGAGGACUGCUUCUGCUCCAUAAACCAUGAAGAAAGGCGUGAAGCCUGUAGACCUGUUAGGAGUAGUGUUGAUGCUCCAUAAGACGGAGGGCAACUCCUCCACCCAACAACCCGGCGUCCGUUGCAAAGGGACCAAAAGCCGGGGCUUGAUACCCUUCAGAAUUUCCUGAUUAGCUCUCUCAGCUUGACCAUUGGAUUGAGGAUGAGCCACUGAAGAAACAUCAAGUCGGAUAUGCUCUCGUUGACAAAACUCUUCCAUGGCGCCUUUGGAGAGAUUGGUGCCAUUGUCAGUUACAAUGCUGUGCGGAAAACCAAAGCGGAAAAUCACCUUUUUCAUAAAUUGAACCGCCGUGGCUGCAUCACACUUGCUAACUGGCUCAGCUUCCACCCACUUUGUGAAUUUGUCAACUGCCACCAAGAGGUGGGUCUUCUUAUCUUUGGAUCUUUUAAAAGGCCCAACCAUGUCAAGCCCCCAGACCGCAAAGGGCCAAGUGAUUGGGAUCAUCCUCAACUCCUGAGCCGGCACGUGAGCCCGUCGUGAGAACAAUUGGCAACCAUCACAUUUACUGACCAAGUCCUCUGCAUCAGCAUGAGCCGUUAGCCAAUAAAAACCAUGACGGAAAGCCUUGGCCACAAGGGAUUUUGAGCCGGCAUGGUGGCCACAAUCUCCUUCAUGGAUCUCACGCAAGAUCUCUUGACCUUCCUCAGGGGAGAUACAACGUUGAAAUGCCCCGGAAACACUGCGAUGAUGCAACUCGCCAUCGAUAAUGAUCAUUGACUUAGCCCGCCGGGUUACUUGCCUGGCCAAAGUUUCAUCCUCAGGCAACUCUCCCCGGGUUAUAUAAGCCAGAUAUGGCAUUGUCCAGUCUGGUAUGACAUGAAGAGCCGCCACCAGUCGUGCCUCCGGAUCAGGGAUAGCCAAGUCUUCCUCUGUAGGCAACUUAACCGAAGGGUUAUACAGGACAUCCAGGAAAGUGUUAGGUGGCACCGGCUUUCGCUGAGAGCCUAGCCGGCUUAGAGCAUCAGCUGCCUCGUUCUUCCUACGAUCAAUGUGCUCGCCCUGAAAGUGCCCAGCAAUGGCAUCAACCUCGCGGCGAUAAGCCGCCAUGAGAGGAUCCUUAGAAUCCCACGUGUCUGAUACUUGUUGAGCCACCAAGUCUGAGUCACCAAAGCACCUUACCCGGCUUAAGCUCAUCUCCUUAGCCACCCGAAGACCGUGGAGCAAAGCCUCGUAUUCAGCCGCAUUGUUAGUGCAAGGAAACAUCAACUGUAGCACAUAACGGAACUUGUCACCCUUAGGGGAAGCCAAUACAACGCCAGCCCCCGAGCCCUCCAGCUGCCUGGACCCAUCAAAGUGAAUAGUCCAAUAAGUGUUGUCCAGCUUUUGCUCAGGCACUUGUGACUCUGUCCAAUCAUUGAUGAAAUCCACCAAGGCCUGAGAUUUAACAGCAGUGCGUGGCACAUAUUUGAGGCCAUGAGGUCCAAGUUCUAUAGCCCACUUAGCAAUUCUCCCUGUGGCCUCUCUGUUUUGAAUAAUAUCCCCAAGAGGGGCAGAACUGACCACAGUGAUGGGAUGACCCUGAAAAUAAUGCUUAAGUUUCCGGCUCGCCAUGAACACACCAUACACAAGCUUCUGCCAAUGCGGGUACCGCUGUUUGGACUCAAUGAGCACUUCACUGACAUAAUAAACCGGCCGCUGAACCGGAUGCUCCUUACCCGCCUCCUUGCGCUCCACCACAAUAGCCACGCUGACUGCUCGUGCGUUUGCCGCCACAUACAGUAGUAAGGGCUCCUUAUCAACCGGAGCAGCAAGGACCGGGGGCUCUGCCAGCUGCUUCUUCAACUCCUCAAAAGCGGUAUUAGCCGCAUCAUUCCAGACAAAGUUAUCAGUUUUCUUCAUCAACUGAUAUAAGGGCAUAGCCUUCUCACCCAAACGGCUUAUAAACCGGCUUAAAGCAGCGAUGCGACCCGCCAAGCGCUGUACGUCAUUUAUACACGCCGGCUUAGCUAGGGAGGUGAUGGCCUUGAUCUUCUCCGGGUUAGCCUCAAUGCCUUUGUCAGAAACCAAGAAGCCCAGUAGUUUGCCUGCAGGAACACCAAAAACACACUUGGCCGGGUUAAGCAUCAUCUUAUAGACCCGGAGAUUAUCAAAGGUUUCCCUUAAAUCAUCUAUCAGGGUUUCCUCUUUGAUGGAUUUAACCACAAUAUCAUCCACGUAAGAAUGAACAUUGCGCCCGGUCUGUUUAUGAAGACAGUUCUGUACACAAUGCUGGUAAGUCGCCUGUGCACACUUGAGUCCAAAGGGCAUAGACACAUAGCAGAAGGCUCCAAAAGGAGUGAUGAACACCGUCUUCUCCUGGUCCUUAACUGCCAUCUUAAUCUGAUGAUACCCGGAAUAAGCAUCCAAGAAACUUAAGCGUGCACAACCUGCCGUAGCAUCAAUGAUUUGAUCAAUACGGGGGAGAGCAAAAGGAUCAGCCGGACACGCCUUGUUCAAGUCCGUGUAGUCCACACACAUCCGCCAGGUGCCGUUCUUCUUGAGCACGAGCACCGGGUUAGCCAACCACUUUGGGGAAAGACUUCAACGAUGAACCCGGCUGCCAAGAGCCGGGCCACUUCUUCACCAAUAGCUUUCCGCCUCUCUUCAUUAAACCGCCGGAGAAACUGUCUGACCGGCUUAAAUUUCGGAUCAACAUUGAGAGUAUGCUCAGCGAGUUCUCUAGGUACACCUGGCAUGUCAGAGGGUUUCCAUGCGAAGAUGUCCCUAUUCUCACGGAUGAACUCGAUGAACGCGCUUUCCUAUUUUGGAUCCAGAUUGGCACUGAUGCUAAACUGCUGAGAUGAAUCUCCUGGAACAAAAUCAACAAGCUUAGUUUCAUCAGCCGACUUAAAUUUCAUCGCCGGCUCAGUCUCCGUAGUCGGCUUUUUCAGAGAGGUCAUAUCUGUUGGGUCGACAUUGUCUUUGUAAAACUUCAACUCCUCUGUAGCACAAACAGACUCUGCAUAAGCCGUGUCACCUUCCUGACACUCUAGAGCCACUUUUCGGCUGCCGUGAACCGUAAUAGUCCCGUUGUGACCCGGCAUUUUGAGCUGUAAGUACACAUAACACGGCCGUGCCAUGUUAUGGACUUCUUAUAGCAUGGUAUGGACUUCUUAUCUUGACCACCUCCAAGGUCAACUUCUCCACCCUGUAGUUGUUCUCAUCACCAAAAGCCACUUCCAAUUCGAUCUUGCCGACUGGAUAAGCCGACUUACCAGGUACCACACCAUGAAAGAUAGUGUUGGACUGGCUGAGAUUCUUAUCAACCAACCCCAUACGACGAAAAGUCUCAUAAUAGAGGAUGUUGAUGCUGCUGCCUCCGUCCAUGAGCACCUUUGUGAACUUGUAUCCUCCCACUUGAGGAGCCACCACUAAGGCCAAGUGGCCCGGGUUAUCCACCCGAGGAGGGUGAUCCUCCCUACUCCACACUAUGGGCUGCUCAGACCAUCGUAAGUAGCGUGGGACUGCCGACUCAACAGCAUUCACAGCCCUCUUGUGAAGUUUCUGGUCUCGUUUGCACAAACUAGUGGUAAACACAUGAUACUGUCCGCCGCUAAGCUGCUUUGGAUUGGUCUGAUAACCCCCCUGCUGCUGUUGAUGACCCUGGCCAGACUGUUGAUUAAAGCCCCCUUGACCGCUCUGAGGGCCAGAAUUUGAGCCGCCGCCCGGGCCAUGAAAGCCGCCGGCGCCUGAGCCGCCGCCCGGGCCAUUGUAGUUUUUAAAGGCCUUCAUGAUUGCACAAUCCUUCCACAGAUGAGUCGCUGGCUUCUCCCUAGACCCGUGCCUCGGACAAGGCUCAUUCAACAGCUGCUCCAGCGAAGGUCCUGACCCGCCGCCUCGGGGAGGGGGCCUCCCCUUGCGUCGCUGGUUGUUGCCUUGUGCGCUGGCGUUGGCUACAAACUCUAGGCUGCCAUCGGCCUUACGCUUGCCUCCUCCUUGGUUCCCCGGGUUAAACUGAGGACCCUUGCCACUGCCGUUCUUCUUUCCCUUCCCUGUCCUUUCAUCAUCUGAAGGGAGAUCCUUGGUACCAUCGGAAUCGGCGUACUUGACAAGAGCCGCCAUUAGUGUACCCAUAUCGGUGCAGUCGCGCUUAAGCCGCCCGAGUUUCAUCUUAAGGGGCACAAAGCGACAGUUCUGUUCCAACAUUAAGACUGCAGAGCCGGCAUCCAUCUUAUCUGAUGAAUGUAUGAUCUCCUUGACCCGGCGAACCCAAUGGGUCGUGGAUUCACCCUCCUGCUGCUUACAGUUAGUCAAAUCCACAAUUGACAUAGACUGCCUACAGGUAUCUUUGAAGUUUUGGAUGAACCGGGCUUUUAGCUCAGCCCAAGACCCAAUGGAAUUCGGUGGUAGCCCUUUCAACCACGUGCGGGCAGUUCCAUCUAACAUCAUGGUGAAAUACUUGGCCAUGGCCGCCUCGCUGACCUCCAGCAAUUCCAUAGCGAUCUCAUAACUCUCAAUCCAGGCCGCAGGCUGUAAGUCCGCUGUGUAGUUAGGCACCUUCCUAGGGCCUUUGAAGUCUUUAGGUAGACGUUCAUUACGGAUAGCUGGCACCAAACAAGGGACACCCCCGGUCCUGGUAGGGAUACCCACAUCAACGGAAGUUGUUGGAUAAGCCGGGGGGGUCUGGUAAGCCGUCAACUGAGGUACUUGCUCCGCCUCUUGCCGUGCUUGGUCUGCCGCGUAAAAGGCUCCAUUAUGAGCCGGGCCAUGGCUCGGGGGCGGGUCAUGGCGUCGGACAUUACUUGAGCCGGUUGCUGAGACCAUGUGCCGGCUGUAACUCGGGCCCUGGCCUGGACAAGGGGUCGAGUGGAUCCUAUCCCGGCUGUAGGAGUACGCCUCUUGCUGCGCCAGUGCUGUCUGAAGGAGUUCCAUGACCCGGCGGGUCUCAAUAGCCAUCGGAGAGUCGCCGUCAACGGGUAGAGCCGCUAGCCGUGCUGCCGCAGCGACCAUGUUCUCCAGCGGGUUAUUAUAAUGACCUGGGGGUAUUGGCACGUACUGAGGCGGGGCAGGGGGCACCUGGGGAGGCCCCAUCAUUCGUGGCUGAAUAAGGGGUCCAGACCCGGGUGCUAUGACCCCUGGCGGGUUACUAGACCCUGCACCUGGCGUAUUGAAGAGGUUGCGUGGAUCGUAAACCGGUGGGAGUCGAGACUGGGCCUUUUGAUGCCUCCUUCUCAUGACCUCAUUGGCCGCGUUCUGAUCCAUCGUGAGUUGGAAGGACUGCGCCUGAAUCAGCUGAGUCUGGGCCUCGAGAGCCGCCCGCUCCGCAGCCAGCCUGAUCCCUUCCGCUGCAAGAUCCUCUUUAGCUUUUAUCAGAUCCAAUUUUAACUGUGCCACCUCCGCAUCAUGCUGAGCUUGAUCCGCCGGGUCAACCGUGGCGGUUAACAGGGCCGUCAUCUUGUCCGUGAGAUCCAUCAGCACCUGAGCCGGAGAAGGCACCGGGUUUCCCGAUCCGGCAGCGGGGCUCUGAACAGGCUGUGCACCAGCCAUAAAAACUCCAACCUGACUUGGCGGCUCAAAAAGGUCCGGAAUACUGUCGCCAUCGGAACAACCCAUGAGCCUGCCAUCUUGAAGUUGGUACAACGAGUUUGACUCAUCGGUGGCCGACUCGCCGUCAGAGCCGGCGGCCGCCUCAUCACCGGACCCAGAUGGAUCAGAGGGCCCUCCAUGGAUGCAUCCCACAAAAGCGCGCCUUAAGGCAGGCCGGGCCCGGGCGGGUCGUGCGUGCUGAGCCGUUUCGAUGAGAUCGGCGCAGAGAUCCGGCUCGGGGCCCGGCUCACCAAUCUUGCCAAUGAAAACAUGAAUUCCGCCGAAGGGGACCCGGUACCCGUACUCAAUUGAGCCGGCGUCGGGGCCCCAGUUUGUAUCGUCGAUGUAGAGCCUGCCGCGACGACUCUUGGUCAUCCGGCCCACAGUGUAUCCCUUGAGCCCUUCGAAGCUGCCCUUCAAGAACUCAAAUCCACCGUGCGCUGGCCCCACGGUGGGCGCCAACUGUCGUGGAAUUGUCACGGCAGAUGUCCUUGAGCUAGGACUUAGUCGUGGAGCCAUCGCAACUAGGAAGCUUGAAGGGGUUAUGCGGGACAAGGAACACGAGGGUUUAUACUGGUUCGGCCCCUUACGGUGAAGGUAAAAGCCUACGUCCAGUUUGAGGUGAUCUUGAUUAUGGUUACGAUCGCUAGGAGCUAAAUAGCUAUCCCGGCUCUCGAUGAGAUUGUCGUCCUCAAACCGCUGCCGGGUCGUCCCUUUAUAUAGCGAGGCCGACGCCCAGCAGCCCUUAGAGUCCCGGCCGGCUCAUAAGAGUGUCCGGCUCGGACUCUCAACUAUACUUGCCUUACGCUACAAGUUCUACCAUAAUACUGAUUGUAUCUACGGGCUUUAAGCCAUAUCCGGGUCUUAGCCCAUCUCUGACCCAUCAUCUUUAAGCUUGGCUCCGGGCUUCUGGCAAUGACCAUACGAGUAACCCGGCCCCUCCUGGCGGGUGACUCUAGGGUCUAUAUCCUCAACAUAUACCAAAAAAUUUCGCAUUUGGACGUACGGUUAAAAAAAUAGAUGGAAAAUACGAACUCGGUGGAACUUGUACCAUUUUCUAAAUUACUCUUAAACCGUUCAAAAUUAGAAAAAACUUUCUACAUGAAAAAGUAGUGCAUUUUCAUAAGCUUUCCAACUCCAUAUCAUUUUCCUCAAUUGGAUUAGCUGUUUAGAAAUUACAUCGAAAAUACGAACUCGGUUGUUCAGUUUGCGAUAUUUUACGAUUUUCCAAAUUACUCUUUAACCGUAUGGAAUUAGAGAAACUUUCAACAUGUGGAAGGAGCGGUUUUGUAGCAGCUUAACAACGCCAUAUUAUUUGCCUCAUUCCGAUAAACGGUUUAGAAAUGCGAUCGAAAAUACGAUUCACGUUUUUUGUAUGAAGAAAAAACGGUUUUCAAAACUGCUCUUAAACCGCUUAAAUUUCGCCAAAAAUUUAACUUGGGUCAUGAUACUGGUGUCCAUAGCUUUCCAAUGGUAUAUCGCAAGCCCCAUUUGGGCAAUGUUGGCGGAAGUUCAACCUAGCACUGGGAGAAGUUCAGGUCGAACAACUCAGGCAGUAAAAUUGCAAAAAACGCAAUUUCAUCACGACUCGAGAGCAAAAUCCGCCAAUGAGCGAGAUUCCUACUUAAAACUGGUAUUUAGUUGCUAAAAAACGUUUCUAGAUUAGACUAACAUCAUAUAGAACACGACUAACAAGAAUAAUUCACGGGGGAAGCCACGGUUGCGAAGAUAGCCCGAAGGUCGGGUUUGUACAGAGGGAAGUUCAGGCGCGUUACUUAGGCAGUUCACGUUGUGAUCAGAAUAUUAUUCUGAUCCCGUGAUCAGAAUAAUGUUUAUGUAUAUAUAUAUAUAUAUAUGUAUAUGUGUGUGUGUGUUGCUGUUACAAAAAUGAUCAUGAUGCCUUCAUGUCCGUAUUUUAUUUUACCGACACCUCUAUCUCUAAACAUGUGGACAUAUUUUUCGUUAUCGGCUUCCGCUUGAGGACAAGCGAGGUCUAAGCUUGGGGGGAGUUGAUACGUCCAUUUUGCAUCAUGUUUUUAUAUCGAUAUUUAUUGCAUUAUGGGCUGUUAUUACACAUUAUGUCACAAUACUUAUGCCUAUUCUCUCUUAUUUUACAAGGUUUACAUGAAGAGGGAGAAUGCCGGCAGUUGGAAUUCUGGGCUGGAAAAGGAGCAAAUAUUAGAGACCUAUUCUGCACAACUCCAAAAGUCCUGAAACUUCACGGAGGCACGUUUGGGAAUAUAUAAAAAAUAUUGGGCGAAGAAAGAACCAGAGGGGGCCACCCACCACCCAUGAGGGUGGGGGCGCGCCCUACCCCCUGGGCGCGCCCCCUGCCUCGUGGGCCCCCUGGCAGGCCUCCGGUGCCCAUCUUUUUCUAUAUGAAGUCUUUCGCCCUGGAAAAAAUCAGGAAGAAGCUUUCGGGACGAAGCGCCGCCGUCUCGAGGCGGAACCUGGGCAGAACCAAUCUAGGGCUCUAGCGGAGCUGUUCUGCCGGGGAAACAUCCCUUCGGGAGGGAGAAAUCGUCAUCAUCAUCAUCACCAUCGAUCCUCUCGUCGGGAGGGGGUCAAUCUCCAUCAACAUCUUCACCAGCACCAUCUCCUCUCAAACCCUAGUUCAUCUGUUGUAUCCAAUCUUUGUCUCAAAACCUCGGAUUGGUACCUGUGGGUUGCUAGUAGUGUUGAUUACUCCUUGUAGUUGAUGCUAGUUGGUUUAUUUGGUGGAAGAUCAUAUGUUAAGAUUCUUUAUGCAUAUUAAUAACCCUCUGAUUAUGAACAUGAAUAUGAUUUGUGAGUAGUUACGUUUGUUCCUGAGGACAUGGGAGAAGUCUUGCUAUAAGUAGUCAUGUGAAUUUGGUAUUCGUUCGAUAUUUUGAUGAGAUGUAUGUUGCCUCUCCUCUAGUGGCGUUAUGUGAACAUCGACUACAUGACACUUCACCAUUAUUUGGGCCUAGAGGAAGGCAUUGGGAAGUAAUAAGUAGAUGAUGGGUUGCUAGAGUGACAGAAGCUUAAACCCUAGUUUAUGCGUUGCUUCGUAAGGGGCUGAUUUGGAUCCAUAUGUUUCAUGCUAUGGUUAGGUUUACCUUAAUACUUAUUUUGUAGUUGCAGAUGCUUGCAAGAGGGAUUAAUCAUAAGUGGGAUGCUUGUCCAAGGAAGGGCAGUACCCAAGCACCUGUCCACCCACAUAUCAAAUUAUCAAAGUAACGAACGCGAAUCAUAUGAGCGUGAUGAAAACUAGCUUGACGAUAAUUCCCAUGUGUCCUCGGGAGCGUUUUCCUUUAUAUAAGAGUUUGUCCAGCCUUGUACUUUGCUACAAAAAGGAUUGGGCCACCUUGCUGCACCUUGUUUACUUUUAUUACUUGUUACCCGUUACAAAUUACCUUAUCACAAAACUAUCUGUUACCGAUAAUUUCAGUGCUUGCAGAGAAUACCUUACUGAAAACCGCUUGUCAUUUCCUUCUGCUCCUCGUUGGGUUUGGCAUUCUUACUUAUCGAAAGGACUACGAUAGAUCCCCUAUACUUGUGGGUCAUCAAGGUGCCGUACUUUCAGUACUAGGAUCGGUCGGAUCGUGAAGACGUACGACUACAUCAACUGUGUUGUCACAACGCUUCCACUUUCGAUCUACGAGGGUACGUAGACAACACUCUCCCCUCUCGUUGCUAUGCAUCACCUAGAUGGAUCUUGCGUGUGCGUAUGAUUUUUUUUGAAAUUACUACAUUCCCAACAGUGGCAUUCGAGCCAAGUCUAUGCGUAGAUGUUAUAUGCGCGAGUAGAACACAAAGAGUUGUGGGCGAUAAUAGUCAUACUGCUUACCAGCAUGUCAUACUUUGAUUCGACGGUAUUGUUGGAUGAAGCGGCCUAGACCGACAUUACAUGACCGCGUUCAUGAGACUGGUUCUAUCGUCGUGCUUCGCACACAGGUGGCUAGUGGGUGUCUAUUUCUCCAACUUUAUUUGAAUCAAGUGUGAGUACGCCCGGUCCUUGUUGAAGGUUAAAACAGCACACUUGACGAAAAAUCGUAGUGGUUUUGAUGCAUAGGUAAGAACGGUUCUUGCUAAGCCCGUAGCAGCCAUGUAAAACUUGCAACAACAAAGUAGAGGACGUCUAACUUGUUUUUGCAGGGAUUGUUGUGAUGCGAUAUGGUCAAGACGUGAUGAUAUAUAAAUUGUUGUAUAAGAUGAUCAUGUUUUGUUAAAGUUAUCGGCAACUGGCAGGAGCCUUAUGGUUGUCUCUUUAUUGCAUAAGAUGCAAGCGCCAUAUAAUUGCUUUACUUUAUCGAUGUGCGAUAGCAAUAGUUGGUGAGACAACCAUGUGACAACACGUUGAUAGAGAUCAGGAUGAUGGAGAUCAUGGUGUCAUGCCGGUGACGAUGGAGAUCAUGACGGUCCUUUGGAGAUGGAGAUCAAAGGCACAAGAUGAUGAUGGCCAUAUCAUGUCACAUAUUUUGAUUGCAUGUGAUGUUUAUCUUUUAUGCAUCUUAUUUUGCUUAGUACGGCGGUAGCUUUAUAAUAUGAUCCCUUACUAAAAUUUCAAGGUAUAAGUGUUCUGCCUGAGUAUGCACCGUUGCGACAGUUCUUCGUGCUGAGACACCACGUGAUGAUCGGGGUGAUAAGCUCUACGUUCACAUACAACGGGUGCAAGCCAAUUUUGCACACGCAGAAUACUCGGGUUAGACUUUACGAGCCUAGCAUAUGCAGAUAUGGCCUCAGAACACUAAGACCGAAAGGUCGAGCAUGAAUCAUAUAGUAGAUAUGAUCAACAUGGUGAUGUUCACCAUUGAAAGCUACUAGAUAUCACGUGAUGAUCGGACAUGGUUUAGUUGAUAUGGAUCACGUGGUCAUUUAGAUGACUAGAGGGAUGUCUAUCUAAGUGGGAGUUCUUAAGUAAUAUGAUUGAUUGAACUUUAAUUUAUCCUGAACUUAGUCCUGAUAGUAUUUGCAAAUCUGUGUUGUAGAUCAAUAGCUCGCGAUGUAGCUCCCCGUUUAUUUUUGAUAUGUUCCUAGAGAAAACUAAGUUGAAAGAUGUUAGUAGCAAUGAUGCGGACUUGGUCCGUGAUCUGAGGAUUAUCCUCAUUGCUGCACAGAAAAAUUAUGUCCAUGAUGCGCCGCUAGGUGACAGUACUAUUGCAGGAGCAGAUGCAGACGUUAUGAACGUUUGACAAGCUCGGUAUGAUGACUACUUGAUAGUUUAGUGCACCAUGCUUUACAACUUAGAACCGGGACUUCAAAAAAAAUUUGAACGCCACGGACCAUAUAAGAUGUUCCAAGAGUUGAAAUUGAUAUCUCAUACUCAUGCCCUUGUCAAGAGGUAUGAGACCUCUGACAGUACUUUGCCUACAAGAUGGAGGAGAAUAGCUCAGUGAGUGAGCAUGUGCUCAGAAUGUCUGAGUACUACAAUCACUUGAAUCAAGUGGGAGUUAAUCUUCCCGAUAAGAUAGUGAUUGAUAGAGUUCUCUAGUCACUAUCACGAAGUUACUAGAACUUCAUGAUGAACUAUAAUAUGCAAGGGAUAACGGAAACGAUUCCCAAGCUCUUCGCGAUGCUGAAAUCGGCGAAGGUGGAAAUCAAGAAAAAGCAUCAAGUGUUGAUGGUUGACAAGACCACUAGUUUCAAGUAAAAGGGCAAGGGAAAGAAAGGGAACUUCAAGAAGAAUGGCAAGCAAGUUGCCACUCCCAUGAAGAAACCCAAAGCUAGACCCAAGCCUGAAACUGAGUGCUUCUACUGCAAAGGAAAUGAUCACUGGAAGUGGAACUGCACUAGAUGCUUGGCGGAUAGGAAGGAUGGCAUAGUGAACAAAAGUAUAUUGGAUAUACAUGUUAUUGAUGUGUACUUUACUAGUGUUUAUAGCAACACCUCGGUAUUUGUUACUGGUUCAAUUGCGAGUAGUAACUCGAAACGGGAGUUGCAAAAUAAACAGAGACUAGUUAAGGGCGAGGUGAUGAUGUGUGUUGGAAGUGAUGCCAAGGUUGAUAAGAUCACCAUCGCACACUCCCUUUACCUUCGGGAUUAGUGUUGAAGCUAAAAUAAAUGUUAUUUGGUGUUUGCGUUGAGCAUGAAUAUGAUUGGAUCAUGUUUAUUGCAAUACGGUUAUUCAUUUAAGUCAAACAAUAAUUGUUGUUCUAUUUACAUGAAUAAAACCUUCUAUGGUCAUACACUCAAUGUAAAUGGUUUAUUGAAUCUCGAUCGUAGUGAUACACAUAUUCAUAAUACUGAAGCCAAAAGAUGCAAAGUUAAUAAUGAUAGUGCAACUUAUUUGUGGCACUGGUGUAAAGCGCAUGAAGAAACUCCAUGCUGAUGGGCUUUUGGAAUCACUUGAUGGUCGCGAACCAUGCCUCAUGGGCAAGAUGACUAAGACUCCGUUCUCCAGAACAAUGGAGCGAGCAACUGACUUAUUGGAAAUAAUACAUACUGAUGUAUGCGGUCCGAUGAGCGUUGAGGCUCGCGGCGGGUAUCAUUAUUUUCUGACCUUCACAGAUGAUUUGGGCAGAUAUGGGUAUAUCUACUUGAUGAAACAUAAGUCUGAAACAUUUGAAAAGUUCAAAGAAUUUCAGUGUGAAGUGGAAAAUCAUCGUAAUAAGAAAAUAAAGUUUCUACAAUCUGAUCGCGGAGGCAAAUAUUUGAGUUACGAGUUUGGUCUUCAUUUGAAAUAAUGUGGAAUAGUUUCGCAACUCACGCCACCUGGAACACCACAGCGUAAUGGUGUGUCCGAACGUCAUAACCGUACUUUGUUAGAUAUGGUGCGAUCUAUGAUGUCUCUUACCGAUUUACCACUAUCGUUUUUGGGGUUAUGCAUUAGAGACAACUGCAUUCACAUUAAAUAGGGCACCAUCUAAACCCGUUGAGACGACACCGUAUGAACUAUGGUUUGGCAAGAAACCAAAGCUGUCGUUUCUUAAAGUUUGGGGCUGCGAUGCUUAUGUGAAAUAAGUUUCAAACUGAUAAGCUCGAACCCAAAUCGGAGAAGUGCGUCUUCAUAGGAUACCCAAAAAGAAAUUGUUGGGUACACCUUCUAUCACAGAUCCGAAGGCAAGAUAUUCGUUGCUAAGAAUGGAUCCUUUCUAGAGAAGGAGUUUGUCUCGAAAGAAGUGACUGGGAGGAAAGUAGAACUUGAUGAGGUAAUUGUACCUGCUCCCUAAUUGGAGAGAAGUUCAUCACAGAAAUCAGUUCUAGUGAUGCCUACACCAAUUAGUGAGGAAGCUAAUGAUGAUGGUCAUGAAACUUCAGAUCAAAUUACUACUGAACUUCGUAGGUCAGCCAGAGUAAGGUCCGCAUCAGAGUGGUACGGUAAUCCUAUUCUGGAGGUCAUGUUACUUGACCAUGACGAACCUACGAACUAUGAGGAAGCGAUGAUGAGCCCAAAUUCCACGAAAUGGCUUGAGGCCAUGAAAUCUGAGAUGGGAUCCAUGUAUGAGAACAAAAUGUGGACUUUGGUUGACUUGCCCGAUGAUCGGCAAGCCAUAGAGAAUAAAUGGAUCUUCAAGAGGAAGACGGACGGUGAUGGUAGUGUUACUAUCUACAAAGCUCGACUUGUCGCAAAAGGUUUCUGACAAGUUCAAGGUGUUCACUAUGAUGAGAUUUUCUCACUGAUAGCGAUGCUUAAGUCUGUCCGAAUCAUAUUAGCAAUUGCCACAUUUUACGAAAUCUGGCAAAUGGAUGUCAAAACUGCAUUCCUUAAUGGAUUUCUUAAAAUAAGAAUUGUAUAUGAUGCAACCAUAAGGUUUUGUCGAUCCUAAAGGUGCUAACAAAGUGUACAAAGCUCCAGCGUUCCAUCUAUGGACUGGUGCAAACAUCUCGGAGUUGGAAUAUACGCUUUGAUUAGUUGAUCAAAGCAUAUAGUUUUAUACAAACUUGCGGUGAAGCCUGUAUUUACAAGAAAGUGAGUGGGAGCACUACAACAUUUCUGAUAAGUAUAUGUGAAUGACAUAUUGUUGAUCGGAAAUAAUGUAGAAUUUUCCGGAAAGCAAAAAGGAGUGUUUGAAAGGAGUUUUUCAAAAAAGACCUUGGUGAAGCUGCUUACAUAUUGAGCAUCAAGAUCUAUAAGAUAGGUCAAGACGCUUGAUAAAAAAUUUCAAUGAGUACAUACCUUGACAAGUUUUUGAAGUAGUUCAAAAUGGAACAGUCAAAGAAGGAGUUCUUGCCUGUGUUGCAAGGUGUGAAGUUGAGUAAAGACUCAAAACCCAACCACGGCAGAAAAUAGAAAGAGAAUGAAAAAUCAUUCCCUAUGCCUCAGUCAUAGGUUCUAUAAAGUAUGCUAUGCUGUGUACCAGACCUAUUGUGUACCUCACCAUGAGUUUGGCAAGAGGGUACAAUAGUGAUCCAGGAGUCGAUCACUGAACAACGGUCAAAAUUAUCCUUAGUGGAAUAAGGAAAUGUUUAUCGGUUAUGGAGGUGACAAAGAGUUCAUCGUAAAGAGUUACGUCGAUGCAAGCUUUGACACCGAUCUGGAUGACUCUAAGUCUCGAUCUAGAUACAUAUUGAAAGUGGGAGCGAUUAGCUAGAGUAGCUCUGUGCAGAGCAUUGUAGACAUAGAAAAUUUGCAAAACACAUACGGCUCUGAAUGUGGCAGACCCGUUGACUAAACUUCUCUCACAAGCAAAACAUGAUCACUCUUUGGGUGUUAAUCACAUAGCGAUGUGAACUAGAUUAUUGACUCUAGUAAACCCUUUGGGUAUUACUCACAUGGAGAUGUGAACUAAUCACAUAAAGAUGUGAACUAUUGGUGUUAAAUCACAUGGCGAUGUGAACUAGAUUAUUGACUCUAGUGCAAGUGGGAGACUGAAGGAAAUAUGCCCUAGAUGCAAUAAUAAAGCUGUUAUUUAUAUUUCCUUAUAUUAUGAUAAAUGUUUAUUAUUCAUGCUAGAAUUGUAUUAACCGGAAACUUAGUACAUGUGUGAAUACAUAGACAAACAGAGUGUCACUAGUAUGCCUCUACUUGACUAGCUCGUUGAAUCAAAGAUGGUUAAGUUUGCUAGCCAUAGACAUGAGUUGUCAUUUGAUUAACGGGAUCACAUCAUUAGAGAAUGAUGCGAUUGACUUGACCCAUUCCGUUAGCCUAGCACUUGAUCGUUUAGUUUAUUUGCUAUUGCUUUCUUCAUGACUUAUACAUGUUCCUAUGACUAUGAGAUUAUGCAACUCCCGAAUACUGGAGGAACACUUAGUGUGCUUCCAAAUGUCACAACGUAACUGGGUGAUUAUAAAGGUGCUCUACAGGUGUCUUCGAUGGUGUUUGUUGAGUUGGCAUAGAUCGAGAUUAGGAUUUGUCACUCCGAUUGUCGGAGAGGUAUCUCUGGGCCCUCUCGGUAAUGCACAUCACUACAAGCCUUGCAAGCAAUGUGACUAAUGAGUUAGUUGCGGGAUGAUGCAUUACGGAACGAGUAAAGAGACUUGCCGGUAACGAGAUUGAACUAGGUAUUGAGAUACCGACGAUCGAAUCUCGGGCAAGUAACAUACUGAUGACAAAGGGAACAACGUAUGUUGUUAUGCGGUUUGACCAAUAAAGAUCUUCGUAGAAUAGGUGGGAGCCAAUAUGAACAUCCAGGUUCCGCUAUUGGUUAUUGACCGGAGACGUGUCUCGGUCAUGUCUACAUUGUUCUCGAACCUGUAGGGUCCGCACGCUUAACGUUCGGUGACGAUCGGUAUUAUGAGUUUAUGUCUUUUGAUGUACCGAAGUUAGUUCGGAGUCCCGGAUAUGAUCACGGACAUGACGAGGAGUCUCGAAAUGGUUGAGACAUAAAGAUUGAUAUAUUGGACGGCUAUAUUCGGACACCAGAAAUGUUCCGGGUGAUUUCGGAGAAAACCGGAGUGCCGGAGGGUUACCGGACCCCCCCCCCCCGGAACUAGUGGGCCUAGAUGGGCCUUAGUUGAGAGAGAGGGGCUGCCAGGGCAGGCCGCGCACGCCCCUCCCCUUGAGUCCAAAUUGGACUAUGAGGGGGGUGGCGCGCCCCUUUCCUUCGCCUCUCCCACUCCUUCCUUCCUCCUCCUAGUAGGACUAGGAAAGGAGGAAUCCUACUUCUACUAGGAGGAGGAUUCCUCCCCUCCUUGGCGCGCCCUAGGGCCGGCCGGCCUCCCCCUUGCUCCUUUAUAUACGGGGGCAGGGGGCACCCUAGAACACACAACAGACAACUGUCUUAGCCGUGUGCGGUGCCCCCCUCCACCAUAAUCCACCUCGGUCAUAUCGUCGUAGUGCUUAGGCGAAGCCCUGCGCCGGUAACUUCAUCAUCAUCGUCAUCACACCGUCGUGCUGACGAAGCUCUCCCUCGACACUCAGCUGGAUCAAGAGUUCGUGGGACGUCACCGAGCUGAACGUGUGCAGAUCGCGGAGGUGCCGUACUUUCGGUACUAGGAUCGGUCGGAUCGUGAAGACGUAUGACUACAUCAAUCGCGUUGUCAUAACACUUCUGCUUUCGGUCUACGAGGGUACGUAGACAACACUCUCCCCUCUCGUUGCUAUGCAUCACCUAGAUGGAUCUUGCGUGUGCGUAGGAUUUUUUUUAAAAUUACUGUGUUCCCAACACUCAGCUGGAUCAAGAGUUCAAGGGACGUCACCGAGCUGAACGUGUGCAGAUCGCGGAGGUGCCGUGCGUUCGGUACUUGAUUGGUUGGAUCGCGAAGACGUACAUCAACUGCGUUACUUAACGCUUCCGCUUUCGGUCUACGAGGGUACGUGGACACACUCUCCCGCUCGUUGCUAUGCAUCACAUAGAUAGAUCUUGCGUGAUCGUAGGUAAAAAUUUUGAAAUACUGCGUUCCCCAACAUAUUUAACUUUUUACUCCACUGACCAGCACCUAGCCGAUCCCCUAUCCGGCCUAACGGAGUAAAAUUUUACUCCUCUCCAUAAAUUUUUUCUUAUUUUUACCCCCUCUUUGCUCCACCGAGUAAAACAGCGCGGCUCACCUCUGCUCCACCGCAUCUUCGCCCCCGUCGCCCCUCCUACCCCUCCCCACUCCCUGCCGGCAUCGGCCAGCCGCCGGGGAAGCCUGGUAGGCCUCCGCCGCUGUACCCCACCACCUCCUCGUCCCUCCGUCGGCCGAAAAUCGAGGGGAUCUGUGGCUGAUGUCGCCGCCGCCGGAUUUGGCGUUUUCGGCCAUCGGCGGCUACACCUUGCCAUGGAUUGGCCGGGAAGCGGCCCACACAGCCCCGGCAAAAUCCUCUGCGCCGCAUGUAGGUACCGGUUCUUCCUCUAGCCACUCUAAUCGCUCCCGCCGUCGGUUCUCCGGCAAAUAUUGUUAGACUCAUUAUGAAAUGUAGUUUCAUAGUAUAUACACUUCGUAUUGUAGAUGUUGAUAUUUUUUAAAUAUAAUUUUAGUCAAACUUUGUAAAAACCGAUUGGACACAAAUCUAAUACGCAGAGUAAAAAAAUCGGAGGGGGUAUAACAAGAAACAAUACAUCACAUCAUGGUAUUACCUAUUAUUCAAAGUCUGCUGGAUUCUGACCAAUGAGGAGUCAUUAGAUUCAAAAAUGUGUGCCGGAAGAGAAGAAACCAGGUGCUUCACGAAGACAAAGUGUAGAGCCAACUUCAGUACCCACUUAUCUGUACUAGACUCUCCACAUAAUUAACGGUUUCGAAACCAUUUCCUUACCCGAAUACGGCAAGUAGUUGUUCCUAUCAGGUUGAUAGUACCACAAGUCCUUGAUUGCCACAGGAACCUUCUUCAUCGUGGCAUUUCCAAUGUCAUACCGGAACAGCUCGCGGUCAGCAAUAACAAACAGCAAAUCCGGCCUUGCCGUGAAAGGCAACUUUGGGGCAUCUGAAAAGCCCGCCAGGGACGGGCACAACAAUCUCUCGCGGAAGCGGGACGACGAGGCGUCGAGUCCAUGUCGGCGCAUCCGUGUUAUCACAAGCCCAGAUCUCCACCACCUCACACGGCUUUGCGAAGCAAGCACAGCACAGCUCGCCCUCCAAUUCUAUGAAACCAACAGGCUGCGCGUCACACGGAGGAUACGGGAUCAGGCUGAAAGUCUCGUCAGCUAAGCUGAAGCGGAUGAACACCUCGGGGUUGCUUUCAUCUGGCAAAUCAGCAGAUCUCCAGUAAAUGAAGCCUCGGACGUGGGCCGGGGUUACCGCGCGAGUCGGGUACGGGGGAUCGACGGUUCGCCUCCAGACGGUGUUGGUUCCCAGGGUGAGCACCUCGAACCUGCAGACGCUCUCAGAGGCAACGCCAUGUUGCCUCUGAUAGAAAUAGCUCGCUGCUUUGUACUUUCUGCUGCGUGGGUCGAAACCAAACCCAACCCGGUGCUGCUGGGAAAAAAUCCUAUGCGACCGGGUCGCAUACAGCUGCUCGUGAGACCUUCUCCCGCGUGCGACACCUGGCAUUACGAAUCCUAAAGCAGCAGCAUCUCGUUCCCCACUUCCCCGUUUCCAAAUCUCUCCAACGAGUCAACGACCCAAGCUGCAGCCUGCUCGUCACAUCGCCGCCGGUGUGCUCCUCGACGCCAGGUACACCACCCCAGCACGGCGCGUUCCAUCCCCGCCGGCAGUACUCACGGCACCGUCGUAACUGCUCUCCACAUUUGGCCACGGGGAUGCCCCUCGAUGCCGGCCGGGCGUGACUCCUUGCUGGUGGUGCUCCACUCCCGUCAGAAGUAGCCAACUGCUAGUCCCCGACGGCCACGACCAUGCUCGUGGGCGCCUGCACUUGCGGCACCGCCGACUCAAUAAGAAUUUUCCCUGUAUAUUGUUGGUGCUUGAUUUGAGCUGUACAAUACUGAACAAAGGCAGUUUUUUUUCCCUGUAUAUUGUUGGUGCUUGAUUUGAGCUGUACAAUACUGAACAAAGGCAGUUUUUUUUCCCUGUAUAUUGUUGGUGCUUGAUUAGAGCUGUAAAUCUGGGAUGUUUUGUUCAGUUGAUCACAAAUAUAACAAGUAGGACAAUAAAUCUGCAAAUACCAGGAACUUUUAUUCACAAUGUACUCCCUCCGUCCCAAAAUUCUUGUCUAGAGGGAGUACAUAAAUUCAUUUAUACAGAAAAGCUCCAUGAUCUCAUCAGCCAUCCUAUAUUACUUGACUUCAGAAUAAAAUUCUGAAGAAAAAUGAACAAAACAUCAGCUAUCCUAAACAACUUGACUUGACUUCCUGAUUUUGUUGUUUUGCUGACUGAAACAACAUCUCACAUACAUUUGUAGAAAGCACUGAAUCAUGAUCCACACAGGCAUGCACAACAGUAAAUCGAGCCGGAGAUCUGCCGAUCGUUUUGCUGUUUCUUCUAUCUUCCUUUUGCCAUCAUGCAUGUUGCCCGUCUUUCGUCAGUGUCGACAGAACAUCAAGCUCUGCAUUUUCGUCAGUGUCCAGCACCAUGUGUCAAGAUGCAGCCAGCAGCAGCAGGUAACAACUCCAACGCCGAGUUGCCAGGCCACAGCCGGCGGAGUAAAGCAGUAGGUGGUGCCGUGAGCGGGGCGGAUGAGGAGCAUGGCCGUGGAAGGAGCACCAGUGGCUAGCGACGCAGCGAGCAGAGGAGUUGCGCCUCCAUGGGCGAGCUGCCGGGGCGUCGAUGAGCAUGGUUGUGGACGGCGUGGGAGAGCAGCGGAGACGGGCUCGGUACUUCCGCGACAGAGUGAGCAGAAAAGUUGCGGCGGCGGCGACGGCGGCGAGCGAGCGUAGGGCGGCGGCGAAGGAAAAGGGAUUAGGGAUUUGGAAAACGGGGCGGCUGCAAGUCGGGAAUGGAAACGGGAUUCAUGUUGCUUUGAGAUUCGUUUCUCCAGGUGUCAGGCGCUAGACAGGUUCUCACGUUCGGCAGCGUACGACCCAGGUCGUAUAAGAUUUUCUUCCGGUGCUGCUGCCCUUCGGCAGGAAGACAAACUCUCUGGUCAGAAGAUUGCGGACCAUUAUCUCGUGGUCACCGGUGGAGGUGAGGAUCAGGCCGUCGCAAUGCAGAGGCUGGGUCCAUCGACCAAUGCCCAUUGGAAAUUCCUCACUGUGCACCAGCUUUGACGCAAGGCCGCCAUUGUACUCGUAGAAUCUCAUCGAGAACGCAGCCUUCUUCCCUGGGGAGUACUCGCAAGGCAGUAUGAGCAUCCUUGGCCGAGACCUUGAGAGCUCUAGGUGCGCGUCGGCGAAGCACCGGCUGGAUACCACGGAGAGCCACCCCUUGCAGACGCACUUGAGCCUCGCCGCGGACCUGGCGGGGAGCCGUGAUAGGAUCUCCGAGGUCAGGUCGUCUGGGAGGCUGGCAAGAGACGGCCGUGAGCACGGCGUGCCGACGAACGCGGUCUUCUUGCGAGGCGGAUGAGGAGACGCGGGGAGAUCUGCGCGUCUCUUCCCCGCCAUAGCAGAAACCUUUCGAUCUGCAGGAGAUGAGACAUGAGAGCGUAGGAAUCAGCUGUGGCUUUGAGCGAAACUUAAACAGCGGGCGUCAGAUUAUAUAAGGAAGGACGCGGUUUUGGUUACCGAUUCGAUUUAAUCAGGCAUAAAAUUAUAUAAGGAAUUCUCAGUUUGAUCAGGCAAGUUCGAGCCGGAGUUGUAUAGCACACCCUAACCUUAACCUUUGGAAAAACAGAGUCGGUGCGCCGCCAACGUCGAGGAUGGUAGAUGGCUACGGAUGAUCCUUCUGCAUCACCCGGCGCCGGCAAUCCUCAGCCGGCCGAGCGACUGCGGCAGGGCCGAGGGGAUCCGCGCGAGCGACUUUGACAUCGUCAAGGAAAGACCAUUCAUUGAUGCGCAUUUGAUGCAACUUUUUUUUAGUUUAUUUUUCUUUUUUUCGAAUUUGCCGUUCAUGGGAGCAUAUGAGCUCAGGAUAGCUGUGAAUUACCCUUUCUUUACUUCACUAGGUCUAGCACAAAGGAACUAAACAUCCGUGGAUAUAACUAUAAGGAAAUGGCAGAGACUGAUCAGGCUCCCGAGCCUGUGACGCCCUGAAUAUAUGGUGGCAGAUCUUCACUAGCUGUGUUACUGCAACUCAGAUGAUGAAUGACAUGUCAUCUUGCAGUGUGCUUGGUUCCAAAUAACCCCCUCUAUUCCUUCUGCAAUCCUCGGUGGUAUCGAUCAUCUGGUGGAUGUGCUGUUUCAUUGACAGAAUGCAUCUGCUCUUGCUCCACAUUGUAUACCCAUUCAACACCAAGCACACUGCUUCAGCCACGACACUAGCUAUGUGUUUUAUCAACUUUAUUCGCAAGACACCAUGCAAAUAUAGUACAACUACUUGGUGCCAAUAAGAAUCCAUAGUUCAGGCAACAGUAAGCUAAACCGAACAACUAGCAGAAUAAGUUCUCUCCACAAAGUAGUGUCACUAAAUCGCGGCGCAAUGCCCAUACACAUCACAGUAAUUCAUCGAACAAACCAUGCCAUGGAUCUUUAGAGGUAGUAGUAAGAAAGCAGAGGCGCCAACACUGCGGCUACGGAUGAUCUUUCUGCAUCACCAGGCCUAGCGACUGCGGCAAGCCGGCAAGUGAGGUUCCUAUAACGCUCCGCUACUCAAUUUCACUUAGCAGAAAAGGGGGGUAUUUUUUUUUGCAGAAAAAAAAAUACACUUCGCUAUGAGCUGGACAAAAAAAAUCAUGUAUUUCUAGCACAUGCACUAUUCACUACUAGGAAAUAUGUUCGUGCGUUGCAACGGGAGAACAAACCACGUAAAACUUGUGUGGACAUGGUAGCGAUCUCAAGGAAUGAGAGACCCUGCUUUACCUAUAUUGAUGAAUCAUACACCUCGCCUUUAUCCAUCCCAAUAGAAAAAGUCCAUUUUACUACUCUGAAUAAAGUGGGUGGUUUACUUUACCCCUGAUCUAUUUUUUGGGUUCCUAUACCCCCCCUAAAAUAUCUCAUACCGGACAAAAAAACACCCUAGAUGGUUUACCCAGACCAGAUGGUGAUGCGGACACAGUCAAAGAUGGUAUUUGACCUGCGGGUGGGUCCCACUUGUUAGCUUAAAAAACAAAUAGAAAAAGAAAAAACGGGCGGCCCCCUACUGCAAUAGCAGCCGGCCACAGCGGCGGCGGCCGGUGCACGCCGAGCCGGCAGGCGGCCGGGGCGGGCGAAGCCGUCACGCGCCGAGNNNNNNNNNNNNNNNNNNNNNNNNNNNNNNNNNNNNNNNNNNNNNNNNNNNNNNNNNNNNNNNNNNNNNNNNNNNNNNNNNNNNNNNNNNNNNNNNNNNNNNNNNNNNNNNNNNNNNNNNNNNNNNNNNNNNNNNNNNNNNNNNNNNNNNNNNNNNNNNNNNNNNNNNNNNNNNNNNNNNNNNNNNNNNNNNNNNNNNNNNNNNNNNNNNNNNNNNNNNNNNNNNNNNNNNNNNNNNNNNNNNNNNNNNNNNNNNNNNNNNNNNNNNNNNNNNNNNNNNNNNNNNNNNNNNNNNNNNNNNNNNNNNNNNNNNNNNNNNNNNNNNNNNNNNNNNNNNNNNNNNNNNNNNNNNNNNNNNNNNNNNNNNNNNNNNNNNNNNNNNNNNNNNNNNNNNNNNNNNNNNNNNNNNNNNNNNNNNNNNNNNNNNNNNNNNNNNNNNNNNNNNNNNNNNNNNNNNNNNNNNNNNNNNNNNNNNNNNNNNNNNNNNNNNNNNNNNNNNNNNNNNNNNNNNNNNNNNNNNNNNNNNNNNNNNNNNNNNNNNNNNNNNNNNNNNNNNNNNNNNNNNNNNNNNNNNNNNNNNNNNNNNNNNNNNNNNNNNNNNNNNNNNNNNNNNNNNNNNNNNNNNNNNNNNNNNNNNNNNNNNNNNNNNNNNNNNNNNNNNNNNNNNNNNNNNNNNNNNNNNNNNNNNNNGCGAGAGGGCGGAGCGGGGGCGGUCGGAGCCGGCGGGCAGCCGGGGACGACGGCGCGAGCAGCGCGCGAGGGCGGCCGGGGUCGACGGCGCAAACUCGGGGAGGAGGAGGGGCGAAGCAGGCGCGCGGCCGAAGCAGCGACGGGGUGGACGGCGGCGGAGCCAACGCCACAGAGGAGCGUGGCGUGGCCGAGCGGGGUGCUCACCAAGAUCGCCACGGCGAACGGCGGGGCGGCGUAGCCGCGGGAGGAGGCAGGCCAGCGCGAGGAUGGAUCAGGUGGCGACGCGGCUCGUCGGCGGGGUCGCACUGGAGCUGGAAUGAAGCGCGAGGGGGAGCGACGGGGAUGCCCAUGCCCGACCUGACAAGGAGGGCCCACCGAGGUCAAAACCGCUCUUGACUAGUGCCACAUCAGCAGCGAGUGAAGACAAACCAGCCAGGGGUGUUUUGUCCGGUUCUGGUUUGUUUGGGGGGUAGAAGGAGCCGAAAAAUAGAUCAGGGGUAAAGUGAACCACCCACUUUAUUCAGGGUAGUAAAAUGGACUUUUUACAUCCUAAUACAUGGUUUGUUUCAUGAUCUUAAAUGGUGAAACCAGACCAGAUAAAACUGUGCAUCGUUAUGAAUUAAAUAAUACUUCACUCAAGCAACAUGAACUCGGUCGGUCUUAACAGGGAUCCAACAUUAUUGGAGGAGCAUCGAGAACAAUGCCCUACUUUACAAUAGACUUCGAUUCCUCCUCAUGAGUCCAUGACGGGUGCUAAAGUGGGGCUUAUCCAUGUUAGCACGGCACGUUGCCUGCCUAUGAUUCUACCUUGUUUUAUUUUUGAUCUUUUAAUCGAUAAAUACUAUACUUUCCACUAACUUGCAUAGUUUAUAAUGUUUGUCAUAUUUUUUUGCAUUUGCAUUACAUCAUGCCAUUAAAUAAUUCACACAAAAUUUAAAACUGUGAACAUUUACGAAAAAUCAUUUUAGCCUUCCUUCUAUUUUAUACAAUUGCUCUUCCAUAUUUCUAUUGAGCCAAAAUACCAUUCAUAUACCUCUAUAACAUUUACUCUUUCUCUAUUUAUAUUUAAUAAAAAAAAAAGAGGAGAAUUAGGAGAUGGAGAGAGAGAGCAGCCUAGCAACUAACCCGGCCGGCCUAUUUGGCCGAAAGCCCAGCCCAGCCGCAACCUAACCUAGCCCGAUCGAACCUCGCUCCUCUCUCCCGAUCCCUUCUCCCACCUUGCGCCGCGAGGGGAGGCACGGCAGGCGCGCGCUAGACUCGCCGCCGCUCGCUACCCCUGCCCUCCCGCGCGUCGCGCCGCCCCCGCUGCCGCUGUGGCCUAAGUCCACGGCCGCGUCCGCGCCUCGCCCNNNNNNNNNNNNNNNNNNNNNNNNNNNNNNNNNNNNNNNNNNNNNNNNNNNNNNNNNNNNNNNNNNNNNNNNNNNNNNNNNNNNNNNNNNNNNNNNNNNNNNNNNNNNNNNNNNNNNNNNNNNNNNNNNNNNNNNNNNNNNNNNNNNNNNNNNNNNNNNNNNNNNNNNNNNNNNNNNNNNNNNNNNNNNNNNNNNNNNNNNNNNNNNNNNNNNNNNNNNNNNNNNNNNNNNNNNNNNNNNNNNNNNNNNNNNNNNNNNNNNNNNNNNNNNNNNNNNNNNNNNNNNNNNNNNNNNNNNNNNNNNNNNNNNNNNNNNNNNNNNNNNNNNNNNNNNNNNNNNNNNNNNNNNNNNNNNNNNNNNNNNNNNNNNNNNNNNNNNNNNNNNNNNNNNNNNNNNNNNNNNNNNNNNNNNNNNNNNNNNNNNNNNNNNNNNNNNNNNNNNNNNNNNNNNNNNNNNNNNNNNNNNNNNNNNNNNNNNNNNNNNNNNNNNNNNNNNNNNNCCUUCCGUGCCCACUGUCGCGCAUCUACGCGCGCGGCCUGGGAGGCCGGCUGGCUCCGCCCGAGGCCGGUGAGGCUGCAUCGCCGUUGGCCUCGCUCUUCCUCGCCUCACCGCUGUGCUCCUCCUCUCCUGCUGCAUCGCGCCUCCCUGCCCGAGCCGCUCUGCCUCCGUCGCCAUGACGCUGUGCCCACUACCGCCGCGACGGCCCCUGCACCGCGCCGCCGCACCUCCUGGUCGCGCUGUUGUCUGCUGCAGCAAGCUGCCUCCUCGUCUGAACCGCAACGCCCCUCCUUUCUUCCUUCUUCUCUCCCUCACCUCCCUGUCUCCUUUCUGCCCAGGAGUCAUGGAUGAAUUUUUGCUCUGGCCUUCCUCAUCGUCACCGGCGACCACCGCCUCGCCGCCCACAUCUGGAUCUGCCCCCCCCUCCCCCUGCUGCGCACGAAUCAGGCCUUGCAAGCUCCAGCCCCUGUCGUUCUUCUCCAUCGUGGCCGCGUGGGUUCAUCACUUGAAAAAUGAAGGGUCUUUUUUGCAACAAUGAAACGUUUUUAGCCACUUGCAAUAGGACUGCGGGUUGAAUUCUUAGAAUAGAGGGACUUUUAUGUAAAAAUGACAAUAACGUACGACCAGAAGCAAUCGCUGGUUUAUUAUUACUAGGAAAUAGGAAAUAUGCCCGUGCAUUGCAACGGGAGACCAAACCACGUAAAACUUGUGUGGACAUGGUAGCGAUCUCAAGGAAUGAGAGACCCUGCUUUACCUAUAUUGAUGAAUCACACACCUCGCCUUUAUCCAUCCCAAUACAUGGUUUGUUCCAUGAUCUUAAAUGGUGAAACCAGACCAGAUAAAACGGUGCAUCGUUAUGAAUUAAAUAAUACUUCACUCAAGCAACAUGAACUCGGUCUUAACAGGGAUCCAACAUUAUUGGAGGAGCAUCGAGGACAAUGCCCUACUUUACACCAGACUUCGGUUCCUCCUCAUGAGUUCGUGACGGGUGCUAAAGAUGGGCUUCUCCAUGUUAGCACGGCACGUUGCCUGCCUAUGAUUCUACCUUGUUUUAUUUUUGAUCUUUUAAUCGAUAAAUUCCAUACUUUCCACUAACUUGCAUAUUUUAUAAUGUUUGUCUUAUUUUUUGCAUUUGCAUUACAUCAUGCCAUUAAAUAAUUCACACAAAAUUUAAAACUGUGCACAUUUACAAAAAAUCAUUUCAGCCUUCCUUCUAUUUUAUACAAUUGCUCUUCCAAAUUCCUUUUGAGCCAUUCCAAAAAUCCCAUGCUUUUUUUACUUCAAGGUUAGUCCCCAAACUGUACCAAUAAUUCUUUUAUCACUUUGCCAAGCUCCACAAGAUUAUCAUAAUUUUUGGACACGUCUAAAACCUAGUCCUAGUUCAAACCCAUUUGAACAUAAAUUCAAAUGAGUUUGAAUUUAAACCUUGCAUUGACCACUUCUACAUUUCUUGAAACAAGUAAUUUUUUGCAAGUCCAGAAAAAAUAACAUCUUCCCAGAAUACCAUUCAUAUACCUCUAUAACAUUUACUCUUUCUCUAUUUAAUUAAUAAACAAAAAAAGAGAGGAGAAUUAGGAGAGAGAGAGAGAGAGAGAGAGAAAGAGAGCAGCCUAGCAACUAACCCGGCCGGCCUAUUUGGCCUAAAGCCCAGCCCAGCCGCAACCUAACCUAGCCCGAUCGAACCUCGCUCCUCUCUCCCGAUCCCUUCUCCCACCUUGCGCCGCCAGGGGAGGCGCGGCAGGCGCGCGCUAGACUCACCGCCGCUCGCGCCCCCUACCCUCCCGCGCGCCGCGCCGCCCCCGCUGCCGCUGUGGCCUUAGUCCACGGCCAUGUCUGCGCCUCGCCCGUGCCGCUCCGCCCAGCUGAGCCCACGGCCGCCCCUCCACCCGCGCGUCGUCUCCGGCCGCUGCGGCCUGCGCCUCCCCUGGCCGGUGCCCUUCCAUGCCCACUGUCGCGCCUCUGUGCGCGCCGCCUGGGAGGCCGGCUGGCUCCGCCCGAGCCCGGUGAGGCUGCAUCGCCGUUGGCCUCGCUCUUCCUCACCUCACCGCUGUGCUCCUCCUCUCCUGCUGCAUCGCGCCUCCCUGCCCGAGCCGCUCUGCCUCUGUCGCCAUGACGUUGUGCCCACCACCGCCGCGACGGCCCCUGCACCGCACCGCCGCACCUCCUGGUCGCGCUGUUGUCUGCUGCAGCAAGCCGCCUCCUCGUCUGAACUGCAACGCCCCUCCUUUCUUCCUUCUUCUCUCCCUCACCUCCCUGUCUCCUUUCUGCCCAGGAGUCAUGGAUGAAUUUUUGCUUUGGCCUUCCUCAUCGUCACCGGCGACCGCCGCCUCGCCGCCCGCAUCUGGAUACGCCCCCCUCCCCCUGCCGCGCACGAAUCGGGCCUUGCAAGCUCCAGCCCCUGUCGUUCUUCUCCAUUGUGGCCGCGUGGGUUCAUCACUCGAAAAACGCAGGAUCUUUUUUGCAAGAAUGAAACGUUUUUAGCCACUUGCAAUAGGACUGCGGGUUGAAUUCUUAGAACAGAGGGACUUUUCUGUAAAAAUGACAACGACGUACGACCAGAAGCAAUCGCUGGUUUAUUAUUACUAGGAAAUAGGAAAUAUGCCCGUGCGUUGCAACGGGAGAACAAACCACGUAAAACUUGUGUGGACAUGGUAGCAAUCUCAAGGAAUGAGAGACCCUGCUUUACCUAUAUUGAUGAAUCUUACACCUCGCCUUUAUCCAUCCCAAUACAUGGUUUGUUCCAUGAUCUUAAAUGGUGAAACCAGACCAGAUAAAAUUGUGCAUCGUUAUGAAUUAAAUAAUACUUCACUCAAGCAACAUGAACUCAGUCUUAACAGGGAUCCAACAUUAUUGGAGGAGCAUCGAGGACAAUGCCCUACUUUACACCAGACUUCGAUUCCUCCUCAUGAGUCCGUGACGGGUGCUAAAGAUGGGCUUCUCCAUGUUAGCACGGCACAUUGCCUGCCUAUGAUUCUACCUUGUUUUAUUUUUGAUCUUUUAAUCGAUAAAUUCCAUACUUUCCACUAACUUGCAUAGUUUAUAAUGUUUGUCUUAUUUUUUGCAUUUGCAUUACAUCAUGCCAUUAAAUAAUUCACACAAAAUUUAAAACUGUGAACAUUUAAAAAAAAUCAUUUGAGCCUUCCUUCUAUUUUAUACAAUUGCUCUUCCAAAUUCCUUUUGUGCCAUUCCAAAAAUCCCAUGCUUUUUUCUACUUCAAGGUUAGUCCCCAAACUAUACCGAUAAUUCUUUUAUCACUUUGCCAAGCUCCACAAGAUUUUCAUAAUUUUUGGACACAUCUAAAACCUAGUCCUAGUUCAAACCCAUUUGAAUUGAAUUCAAAUGAGUUUGAAUUUAAACCUUGCAUUGACCACUUCUACAUUUCUUGGAACAAGUACAUUUUUGCAAGUCCAGAAAAAAUAACAUCUUCCGAGAAUACCAUUCAUAUACCUCUAUAACAUUUACUCUUUCUCUAUUUAUAUUUAAUAAACAAAAAAAGAGAGGAGAAUUAGGAGAUGGAGAGAGAGAGAGAGCGAGCAGCCUAGCAACUAACCCGGCCGGCCUAUUUGGCCUAAAGCCCAGCCCAGCCGCAACCUAACCUAGCCCGAUCGAACCUCGCUCCUCUCUCCUGAUCCCGUCUCCCACCUUGCGCCGCCAGGGGAGGCGCGGCAGGCGCGCGCUAGACUCGCCGCCGCUCGCUCCCCCUGCCCUCCCGCGCGUCGCGCCGCCCCCGCUGCCGCUGUGGCCUAAGUCCACGGCCGUGUCUGCGCCUCGCCCGUGCCGCUCCGCCCAGCCGAGCCUGCGGCCGCCCCUCCACCCGCGCGCCGUCUCCUGCCGCCGCGGCCUGCGCCUCCCCUGGCCGACGCCAGGGCCGCCAGCGCCCCCACUGCCGCGCCUCUGCGCGCGCGGCCUGGAGGCCGGCUGGCUCCGCCCGAGCCCGGUGAGGCUGCAUCGCCGUUGGCCUCGCUCUUCCUCGCCUCACCGAUGUGCUCCUCCUCUCCUGCUGCAUCGCGCCUCCCUGCCCGAGCCGCUCUGCCUCUGUCGUGGUUUUGUCACGGCAGAUGUCCUAGAGAAAGGACUUAGUCGUGGAGCCAUCGCUACGGGCUAGCUUAAAAGGGUUAAAGCGGACAAGGGACGCAAGAGAGUUUAUACUAGUUCGGCCCCUUAUGAUGAAGGUAAAAACCUACGUCUAGUUGUGAUGGAAUUGCUAGGGUUUCGAUGACCAGGGAGCGAAUACGCUUUGCCUGAGUCUCGAGUUUUUGUCUACUGUCCUUGAACCGCCGUCGGGUCGUCCCCUUAUAUACAUGGGUUGACGCCCGUCGGUUUACAGAAUCCUGAGGCCGGCUCAUAAUCGUGUUCGGCUCGGUCUCUGCUACUUCUAUCUUACAACACAAGUUUACAUAUCAAUGCCGGUUUAUGUCUAUAGGCCUUAAACCGGCUUUGGGCCCUGGACCUUCAUAAAGCGUCACCGUCUGUCUUCAUGGACUUCAGAUACAGAUGAACUACUUAUGGGGUUAACCCGGCCUCUCCUGGCCAGUUUACGCCCAGUGGUAAUAUCCCCAACAUUAGGCUCCAGAUUGAUUUGAACUGGUUCAUGUCAAUCCUCAAUACUUAAGAAAAUUUCUUCUUCAACAUCUUCACAUAAUCUUGUAAACCGCCGUGACCUCAUCUUCUAGGAUCAUGGUAAACCGCCGUGACGUCACCUGUUAUUUAAAACUGUGUAUAAUCCACCUUCAUUAAUGAGCCUCCGACAAUCGAGGCGACAGCUCUGCCUCAUAUCCAAAAUUUAGGCUCCUCGAUUUUCGCGCCUGGUGCUUAUCUUUCUGCCCUUAUAAAUAGAGCCAUGGGGUCUUUUCAUUCCCCCCCCCCGUAUCUCUUCACCUCAUCUUCUUCCUUGCACUGCCCAUCGUUUGGAGCUCCGCCGCCACCGUCGACCUUCGUUUCUUCCUCCGCGACGGCCGCUGCAUCAACCUGAUCGGACCAGAAAAACGCGGCAAUCCUCCGCUGCUUCCUCAGCACCAGUACGUUCCUCCUUUCUUACUCCAGAUCGACCAUUAGGGUUCGUCGUUCUUCGUAGUUCUUCGAAGUUCUUGAAUCUGUUUGUUUCUCUUUAGCAGUACCAAUGGCUAGUUUAGAUCUGCUUUUUCCAAAGCCUUUGUACUUUAAACUCAUGCUUCCUUGUUAGAACAUCUGCCUUGUAUAAAACUCAUCUCAACUUGGUGAACCUUUAACACGCUGGAAAUUAGGUCAGAAUAUAUUUUGUUAUUCCAACGUGCGGUAGAUCUGAAAUUACCAUGGCAAGAUGUGAAACUUGUUUCUUCCUUCACUUAUACACUUUUAAUACUAGAUUGGGCGGUUUAACUUCAUAUACAAAAUGAUGACCCAGUAGAUACCAUUAGUCCCCUGUUGAACCGCCAAUGCAUUCAUCAUUGUACUGUUUCCAUUGUCAGACUCCGGUUUACGAAUAACCAAUCCUGGUUUAACAAUAUGCUUACAUCCUUAUACCGCUAUAUAGUUGUCCAUUGUAAAUCUUAAACUGACAAUAAUCAUGUUUCAGAUCUUUCAUUGCCAUGGCCAAGCAAGUCUAUGAAUGCAAUUGGGCUCCUUCUCAAGUAACCGAAGAACAGUUAAACAAUCUUGUUAAAACGGGCGCUUUAGCCAAGAAAGAUGUCAUCCACUGGAGAGUCCCUGGCCCGGAAAAUCCUCCUACACCCAAGGACGGAGAGGUAGUCGUGUUUGCUGACCAUCUGAGUCGAGGUUUUAGCCCUCCCGGUUCGAAAUUUUUCCGAGAUGUACUAGCCAAUUUUCAGCUGCGCCCUCAAGACAUCGGUCCCAAUUCUGUGACCAACAUCUGCCACUUCCAAGUCUUCUGUGAGGUUUAUCUGCAAGAGGAACCUACAGUCGAACUAUUUAGGGAUUUCUUUCACUUAAACCAUCGCACAGAGUUCUCGGAUGGACCCAAUACGGAACUGGGCGGAAUGGCGGUUCAGAAAAGGAAGGAAACCACUUUCCCUCACCCCAAGCUCCACAGUCACCCCAAAGAGUGGAACCAGACCUGGUUUUAUUGCAAGGAUACAUCUCCACCUGAUGAAAACCCCCUGCCGGGUUACCGCCCUGAAUGCCUGAGCAACACACAUCCUUUUCCUCAGAGGUUGACUGCAAAAGAAAGGGCCAACUAUGCUCCUCAACUAUCAAAGCUUAGAGCCUUCAUGGCAAAUGGUUUGACAGGAGUUGAUCUUGCUCGUUGUUGGAUAAGCUGGAGUAUUCUGCCCUUAAGUCGGCGCUCCGGUUUGAUGUGUGAGUAUACGGGGAGUUUGAAGGAUGCUCAGCGGCACAUUGACAUUCAGCUUACAGAUGCAGAAGUCACUGAGGCUGUAAAGAAAAUGCUGAACGAACCGGAGGCUGUCUGCGCCCAAACCGGAUUACUCCCUUUCUGCGCUUUCAACAAACCGCCAACUGUAAGAAUCAUAUAAUAUUUUUAUCUGAAGUUGCUUUUGUCCAAAUAUUCUCUGAAAGUGUGAUUAUUUUCUGACAGGGUAAUGAUCCAUUCUGGAACAAGAAACCACCACAAGACAAACUGGUCAAGCCGCAAGAUAAACCGGUCAAGCCAGUUCGUCCAAAGACCAAGGUUAUCAAAAAACCUGCCAAGAAAAGGACCACUGCAUCCUCCGAUCUACCAGCUGAUGACGAUGUGGGUAAUCCGGAAUCAGAGGUAGAACUUGACUCUCUUGGUUCAUUUUUCGUACACCUCAUUGACAAUGAUUAUUGUCAGGACGACGCUGAAGGCAGUCAUGCUGAUGAUGUAGAGGUAAUCAUUCUUUCCUCCGAUUCAGAUCCUUUGCCGACAUCAAAAAUCCGUCGAGCAAACCGGAAAGUAAAAUUUUCUCACCCCCUUGCUUGCUUGGACCCAAACUUUCUUUUGAAGACACAACAGCACGAGGCUUGCCGCACAACCCGACACAGCGGCCAGGUAGUUACCUCCGCUGGUUUACCGAACACUCCGGUUCGGAAACGCCGAUCAGAGGUCUCUUAUCCCCUUGACACUUCAUGCCCCAAAGCGGGUUGUUUCCACCAGCCUCUUAACCCGUCUGAUUCAAAUUAUCAGGGUACUUCUCACUCAUCUUCUAGCGAAUUGUCGGCCACAAAGCUUCCACCCCUCAAAACAUUUCUUGGGUGAGUCAUACGCUUACUUUUAUCCUUGAUAUGUUAUUUUAAUAUAUACUGCACUGAUCCUCUUGUUUAUUCUUUUCAGCGCCAAGCCCAGACCCAGCAAGAAAGCUCGGUUGAAUAAACCGGCUGAUGAAGACGUGGCUGUUGAACCGGAGAAAACUCCGGAUCCUGAAGAGACCAACAUUGAUGCCAUACUGAAUGACCCAUUGCCUCAAGGUCAUGACUUCGUUGCUGAGCAGGCAGAAGUUGACACCACAAGCCAUGCUGACCAGCCAACCAGCCCUGUUCGAACUGACAAUAAACUGGGAAGUCCAGUUAAAAAUACUGACAAACCGCCAACCCCAGUAACGGCUGCUGAUGACAUUAUGAUUACUGGCACUGGCCAUACCGCUCCGGGCAAUCCUGUCGCUUUGUCAAAGCAUACUGCCAAAGAUGAGCUCUCUGCAAUUGGCAAAAGCAAAUGGAACGCCAAUUUGUCAAAUUAUGCCCAUCUGAAUGCUCAAGACCUUCACUCUCGCUUCCUGAACCGUCUGUACACCAGCCGUGACUAUGAAGCCGGUUUGGUAAAUAUGAUGAAGGAGCGAUAUGAGGUAACUUCAUAAGUGUUUCUCUCUUAUAUUUAAUUGCAGCUUAUCAACUCCAGUAGCCCCCAAGUGACGGUUUAAGAUACCAAUUUAAACCGGGACUUAGUAACAAUUUCAUGUUUGCAACAAUGCAUCUUAACUUCACUGAUGUAGCCCCCAAGGGCGGGUUUAACUUUAUAAAGAUGAACUGGGACUUUGUAGAAGAAUUCCCAUAUCAGCAUUUUAUGAGCAAAUACACAUUAGCCCCCAAGUGCCAAGCUUAAUACUUGUAUUGUGCUUGGGACUUGUAAAAAUUUCUGAUAAAGAGCAAAUAUGCAUUAGCCCCCAAGUACUAAGGGCAUAACUUGUUAUGUGCUUGGUACUUCAAAUAUGUACUGUCAAUUCAUUAUAUAUCUGUCUCUUUAUAGGCUGAUCUGAGCAAGAAGGAAAGCCAAACCGCUGAUCUGCAAGAGAACCUCAAGUCCCAACAAGCUGAAACCUCCAAAGCGAAGGAAGAAUUGGCCAGCGCCCUAGGCGCUAUGAAGAAACUGAAAGAGGGCUUCAACAAAGAGUGGGCGGAUUGGGAGACUGAAAAAUCUGCUUUGAUAAAAAGGGCUGAAAACGCAGAAGCCGCUCUUAAACCGGUGGUUGAUGAACUGACCGGCGUAAAGCGGCAGAUUCAUGCCAUGACUGCUGCUGUGUUCGGUAAACAUCUUUUCCUUAAUACUUUCAACAUAUCUUUCCCAUGUGUUGUCAGUUUACUGAUGUGUACGAUGGUACAGGAACUUGCAUUAGCCAUCUGGGCUCUGAUGUACAGAAGAAGUUGAAAGCUGCCUACACUCUGAUAGAGCAACUGUAUACCGGUGCGCAACGGAUCAUCUAUACUGCUUCACACAAUAAUCCUCCUCCCACUCUGAUCAAGGAUACCUUAGAAAGGUUAUCUAUGCUUCCUGCCCGGGUAGACGAGCUAAAGAAGUCUGCCGCUAGAACGGAUGCUUUGGCCGCACUAACCCGGGCAAAAGCGUGGGUACCUGACUUUGAUCCAGUGGAGGCGGCCCAAGGCUAUCCCAGUUUAAAGGAAGACGGAACAGAAUUUGGCAAUGAUGAUCUCCAAACCAUAAACCGGGAAGUACGCCCAUUGGCUUGUCAACUAGUUGAAGAGGCAGAUCUUUCGUACUAUCAGGCGAGUUAUGAUGAUAAGAACAGACGGGUUGCGGCAUCAAUUCCAGAAGCGCAAAAUCUUAUGCCACCAAUCCGUAAGCACACUUAUGCCCCUAACAUUGAACCGUCCAUGCUGAUAAGCGAUGAAGCUGUAUUCCAAGCCCUAACUGGGAUCGACUGGGCAACUGUUGAUUUCCAGCCACUGGGUAGAGAGGAGGGAGUUGAACCGGUGCGAGAUGAUCCGCAGUCGUCAGGCCAAGCUGGUGACCAACCAUGAACCGGAGGCCGGUUUAGUCUUCUACAUGCUGCAACAUGUAUUUGAGAAAACAAUUAUCCUUUUGGGCACUGAAACGCCUUGCAAUAUGCUAGUUAAAAUACUUGGUCUGGUAUGCCUUCGUGCAUAUUUAUCUACGACUGAUGCUUGCUUAAUCCGACAUGCUUAAGAUAUGAUAUUCAUAAUCCAUAGCCAUUUAUUCAAGCUGUUCCUGCAGAUAAGAAGCUUAAAGCGCCCUGGCGGUUUACCCCCGGGCGGGUGAUGAUACCCAAAUAUAUAUAUAUGAUCAAGGUCUGUAACCAAGGUUGUAAAAGAUAACCAAAUAUGGAAAUAUAUAAUACCUGCGACCUUUAGGCAUGAUGUUGGCUGACCAACUUUGUAGUGAGGGCCAUAACCCUACUCUGGAGGAUAAGUAAUUCCUGGUAUAUGAUGCCGGUUUACAAUAAAACCGUUCCGGGUUGUGAGAAACACCGGUUUAUUCCAUACUGGUGCCUUUGAGUCAAAACCAGACCGGGCUGAUAGUCUCCGGAUUAUAAUUUGAUCAUCUACUGACAACUUGUAGUUGACAGCCUAACAGGGUUGAUAAACACCGGUUUUAAAAAUGUCACAAAUCUUAUGAAACAAAGAAGACUUAGCAAAAGGCAAAUAAAAACCGUUGUAGUCGAGGGUUUUCACGGGCUGCCGGGCCCCAAAUUCGAGGCUUUUCAUGGGCUGCCAGGCCACUGAGUUAAACCAUUUUUGCAAAGCCUUUUAAGAUGGUCCUCAAUCCUUAACCAAUCAUCGUUUUAACUUGACAAGUUUAGGGUCUUCAUUUUAGAGUAACUUGUCAAAGUUCGAAGGGUCAUACCAGGUUUACCUGGGCGGAGUGACUUACUUAAAUAGGCAGGUUAACCCGGGGUUUUAGGUGUAUACACCAGGCUUUCAAGCCAUGGCUUGAUAGCCUGUUACAAGUGUAGAUUCUUAGUUCAUUUCGACAGCAAAGAAUCCCCAAGCAACAUUGUGAGCUGUGCUCAAUGGGUGCCUAUGUUUGAGCUGUUGUUUUACAACACUCCCUUUGGCCCCGGAUUGAUGUGGCUUUGAGCCGAUCAAGAGGUGUGACUGUGGUUCGGAUACGACCAAGCCCCCAAGUGAUGUUGUGGCAUUGUGCCGAUCAAGAGGUGUAGCUAUGGUUCAGAUACGACCAAGCCCCCAAGUGAUGUAAUAUAAAGCUUUGAGAAGCUAAAUCAAGGGGUAAACCGGAUGCCACUUUGUAAGCUCCAUGUAACCACACAUGAUGUAAGAAAAACAACAGAUACCCCGCUUUAGCUGAGGUUCCGGUUUAUUAUAUUGACCAUAAUAUAUACAAUGUCAUAAUAUGUACAUAAGCAGAGCCUAUAGCUCAAGUAUAGUAGGGCCGAAGAUGAGCAAUAUUCCACGGCCGGUUGGUCUCCUCCUUCGAUUUACGUGAGUCUUUGCGCUCUCGAACAUCGAUUAGGUAGUAUGACCCGUUGUGCAGAUUCUUGCUGACCACAAAGGGUCCUUCCCAAGGGGGGGAUAGCUUAUGCAUAUCCGUCUGAUCCUGGAUGAGCCGAAGCACCAAAUCACCUUCUUGAAAGGUUCCGGUUCUAACCCGACGGCUAUGAUAACGACGCAGAUCUUGCUGAUAAAUCGCCAAACGGGCUGCCGCCAUGUCACUUCCUCAUCUAACAGGUGAAGAGCUUCCUGUCGUGCCUUCUCGUUGUCAGCUUCAACAUAUGCCACUACACGAGGCGAGUCAUGACGGAUGUCACUAGGAAGAACUGCUUCCGCUCCAUAAACCAUGAAGAAUGGUGUGUAUCAUGUCGAUCUGUUGGGUGCGGUAUUGAUGCUCCACAACACAGAAGGUAACUCCUCAACCCAACAACCCGGCGUCCGUUGCAAAGGAACCAUAAGCCGGGGUUUGAUGCCUCUCAAGAUCUCUUGAUUGGCCCUCUCCGCUUGACCAUUGGACUGGGGGUGAGCCACUGAUGACACGUCAAGCCGGAUGUGCUCACGUUGACAGAACUCCUUCAUGGCACCCUUCGACAGAUUGGUACCAUUGUCUGUUAUAAUGCUGUGUGGAAAGCCAAACUAGAAGAUCACCUUUUUGAUGAAUUGAACCGCCGUGGCUGCGUCACACUUGCUAACUGGCUCUGCCUCCACCCACUUCGUGAAUUUAUCAACCGCCACCAAAAGGUGGGUCUUCUUGUCCUUGGACCUCUUGAAAGGCCGAACCAUAUCCAGCCCCCAAGUUGCAAAUGGCCAGGUGAUUGGAAUCAUCCUCAAUUCUUGAGCCGGUACAUGAGCGCGCCUUGAGAAUUUCUGGCAGCCAUCGCAUCUUUUGACCAAGUCCUCGGCAUCAGCAUGAGCUGUCAACCAAUAGAAACUGUGACGAAACGCCUUGGCCACCAAAGACUUUGAACCGGUUUGGUGACCACAAUCUCCUUCGUGGAUCUCACGCAAAAUUUCACGGCCUUCCUCAGGAGACACACAGCAUUGAAACGCCCCUGUCACACUGCAAUGAUGUAACUCUCCACUGAUAAUAGUCAUGGACUUGGACCGCCAGAUUAUCUGCCUGGCCAAAGUUUCGUCCUCUGGUAACUCGCCCCGGUUCAUAUACGCCAGAUGUGGAACCGUCCAAUCCGGGAUAACAUGAAGAGCCGCCACCAACUGAGCCUCCGGAUCAGGAACAGCCAAAUCCUCUUCACCAGGGAGCUUGACGGACGGAUUAUGCAAAACAUCCAUGAAGACAUUAGGUGGAACUGGUUUACGUUGGGAACCCAGGCGGCUUAAAGCGUCCGCCGCUUCAUUCUUCUGCCGGUCCACAUGAUCCACCCGAUAACCUUUAAAGUGACCUGCAACAAUAUCCACCUCACGACGAUAUGCUGCCAUUAGUGGGUCCUUGGAAUCCCAUGUGCCGGACACUUGUUGAGCCACCAGAUCCGAGUCACCGAAGCACUUAACUCAGCUUAGGUUCAUCUCCUUAGCCAUCCGAAGACCAUGGAGUAAAGCCUCAUAUUCAGCUGCAUUGUUAGUGCAAGGGAACAUUAAACGGAGAACAUAUAAAACUUAUCACCUCGUGGGGAAGUUAAUACGACUCCAGCCCCCGAGCCCUCCAAUUGCCCGGACCCAUCAAAAUGAAUAGUCCAAUAAGUAUGAUCCGGUUCUCCUCUGGCGCUUGUAAUUUUGUCCAAUCAUUGAUGAAAUCCACAAGUGCCUGAGAUUUGAUCGCCGUUCGGGGUAUGUAUUUCAACCCGUGAGGCCCGAGCUCUAUAGCCCACUUAGCAAUCCGGCCAGUUGCUUCCCUGUUCUGGAUUAUAUCUCCCAACGGAGCAAAGCUGACCACCAUGAUGGGAUGACCUUGGAAAUACUGCUUAAGCUUCCGGCUUGCCAUAAAAACCCCAUACACCAAUUUUUGCCAAUGCGGGUACCUCUGCUUGGACUCAAUAAGUACCUCACUGAUAUAGUAAACCGGCCGUUGAACCGGAUAUUCCUUUCCGGCCUCCUUGCGCUCCACCACAAUAGCCACACUAACAGCCCGGGCGUUAGCUGCCACAUAUAGCAACAAUGGCUCUUUGUCAACCGGAGCAGCGAGAACCGGCGGAUUAGCCAGCUGCCGCUUUAAGUCCUCAAAUGCUUCAUUAGCGGCGUCACUCCAGACGAAGUUAUCCGUUUUCUUCAGCAUCUGAUACAAAGGGAUGGCCUUCUCGCCAAGGCGACUGACAAACCGGCUCAACGCGGCAAUCCGGCCUGCCAGGCGUUGAACAUCAUUGAUACACUUCGGUUUAGCCAAGGAGGUGAUGGCUUUGAUCUUUUCCGGAUUAGCUUCAAUGCCCCUGUUAGACACCAAAAAGCCCAAGAGCUUGCCUGCAGGUACACCAAAGGCACACUUGGCCGGAUUAAGCAUCAUUUUAUAAACCCGCAGGUUAUCAAAGGUUUCCUUCAAGUCAUCAAUCAAUGUCUCCUUCUUCCUUGAUUUUACCACAAUAUCAUCCACAUAGGCGUGAACAUUGCGGCCGAUCUAUUUAUGAAGACAAUUCUGCACACACCGUUGAUAAGUCGCCUGGGCACUCUUGAGCCCAAAGGGCAUGGACACAUAGCAGAAGGCUCCAAAGGGAGUUAUGAAAGUUGUCUUCUCCUGGUUCUUAACUGCCAUUUUGAUCUGAUGAUAACCAGAAUAUGCAUCCAAAAAGCUUAAACGCUCGCAACCCGCCGUAGCAUCAAUAAUUUGACCAAUUAGGGGAAGGGCAAAAGGAUCUCCUGGACAAGCUUUGUUGAGAUCUGUGUAGUCCACACACAUACGCCAAGUGCUAUUCUUCUUGAGGACCAGCACCGGAUUAGCCAACCACUCAGGAUGGAAUACUUCAACGAUAAAUCCAGCCGCCAAGAGUCUGACUACUUCUUCUCCAAUAGCCUUGCGUCAUUCUUCAUUGAACCGGCGGAGAAACUGCUUGACCGGUUUAUACUUUGGAUCAAUAUUGAGAGUGUGCUCAGCGAGUUCUCUCGGUACACCUGGCAUGUCAGAAGGCUUCCAUGCAAAGAUGUCCCGAUUCUCACGGAUGAACUCGAUGAGCGCGCCUUCCUAUUUCGGAUCCAAGUUAGCGCUGAUGCUAAACUGCUUGGACGAAUCGCCAGGCACGAAGUCAACAAGCUUAGUCUCAUCAGCCGAUUUAAACUUCAGGCCGGAUCAUGCUCUGUAGUUGGUUUCUUCAACGAAGUCAUAUCUGCCGGAUCAACAUUGUCCUUGUAAAACUUCAACUCUUCUGUUGCAUAAACCGACUCAGCAUAAGCCGCAUCACCUUCUUCACACUCCAGAGCAAUCUUGCGGCUCCCAUGCACGGUUAUAGUUCCCUUGUGACCCGGCAUCUUGAGCUGCAGAUAGACAUAACAAGGCCGUGCCAUAAACUUAGCAUAAGCUGGCCGUCCAAAUAGGGCAUGAUACGGGCUUCUAAUUUUCACCACUUCAAAGGUCAAGGUUUCUGAUCUCGAGUCAUGCUCAUCUCCAAAAGCCACCUCCAGAGCUAUCUUACCAACAGGAUAUGCCGACUUACCUGGCACCACACCAUGGAACACCGUAUUGGACGGUUUAAGAUUUACAAUGUUGUUCUGACGAGGUGGAUCCACCAAACGUGCCUGAACCGGCGCCCCUGCUCCAGGUGCCUCCGCCCGGUUUACCACCGGCGGAUUACUGGUCCCUGCUCCUGGGGUGUUAAAGAGAUUUCUAGCGUCAUAAACCGGCGGCAGGCGAGAUCGGUACCUCCUCUUCAGGACUUCGUUUGACGCACUCUGAUCCAGCAUAAUCCAGUAAGCUUGUGCAUCCAAAGCGGCCCGCUCCGCGGCCAUCCUGGUAUCCUUAGCUGCUAAGUUGGCUUUGGCCUGGGUGAUCUGAUCUUUCACUUUCGCGAUUUCCGCAUUGUGUGCAUCCUGAUCCGCCGGGUUAACCUCCGCCAUCAGUGUUGCCAACACGUCAAACAAAUCAGAUAGAACCUGAGCUGGCGGUUGCACAGGGCCUCCUGCCCCGGCCGCUGUUGCCGCUGCCGAUCCGGAAAUCAUCGCCGCUGCGGUCGAAGAGUGGAGCGCCGGUUGCGUACCGGCCAUGAAGAUCGCAACCCGGUUUGGCAGAUCAAAGGGGUCCGGAAUACUGUUGCCAUCGGAACAGCCCCCAAUCCGGCCAUCUUGUAACUGAUAUAACGACUCGGUCUCUCCGGUCAAUGACAAGUCGCCGGAAUAAACGACGGUCUCACCACCAGAUUCCGAUCUAUCCUCAGAUUCCCCUCCAUGGAUAACUCCCACGAAGGCACGCUUCAUGACAGGCUUGACCCGAGCAGAUCUCGCACGCUGAGCCGUUUCGACAAGGUCGGUGCAGAUGUCCGGCUCAGGGCCCGGUUCGCCGAUGUUGCCAAUGAAAACGUGUAUGCCACCAAAGGGGACCCGGUACCCGUACUCGAUUGAGCCGGCCUUGGGGCCCCAGCCUGCAUCGUCGAUGUAGAGCUUGCCGCGACGACUCUUGGUUAUCCGGCCCACAGCGUAACCCUUGAGUCCUUCGAAGUUGCCCUCCAAGAACUUGAAACCAUCGUGUGAUAGCCCCACGGUGGGCGCCAACUGUCGUGGUUUUGUCACAGCAGAUGUCCUAGAGAAAGGACUUAGUCGUGGAGCCAUCGCUACGGGUUAGCUUAAAGGGGUUAAAGCGGACAAGGGACGCAAGAGAGUUUAUACUAGUUCGGCCCCUUACGAUGUAGGUAAAAGCCUACGUCUAGUUGUGAUGACCAGGGAGCGAAUACGCUUUGCCUGAGUCUCAAGUUGUUGUCUGUUGUCCUUGAACCGCCGCCGGGUCGCCCCUUAUAUACAUGGUUUGACGCCCGUCGGUUUACAGAAUCCCGAGGCCGGCUCAUAAUCGUGCCCGGUCGGUCUCUGCUACUUCUAUCUUACAAUACAAGUUUACAUAUCAAUGCCGGUUUAUGUCUACAAGCCUUAAACCGGCUUUGGGCCCUGGGCCUUCAUAAAGCGUCACCGUCUGUCUUCAUGGACUUCAGAUACAGAUGAACUGCUUAUGGGGUUAACCCGGCCUCUCUUGGCCGGUUUACGCCCAGUGGUAAUAUCCCCAACAGCCUCCAUCGCCAUGACGCCGUGCCCAACACCGCCACGACGGCCCCUGCACCGUGCCGCCGCACCUCCUGGUUGCGCUGUUGUCUGCUGCAGCAAGCCGCCUCCUCGUCUGAACUGCAACGCCCCUCCUUUCUUCCUUCUUCUCUCCCUGACCUCCCUGUCUCCUUUCUGCCCAGGAGUCAUGGAUGAAUUUUUGCUCUGGCCUUCCUCAUCGUCACCGGCAACCGCCGCCUCGCCGCCCGCAUCUGGAUCCGCCCCUCCCACCUGCCGCGCACGAAUUGGGCCUUGCAAGCUCCAGCCCCUGUCGUUCUUCUCCAUCAUGGCCACGUGGGUUCAUCAUUCGAAAAAUGCAGGGUCUUUUUUGCAAGAACGAAACGUUUUUAGCCACUUGCAAUAGGACUGCGGGUUGAAUUCUUAGAAUAGAGGGACUUUUCUGUAAAAAUGACAAUGACGUACGACCAGAAGCAAUCGCUGGUUUAUUAUUACUAGGAAAAUUGCUCAUGCGUUGUAACGGGAGGAGAAAAAGUUAAUGUGCUUCACUGGAAAGCAAACAUCAAUUAUCAUUAAUUAGAUUGGCCAGGUAGAGAAUAAGAAACAGAAAAAUGUUACGACGUUGUAGAUCAGAUCGUUGAUGCCUAGUGAAAAAUAUACCACAUGGACAGAUUAAUCAUUUUAUUACGAUAAAGAAAUGGUGUGCAUGUAGCACUUCCAAAGUUAUUUAAGCAUGAAUGCAAUUGUUGUUGUUCCUCCAUAGCAUCAAUAUCUAGGGCAAAAGUGUAUAUUAGGUGAUUGUCAAGUUGCUCCAUACCACGUCCAACGUGUCCAUCAUUAGGGACAUUAGAGCGUCUACAGCCGGAUGUUGCAAAUUUGGGCCCUCAAAUAUCCACCGACGCGCCUGUGGCCAGUGACCGGGCGGACCUCAAAUUCUAACAUUUGCAACCACAUACCUUAUUUCCAAAACAACAAUUACAUGCAGGGCCAUGCACGACGAUCACAGUGUCCAUCUUGGGCCGGAUGGGCUGUCCAAACACACCGGAAAUUGCACGUUAAUUAAGAUUUUCGCAUUCAUUUAGUCCAACCUUGCCGCUUGAUGAGCUAGUCGACCGCUUAAAUAGCUGGGUCGUCCAGAAGCGACAAGCUUCUAACAUCACUGCAUCCUUUGUGGAGGAAAUAGUCUGUUAGUAUGAAUCUUCUAUAAUUAAAACAUAGAAGGAUUCUUCUAUGAUUCAUGGUGAGAACUCCUUCACAAAGAAAUAUUAAUCUCAAUAUUUUUUUCAGUCACAAUGUGUCUAUAAAACUUGGUGAACAAGAUAAAAAUCAAUUCUCAUUGUAGUAGGGGUAUCAUCGUAUAUGAUCGAGGCAAACUUGCCACUCGAUGAACAAGUGCAUCAAAUGCAAUCUAGUUUCAAAUUUAUCUCGAUCAUACAUGCGAGAAUUGAUAGACCUACACAACAAUAACCAAGCUUGCCGCCAUCCGCCGGAGCAACUAUUUAAGUCGAGCGGCGCCGGACUCGCCCGACGAUUUGGGACUAAAAUUUGGGUGCACCGAUGAGAGAGGGAGGAGAUUCGGUUUGAGAGGUCAGUUUGAGGCGCUUCUGUAUCUUCAGAUCGUGUCGUGUCUCUUUCAUGUUCUUUUUGUCAGACUGUCUGGAAUCCCCAAUUCUUAGCUUCUCCUUGUUGGCCUAGAAAACUCAAAAGAGUAUAUAAACUGAGAUAAUUGGAUAUAAAUUAGCGAUGUGGGACUAUUGAAUAUUGAAUAGAUGAAUGAAUUAGUCCUUGCAUCGUGCGUGACGUGCAGGCCGUGGCUGAGACGCGCGGUGGUGAGCCCAGUCCAACAAGAGAUAAGGGCUGCGGGCAUAAUUUCUAACAAAUGUAGGGGUUUUUACGCAAAAAAUGAAACGUUUUAUCAGAGUGCCACUUAAACAGGGACUGCGGGUUUAUUUUAAAGAAACAGAGGGGCUUUUUUACAAAAACGCCGACGACGUACGACCAAAAGCAAUAACUGGUUUAUUAGUAGGCAGAGAUAGGUAGAGAUAGAGAUAGAGAGGUAGAGAUUAGGGAAAGAUAAAAGAUCAUCAUUUUUUUCCUUUUGUGCAACUCACACCACAGCGAAGUGUAUUCUGUCAUGAAAUUUUACAUAGAUGUACGUAGUACGCAGCUCUAUGUUCAUGUGUAUGAAUUUUUCUGAAACCUCGAAAUAUGAUUUUCGCACGUGAACUGUAAAACGGGUGUCAUGGAGUCUAAGCUCCAAAAAACCACACUCGUUCUAGAGUUCUUUGAUGUCCAUCCCUUCUCUUUUCCCCGAGUAGAACAUAUCCCUUCACCCGCAAAAAAAAAAGAACAUAUCCCUUAUAUAUGAUCCCGGUUACAUGUGCCCCAUCAAGCACCGUUCGGCCGACCCACAUGAUCGUCUAGUGAAAAGUAGGUCUCGUCCUCAUAAGGCCAACCAACAAGAGGACAAAGGAGAUGACAAAUGGCAUCGGCAGCGGAGAAGAGGGCGGGCGGCAAGACCAUCGUCCUAUAGAGCGUGGACGGCAAGAGGUUUGAGCUUUCCGAGGAGGCAGGGAGGAUGUCCAAGGUCAUCGUCGCCAUGAUCGGAGAAGGUCAUGCAUGCUGGCAUCCCGAUCCCGCUCCCCAUCCCCUUCAGGGAGCUCGCCAAGGUCUGCGAGUACUGCACGGAUGUCGGCACCAGCAACUCCGGCACGGCCUCCACCAUAGCUGGCUGGGGCAAGGAGUUCGUCAGCAGCAUCUGCAUUGGCUUCGUCUUCACCGCCGAGGGGAUCCGCGCAAGCGACUUCAACAUUAUGGGAGCACUCGAGCAUUUGAUGCAACUUUUUUUUAGUUUAUUUUUCUUAUUUUCGAAUUGCCGUUCAUGGGGGCAUAUGAGCUCGGGGUAGCUGUGAAUUACCCUUCUUUACUUGACUAUAACAAGGAAAUGGCUGAAACUGAUCAGGUUCCCGAGCCCGUGAAUAUAUUCGCACCCGCACCCAACUCUCUGUCGGAUCAUCAAAGAUGUGUCCUCUUGCAAUGUGCUUGGUUCCAAACAAUCCCCUCUAUUUGUUCUGCAAUUCUUAAACCAUCUGGUGGAUGUGUUGUUUCAUUGACAGAAUUUUCCCACAUGCAUCUGCCAUUCUGCCCUGCUCCACAUUAUAUACCAAUUUAACACCAAGUACACUGAUCCAGCCAGGACCGGAGCGCCCCAUGAAGAUCAAUCGGCACAACACUAGCUAUGGCUUUUAUCAGCUUUAUUCCGAGGACACCAUGCAAAUAUAGUACAACUACUUGGUGCCAAUAAGAAUCCAUAGUUCAGGCAACAGUGAGCUAAACCGAACAGCUAGCAGAAUAAGUUCUCUCCACAAAGUAGUGUCACUAAAUCGCGGCGCAAUGCCCAUACACAUCACAGUAGUUCAUGGAACAAAUCAUGUCGUGGAUCUUUAGAGGUAGUAGUAAGAAAGCAGAGGCGCCAACACCGCGGCUAGGAGGAGGGUUGCCGCCGUGACAGGAGACCUGGUCGCUGCCGAUUUCGCUGGGCUUGGGCUGACGGUUGCCGGUGUUGAUCCGGAAGUUGGUGUAGGUGCUGCAAGAUGCAUUCCGAUUUCAGUAUAGAGAAAUGGAAGUAAGAUUCAGGGGACAGAAAAGCAGAAACCAACGUUUGUUUCAAUUCAGGACUUCAGGCAAUAAAGUAAACGGGUGGUGGUUUCUCUCUAUCAGUCCCUCAUCAGCUUCACACCGAUGAACAAUCCUUGACGGUGAACUUAAUACAAACUGAUGCAUGUACGCAAAUCAUAUCUUUUAGCAUCUCACACAUUCUAUCACUAAUUGAAGGCCACAAUUGGCGCUUUCGAUCAUUUAGUGGUUGCUAUCCAUAAUGGUUUGUCAAUUCUGUUGUGUGCGUGAUCCAGUACAUCUGGCUGUCAAACCCUCAUGUAAAAUUGCGAUGACAUUGAAAGGAACCACCACUAUGACAGCAAUACUUUAUUAGUGAUGUCUUCGUCUAUAGUACAAAUUAAUAUUUUGAAGGUUUGCUAUGUGCCAAUUUCGUUCUUCUUUAUGAAUCUCAAAAUCAUUCUUUUUGUGAUGUUUUUAUUUCAAGUGGAGAGUCUCAACAACAAAAAAUUUCUGUUUUUUCACAUGCAGACCACUGAAAGAUAGUACUGCUGUACUCUACUCCCUCCGUUCCUAAAUACUUGUCUUUCUAUACAUUUCAACAAGUGACUACAUACGGAGUAAAAUGAGUGAAUCUACACUCUAAAAUAUGUCUACAUACAUCCUAUGUGAUAGUCAUUUGAAAUGCCUAGAAAGACAAGUAUUUAGGAACGGAGGGAGUAGAUGCUAGAGGAGUCCAUAAAAAUUCUCUGUAGCCCAAGAAAGCAUUGAUGUCAAUGCCCAUGGACACAUUCAUAUGUUUUCCCCUUGAUCUCAGAGUGGAAAAUGGAGGUAGAGAUAAAUCGACUCUAGCUCUUGGUAGUUCUUUAACCAUUUCAGAUUGGAGCGUGUGUUGAUUAGAUCUAAUUAACGUUUUUUUUUGCACGGAUCUACAGGAAUAAAGAGAGGGAUUCAAAAUGUACGAGCUGCAAAGGAGAGAAAGAGGGGAAUUACCUUCAGUAGGGGCGCCGUUAGGGGCUCCGCCGGGCAGUUUCACUGCAGGACAACAAAAAUAAAGUCAUACCAACAGCGCAUGUGCGUGCGUGCCCCUCCAUGAACACCCGAGGACAGAUCACAAAUCGACACGGGGAAAAGAAAAUGAGAACAAGAUGGGAAGAUGGCUCACGGCUGCAGUUGCUGAGGGCGGCCGGGUUGCCGCCGCAUGCGGCGGGGAGGCCCUUGGCGCGGGUGAGGUUCAUGGGGAUGCCGUAGUCCUUGCCGAAGGCGUCGCAGAGGCAGGCGACGCUGGCGGGGCUGGCGAGCGCGGCCUUGACGCCGGCGCAGCACUCCUUGGGCGGCUUGCCCUGCGCGGCCCCUGGCGAGAUGUAGGGGAGGCAGCCGGUGAGGCCCGUCAGCGCGGAGCCGCAGUCCCCCGCCGGCGCCGCCGGCCCCGCCGCCGGCGCCUGCGACGCCGCGCCGGACGCCAGCGCGAGGACGACGGCCAGGAGAGCCACGACGGCGUGGGUGGGGCGCGCCAUGGCGGGUGCUCGUGCUUGAGUGCGGGGGCGGCGUGGGGGACGGGGAGUGGAAGCGCGGUGUGGUGGUGGACUGGACUGGUGGGCUGUGGGCGGCUGGUCUGGCUUUAAAGGUGGCGGCUUCUCGGCGCGGCCAGCGAGUACAGUAGGGUUUCCUCCUGUGGUGGUGGUGGUGGUGGUGACUAUCGUUAUCUACCGGGCGCACCGGAAAGCGGUUGGUUGGCCGAGUGCUCGGCGGUUGGCGCGGGAGCGCGCGACUGGACUGCCACGUUGGGAACCGCCUUUUCUGCGUCCUUGGAAACGGUAAACAUCAUGGCAUAUACUCACUCCUUUNNNNNNNNNNNNNNNNNNNNNNNNNNNNNNNNNNNNNNNNNNNNNNNNNNNNNNNNNNNNNNNNNNNNNNNNNNNNNNNNNNNNNNNNNNNNNNNNNNNNNNNNNNNNNNNNNNNNNNNNNNNNNNNNNNNNNNNNNNNNNNNNNNNNNNNNNNNNNNNNNNNNNNNNNNNNNNNNNNNNNNNNNNNNNNNNNNNNNNNNNNNNNNNNNNNNNNNNNNNNNNNNNNNNNNNNNNNNNNNNNNNNNNNNNNNNNNNNNNNNNNNNNNNNNNNNNNNNNNNNNNNNNNNNNNNNNNNNNNNNNNNNNNNNNNNNNNNNNNNNNNNNNNNNNNNNNNNNNNNNNNNNNNNNNNNNNNNNNNNUUAGUUCCUGUAAAUUCAACUAAAUAUUUGGCUGCUCGAUAUGCCGUUUUGUUUCUAGUAUUUCCCCAUCCCGUGACUUUAACCGCCAAUGGCAACGCAUGUUUUUUUUUUUCUUUCUUUGAUCUGCAUGCUGACAUUCGGCGGUCCAUGUGAAGGUAUUUCCCCCUGAACACUCUGCGACAGCGAUGCACAGCUGUGGUGCGGGUGUGGCCAGCCCAAAUUCCGUCUUGCGCCUUUGCACUUGCAAAUAUGGAAUGCAAGAUGGAGAGGCAUGCAUGUGAUCUUCCAGCUGGUUUGCAUCCUCACAUGCUCUCUCUCCAGUACCUACCUGGCCCAUGGAAUUAUUGAUCAAUCCAUACUACAUUCUGGGACGGUAUCCUUAUCUCGCACAGUGCUGUCGAUCUCGCGUGAGAGCGCGGAUAACCUCACCUCACAUAUUUCGGUACAGCCAGCCUUGUCAAUGCCGUUUCCCUUUGCAAACGGAAAUGAUAAGGCAGUCUAGACUAGUUUUACAUCAUCAAGUGCCGUAAAACUUACGUGAUUGAAAAAAGAUAGACUGUGCUCCUCAAUCGAACAGAGAAAAAUGAUGUCUUUUGCAGUUCGUGGGUUUACCUCGAUAGAAAGGUCAGGUCAGUCUACUUUGCCGGCGGAAGUUCCCGUGAAAAGAAGGGAAAUGGUAGGCGUUUGUUGACGAAUCUCAUGAUCUCAUCUGGUAUCACCUUCACACACACACUUCGGUUGCACUGCACUUCGUCUGCAUGCAUACCGACGAGACGAUGCCGACCAGCGAUGAGGAUAUAGAAGAAGGAAAAAGGUGCGCUGCGUCCACAGGCAACAGUCUCUUUUCUCCCGAUAAAUCGCGUGUGCACAUGCGGCCACGCGAGGUUGUUAUCCGCACCCCUCGUCCCCAUGCGGUUGGUGCUAACUCCAAUACAACGUUGGCGUAUAAACUUCAUUGGGCAGCAUACAACAUCUUGUAUAGCGCUCGUAUUCCCACAUGCCAUCUGGUAAUGACAACGGCUAGCUGCAACAGGCGGCAGCGACCAGCGCGGAGGCAUUUACUGCGUGGUAGUGACAACGGCUAGAUGCGUGUUGGUCACCGUUCAGUCGCAACGGCUAGCCGGGCGACGCUCCUCUCUGUCUUUUUAAAUGCCAUGCUUGCUUGCUUCGGAUGGCCAUUCCAAGCUGCUCCCCUUCUCCAUUCCUCUCAGCUUAGCUGGGCUUGCAAAGCAUGUGUUCGUCCAUGUCCCGUAGUAGUGCAACACCACCUCCAUCUCAUCACACGAGCAAUCAGAUGCCUCCACUCCCGCUCAUCCGUUGCCCCGAAUGCAACACCACCUCCAUCUUCCUCCUCAAGUUCUGAAGUAUCAUCCCGUCUGCGUACGUAGUGUCAUACUCAUACAUGUCUUCAUCUUGCUGUGCUCAGUGCAGUUUGAUGUACCCACCGCACGGCCAUGGGCAUGAACAGGGCACUGUCGUAGUCAUAUAUGUAUUGUAUCCCCUCUGCGUAGGGACUGCCGUUUCUUUUUCCUACCGUAGUCAUAUAUAUAUAUAUGUUCUAGUAUCGCUAGCCGAUCUGCAUGUAUCAGCUAGUACGUCCAGCUUGCCCAUGCAGGGGCGGGAGCUUCUAUGUCCAAUAAAUUAUCUAGCACCCGUCUUAAGCGGGCGCUGAGGGAGUCCUGGAUUAGGGGGUUCUCGGACAGCCGGACUAUAUCCCUUAGCCGGACUGUUGGACUAUAAAGAUACAAAUUGAAGACUUCGUCCCGUGUCCGGAUCGGACUCUCCUUGGCGUGGAAGGCAAGCUUGGCAAUACGGAUAUGUAGAUCUCCUCCCUUGUAACCGACUCUGUGUAACCCUAGCCCCCUCCGGUGUCUAUAUAAACCAGAGGGUUUAGUCUGUAGGACAACAACAAUCAUACCAUAGGCUAGCUUCUAGGGUUUAGCCUCUACGAUCUCGUGGUAGAUCAACUCUUGUAAUACUCAUAUCAUCAAGAUCAAUCAAGCAGGAAGUAGGGUAUUACCUCCAUCGAGAGGGCCCGAACCUGGGUAAACAUCGUGUCCCCCGCCUCCUGUUACCAUCCGCCUUAGACGCACAGUUUGGGACCCCCUACCCGAGAUCCGCCGGUUUUGACACCGAUAUUUGUGCUUUCAUUGGGAGUUCCACUGUGCCGUCACAACAAGGUUUGAUGGCCCCUUCGAUCAUCGGCAACGAUGCGAUCCAGGGUGAGGUUUUCCUCCCCGGACAGAUCUUCGUAUUCGGCGGCUUCGUACUGCGGGCCAACUCGCUUCGCCAUCUGGAGCAGAUCGAGAGCUACGCCCCUGGCCAUCGGGUCAGGUUUGGAAACUUGAACUACACUGCCGACAUCUGCGGAGACUUGAUCUUCGACGGAUUCGAGCCCAUGUCAAGUGCGCCGCACAAUCACGACGAGCAUGACUUAGCUCUGCCGUCGGACAGUGUUCAGGAGAUCACACCUGCAACUACUCCGGUCCUCAAUCCGGAACAAAUUGCGCCAUCUAAGGACGGGUGGAUAGACCCCGCCAUGGAGGCCGCACUCUCAGUGGCGAUAGAGCCGAAUACUGACUUCACCUCCUAUGAGAGCCGUGUUGCCGAACCGUAGGAUUCGUCCCCGGACACGGGCUCCAAGCCACUUGCGUCCGUGCCUAUCGAAUCUGAUUGGGCACCGAUCAUGGAGUUUACCUCCGCGAAUAUCUUUCAGCACUCGCCCUUUGGCGACGUACUAAACUCGUUGAGGUCUCUCUCCCUGUCAGGAGACCCUUGGCCGAACUAUGUUCGGCUAGAAUGGGAUGCGGACGACGAAGAAAUUCGCUCCCCACCCACCACCCACUUAGUAGCCACAGUCGACGAUUUAACCGACAUGCUAGACUUCGGCUCCGAAGACAUCGACGGUAUGGACGACGAUGCAGGAGACGAACAGGAACCACCGCCCACAGGGCGCUGGACUGCCACCUUAUCAUAUGAUAUAUACAUGGUGGAUACCCCCAAAGAAGGUGAUGGCGAUAAGACAACGGAGGAUAAUCCCUCCAAGAAGCAAUCCAAGCACCGACGUCAGCGGCGCCGCUCUAAGUCCCGCCAUAGCAAGAGCAGCGAUACCGGCACAAGAGACAAUAACACUCCGGAUAGUGCCGAAGACGAUGACAAUCCCCUCCAGCCAGAUUUAGAGCGGGAGGAUGAACAAGCUAGCCCUCCAGAACAGGCAGCAGACGGAGAAAUGGAGGAUGACAAUUACAUGUCUCUCUCCGAAGACGAGGUGAGCCUCGGCGAUGAAGAUUUUAUCGUGCCUGAGGAUCCCGUCGAGCAGGAGCGCUUCAAGCGCCGGCUUAUAGCCACAGCAAACAGCCUGAAGAAAAAGCAACAACAGCUUCGAGCUGAUCAAGAUCGGCUAGCGGACAGAUGGACUGAAGUCCUAGCGGCCGAGGAAUACGAACUUGAACGCCCAACCAAGAGUUACCCAAAACGCAGGUUGCUACCCCAACUCGAGGAGGAAGCAUUAAAACCUACAUCACCAGCGUAUGAUGCGGCGGAUCGGCCACCUCGUGGCCGAGACAGAGGGGCAUAUCAGCCCGAAGUCCAGCCCGCACCCCGUCACCAGACAACCAAAAACACCAAGGCCCGGGGCAACACGCGGGACCUGCGAGACGUAUUGGAAAACAAAGCAGGGCAUACAAGAUCAAUCUACGGAUCACGGGGUCGCGCCCCAACGCGGGACGAUGAUCGUCACGCCGGAUACACUAAACGCAAAUCCGGCCGGGCCGAAUACAGCAGACAAGACUCGUAUGAACUGCAUCGUGAUAUAGCCCGGCACAGAGGCGCCGCACACCCCCUAUGCUUCACCGAUGAAGUAAUGGACCAUGAGUUCCCAGAAGGAUUCAAACCCGUGAACAUUGAGUCAUACGAUGGCACAACAGACCCCGCAGUAUGGAUCGAGGAUUUCCUCCUCCACAUCCACAUGGCUCGCGGUGAUGAUGUACAUGCCAUCAAGUACCUCCCACUAAAACUCAAAGGACCAGCUCGGCAUUGGCUGAAUAGCCUGCCAGCAAACUCCAUUGGUAGUUGGGAGAAUUAGGAAGAUGCAUUCCUUGACAACUUCCAGGGCACUUAUGUGCGACCACCAGAUGCUGAUGACUUGAGCCACAUAACCACUACUAGGAAAAGGGCUAUAGAUGGAAUGGCCACUAAUGGCGCACCACAUGUCUGGUGCGCCAUUAGUGUGAAAGACACUAAUGGCGCACCAGACAAACGGUGCGCCAUUAGUAACAAAUUUUAUUUUUUUAUUUUGCCAGACAUACUAAUGGCGCACCAGCACAUAGUGCGUCAUUACUAGUUGUAACUAGUAAUGGCGCACCAGCAACAUAGUGCGCCACUAAUUUUUUUUUUACUUUUUUGCAAAACUACUAAUGGCGCACCUGGUGCGGUGCGCCAUUACUAGUUUAAGCUAGUAAUGGCGCACUGCUCCCCGUGCGCCAUUAGUGUAUAUUUCAUGGACACUUGAUCUCGAUCCCCCUCCAUCUCGCGAUCGCUAUCCCACCUCGCCAGAUCCGGUCCCCCUCGCCGCCGAGCACCCCCUGCACCCUCUACCCCGCUCCACCGGGCGCCGCCCCCGACCCCCCGCACCCUCCCCCGCUCCACCGCCGCCGACGACCCACCGCANNNNNNNNNNNNNNNNNNNNNNNNNNNNNNNNNNNNNNNNNNNNNNNNNNNNNNNNNNNNNNNNNNNNNNNNNNNNNNNNNNNNNNNNNNNNNNNNNNNNNNNNNNNNNNNNNNNNNNNNNNNNNNNNNNNNNNNNNNNNNNNNNNNNNNNNNNNNNNNNNNNNNNNNNNNNNNNNNNNNNNNNNNNNNNNNNNNNNNNNNNNNNNNNNNNNNNNNNNNNNNNNNNNNNNNNNNNNNNNNNNNNNNNNNNNNNNNNNNNNNNNNNNNNNNNNNNNNNNNNNNNNNNNNNNNNNNNNNNNNNNNNNNNNNNNNNNNNNNNNNNNNNNNNNNNNNNNNNNNNNNNNNNNNNNNNNNNNNNNNNNNNNNNNNNNNNNNNNNNNNNNNNNNNNNNNNNNNNNNNNNNNNNNNNNNNNNNNNNNNNNNNNNNNNNNNNNNNNNNNNNNNNNNNNNNNNNNNNNNNNNNNNNNNNNNNNNNNNNNNNNNNNNNNNNNNNNNNNNNNNNNNNNNNNNNNNNNNNNNNNNNNNNNNNNNNNNNNNNNNNNNNNNNNNNNNNNNNNNNNNNNNNNNNNNNNNNNNNNNNNNNNNNNNNNNNNNNNNNNNNNNNNNNNNNNNNNNNNNNNNNNNNNNNNNNNNNNNNNNNNNNNNNNNNNNNNNNNNNNNNNNNNNNNNNNNNNNNNNNNNNNNNUAUGAUUUAAACAAGUUUGAACAUAUUUAAACACAAAUAAAUAUCAAACAGCAUUUUAAAUGCAUAAAAAAAUUGGGGAGCCUGGGAAUCGAACCCAGGACCUCCUAGUGUGUGUGCUGCGUGCUGACCAGUCGGGCUAGUGGGCAUGUUCUAAUGGAGAUAGGGUUAGGUGGGAUAUAACCUGACCAGUCGGGCUAGUAAGUAAAACAAAAUUCUAAUGGCGCACCAGGGGGAGGUGCGCCAUUAGAAUCGACGUACUUAUGGCGCACCAGGGGGAGGUGCGCCAUUAGAAUUUUUAUACUUGUUCCCCUCGCACUGUCGCCUCCCUCCCUCCCUCGCUCGCCAGAUCCCCCACUCCUCGACCCCAACCGUACGCCGCCGCCCCCUUGCUCCGCCCCCUCCGUCCGCCGCGCCUGCACGCCGGCGAGCGCGGCCCCGACGCGCCCAUCCCGCCUGCCCCUGCCGUGCUCCGCCACCGGCCCCUGCUCUCCUUCGACCGCGGCGAGCGAGGACCCGGAAGAGCUCAGAUCCCGACCGCGACCCCUUCGCCGACCCCGACCCGACCCCUCCGGCGACCAGGUACCUCUCCUCCUUCCUCCUUCCUCCCUCUCUCCACCACUCCCCAUUCCCUCCCACCUGUCCAGCGCCGACUCCAUCACCAUGGACUGACUCCCUCGCAGUCGAGAUCCGCCCCGUCGACGUCUAGCAGCCUAGCUCGACCUCCAGCCACUCCAGCUCCCUGGUGCGCCAAAAAGGUGGCAGCUCGUAGGUAAUAACACAGAAGCUCAAGGUGACCAGGGCUCAAGGUACUAACACAGAAGCUGACAAUGUCCCAUGCUCUAGUUCUGUCCAUUCUCUACCACUUCGAGGGUAACUUUGAAUUUCAGAAAUUUCCGAAGAAACAAAAUAUGAACUGUAUGAUACAAUAUAGAGCAGACUUGGUGAGUCAAGUUUUAGCUCCUUUCUCCGAACUUCAUCUCGUAGCUGACAGUAAUCCAAGGCCUGAAAUGUCGAAUAAUAUUUUUCAGAUAAGUUAAGAAGAUCAUAGGGCCUCUGUAUUUGAGAAAUGCACACACCCAUAUUGUGAAGACAUAUCAAACUAAAAAACAAUUGCGAGCACUUUAAAAGAGGGUCCUCUGUUUCUGUUAUUUUCUAAUUCACUAUGACCACUUUGCACACACGCAGAUGUAAUCAAAAUAACAACAUCUGUAUUCAUCAACCUCUGAUAUGGAUAUCAUACUCGUGUAUUCAGUGAUGGCCUAGUGUACACAAAAGUCAGUCACACACCAAACAUUGGGAAUGCAUAGCCUGUUGGAGUAUUCCUUCUUGAGCCAGGCUCGUAGCCUCGUACAUUGCUUUUAGUAUGGGUGUAGAAUCUCUAGCAGAUAGUUCACUAGUAUAACAACAAUGGUCAUUGUUUAGUAUUUGGCACUUCUGUUUAGGUUAAAACAAUGUUAUUUUUUUGUUCUUUUGCAAAGAUUAGAGUGCAGCAGCCCUGUAGAUUGUGAUUAAUUACUAUAUGAUUCAGUUCUAAAUAUUUUGUUUUAUGAUCCCAGUGCAAAGGAAUUCAUAUUUUAGUUUACAUCUGUCUAUGUAGUGUGUUGUGAAGGCCAAGUUUGAGAAGUGGUGGUGUCGCAGAGCAAUCCUCUCCCUUGAUAGGUACAAUGUCCACUCUUCCACAUGUCUUAGUUUUUUUAAUGCAAUUGCUUCAUUGCCAUAUUACAUCAUUAACUGUUAUAUAUUCCAAAUCGUGCAAAACUUCAAUAGGUCAAACCUUAUGUGAUGAUACAGGUUGUUAGUUGCUACUAGAAAGUGUUGAGAGAUAUUAAAGCGGUGUAACAAUUGCUGUCGGGUUUAGCAACUGAUAUCUUCUUCAUCUCCUUUUGCACUGCUUACAUGUAAGGUAUUGUAGUUUAGGUGCUUCUUUCACCAGCUGCAAAACAAUGCAGCUGGUGCUUGAUGCAUGUGUUAAUGCAUGCAUAAUGCUAGUAAGCUCCUGUUAUGGGUCUCAAGCAUGAAUGUACCCCAAGAUUUCUAUUGGAACUGGACAUGUGUUAAUGCAAUUAGGUGCUUCUUUCACCAGCGGCAAAACAAUGCAAUUUCAUACGUUUUCACCAGCUGCAAAACAUCAUAAAAAUACCAUUAGGUACUUCCGUAAACACAAAAAUAGAAACAAUGCAAGACAUGGCUUGUCUCUGAUCCUCUGUUUUCUUUUUUCAUUGGUUGCAUUUUGAUCCUAAAUGUCAAUCAAUAAGUCUAUUAUUAGGAAUCAGCAAAGUUGAUUAUCUAUUCUACAUAAUUUCUAAUCUGAUGUUUGCAUUUCCUAACUGUAGCAUUUUUUUCUCAGACCAAGGCAAAUGAAAUCGACUAAAGAAAGAAAUAGCAUUUACCAAUUACCACUAACCAUGGCACUAAUGUUUCACCUUAGAUCAUAUGUUUGUUCUCUGAUACACAUGUGGGAAACCUUCUAAACAACAACCUAUUAAUGGUAGGUGUUCUUUGUAUUGUGGAAUACAUCGCAUGUUUUAUAAAUGGGGUCAGAUGUAUAAUUAGUCGAUGUAUAAUCCUGGUACUAAUUGGUCUCUUCUGCUGCUUAUCAGAGAUGGGGGGAAGCAGCCACCGCCGCUCUGCCUCACCGGAGUACGAGUUGGAUGCUUUCGAGUUCUUCAGUAUCAUACUUGGGACUUCAGUAUCAGCCACGAGGCAGGUAUAUAAAACGAGAGAUCUCCCCUUCACCCAUCUCAUUAUGAUAACUCUGUUGUUUGCUACAUCACUCCUUGUCCCAAAUUGCAGAGGCUGCCUGACACUUUUAUGAACAUGCUGGGUGAAGAUCCGCCACAUAAUGUGAAGCUCCGACAGGCCGGCAGCGGGGUUCGCAGGCUGUGGGACGUGGAGUUGGUGAUCGAGGAGGGCCACAUGUACCUGUGCCGUGGCUGGGAGAAGUUCUACAGUGCCUACGACCUACGGACCGGGUACUUUCUUCUCUUUAGGUACGACGAUGACGCCACAAUGCUCAUCGUGAAUGUUUUCAACACGACUAUGUGUCGCAUGCGCUACACUGACGACGAAGAUGCCAGUGCGUUCUGCCUCUUCUUAUUCCUCUACAUUUGGCUUUGUCUCACAUCGAUUGUUAACGGCCAUUGUUGCAUUUGGACAGGCAAUGGGAGCAGCAGCAGCGACACUGGCUAUAGCCAAAGCAGCAGCGAUUAUGGUUGUAGCAAAAGCAACAACGAUUCUGGCUUUAGCGAAAGCAGCAGCGAUUCUGGCAGCAGCAAAGACAACAAGAAGGAUGAUCCGGACUGGAGUGGGGGAGAAGAGGAGCAGAGUGGGCCGCUGCAGGAUGACGAUGGACAUCAGGCUGAGGAUGACCUAGCGCUGGUGGUGGCUGACCAAGGGCAAGAGAUGUUGGUGGUUGACCAUGGGCAAGAGAUGGUGGUGGCUGACCAUGGGCAAGAGAUGGUGCUGGCUGACCAUGGGCAAGAGAUGGUGGUGGCUGAGGAUGACCUAGCGAUGGUCGUGCCCGUCCUGCCUGAAGGUGGCCUCACGAUGGUGGUGGUGCCUGACAAUGACCACGCACCGGUGGUGGCGCCGGCGAUCCCACAACUGGGCGACAUGACCACGCCAAUUGUGGUAGAAGACUACAUCCCACAGCUGCCUCCACCGCCUCGCCGCUCUUGGCGCAUCAGGCUGAGGAAGGAGAAGGAGAAGAACAAUGAGAACUGAACUAUGUGAAACUUUUGUAAUAUGGUGUUGGAUGGAUAACGAUGUUGGAUGAACAAUGUGAAACUUUUGUAAUAUGUAACGAUGGAACUAUGUGUUGGCUAUGUAUGUAUAUAUGAUGAAACUUGUGUGUUGGAUAUGAUUGUUAUAUGGAUGCUUGUUGUAUAUAUAUGUGUUGGAUAUCUCAUAUGUGAAAUAGUGACCUGAGAUUAAGAAAAAAACGAUUUUUUUAAAUAAAAAAUGCUACUAAUGGCGCACUUCCAUCUGGUGCGCCAUUAGUAUACCAGUUACUAAUGGCGCACCUAUGGGAUACUAAUGGCGCACCCGUGGUGCGCCAUUAGUAUACCAGAUACCAAUGGCGCACCUGUGGUGCGCCAUUACUAAAAUAUUCUAGUGGCGUGGUGCUAGUGGCGCACCAGUAGUGCGCCAUUAGUAGGCAAAACUGGUGCGCCACUAGUAAGCCUUUUUCUAGUAGUGAACCCAACAGCCUAGGGAAUCGGCCAGGAAAUUCUGGACUCGGUUCCUAACGAAAAAGAACCAAAUCGUCGACUGUCCGGAUGCCGAGGCCUUAGCGGCAUUUAAGCAUAACAUCCGGGAUGAGUGGCUCGCCCGACACCUCGGCCAAGAGAAGCCGAAGUCCAUGGCAGCCCUCACGACACUCAUGACCCGCUUUUGCGCAGGUGAAGAUAGCUGGCUGGCUCGCAGCAACAACACAUCAAGGAAUCCCGGCACUUCAGAUGCCAAAGAUAAUAACGGCAGACCACGUCGUAACAGACACAAGCGCCGCAACAACGGCGAUAACGCCGAAGACACGACAGUCAAUGCCGGAUUCAGUGGAUCUAAAUCCGGUCAGCGGAAAAAACCGUUCAAAAGAAGCAAUCCGGGCCCGUCCAGUUUGGACCGUAUACUCGAUCGCUCGUGUCAAAUUCACGGCACCCACGAUAAGCCAGCCAAUCACACCAAUAGAGAAUGCUGGGUGUUCAAGCAGGCCGGCAAAUUGAAUGCCGAAAACAAGGACAAGGGGCUGCAUAGAGACGAGGAGGAGGAGCCCCGGCCGCCGAACACAGGAGGACAGAAGAGGUUCCCUCCACAAGUGAAAACGGUGAACAUGAUAUACGCAACCCACAUUCCCAAGAAGGAACGGAAGUGCGCACUAAGGGAUGUCUAUGCGAUGGAGCCAGUCACCCCAAAGUUCAACCCAUGGUCCUCUUGUCCGAUCACCUUCGAUCGCAGGGACCACCCCACUAGUAUCCGUCAUGGUGGAUCUGCCGCAUUGGUCCUUGACCCCAUCAUUGACGGGUUUCACCUCACUCGAGUCCUUAUGGACGGUGGCAGCAGCCUGAACCUGCUCUAUCAAGAUACAGUGCGCAAAAUGGGCAUAGACCCCUCAAGGAUCAAACCCACCAAAACCACCUUUAAAGGUGUAAUCCCAGGUGUAGAGGCCUGUUGCACGGGCUCAAUCACGUUGGAAGUGGUUUUCGGGUCUCCGGACAACUUUCGAAGCAAGGAGUUAAUCUUCGAUAUCGUCCCCUUUCGCAGCGGCUAUCACGCACUGCUCGGACGAACCGCAUUUGCCAGAUUCAAUGCAGUACCGCAUUACGCAUACCUCAAACUCAAAAUGCCAGGACCGCGCGGGGUUAUAACAAUUAAUGGAAACACAGAGCGCUCGCUCCGCACGGAGGAGCACACUGCGGCCCUCGCAGCAGAAGCGCAAAGCAGCCUUAUUAGGCAAACUGCCAAUUCGGCGAAAAAGACCCUGGACACCUUCAAGAGAGUCCGGAGUACCCCGCAGGUGGAUCGGCAGGCACGUUUUGAGCUCGAGUAGCAAUUCGGCCUCCGUCCUAGUCCCAGUCAAGUGGCGAAAUUUGCGCCGCGCGUACAUACCUACGCACUCAAGAUACCAUGGGCAUAGGCGGAGGCACCACUACGGCACGUCCCACAAUGCGGCUCAACCGCCCCAGGGGCUGUAUACCUUUAUCAUUUUCUCUCUUUCAGGACCUUACUCUCUGGAAGCCCUUUCCGGCAGUCUAAUUGUUGGACUCAUCGCAGUAAGGAAAUACCAAGGAAGCAAGACGGUCUGACGUACAAAGGGAAUCCCCAGGUGGUCUCUGAUAACGAUCAAAAUACCUGUUUUACAUACCCGCACGCAACUUGCCCUUGGAUAGGACAUGUCAAAUGGCCCUAUUUUUUGCUUAUUACACUACUUGUAUCCGUACGCCUUGACGUAUUAUUUAAUAACAAUGCAUAGCGUUAGCCUAUUAUUGCAUUCCCCUUUCCUUUUUUUUCUUUUCCUUGUCUGCCUAUUACGACAAAUUGCACCCGUACAUUCUGGUACGACAGUGCGCCAGGGGCCUCAGUAUACCCCAUAACACGGCGUGAGAAGUCCGAACACUUUCGACAGUGCGGCACCCCGAACUUAUAGCAUUAUAUGCAUCAGCUCCAAAUCAUGUCUUGGGUCAAUAGUUGGGUUUGCCCGGCUCCCAUGUUUUGGUACCUUACGUUCCGCAAUAUCGGCUAAGGUAGCGCUGGGAGAACUACUGCGAUUGUGUCCCGAUUCUUCCGGACGAGCACCUCAGUAGAGAAAGCCGAAAACUGACUGUCAUGAUGAGGCGAGAGCUGGUCGCUGUUCGAGAGGUCUCAAGUCCUUAAAGACUUUUUCCGCUUCGGGCGAGGAGUCGGCCUUGUCCGACUUAGGCGUAUAUAGCGCCCCGUAUUCGGCCUUCCGAAUACUAGGGGCUUCGCCAAAAUUUAAAAUUGUAGACUUCUAUGGCUAAGUGAGAGCGAUAAAGCUUUAUAGUCCGAUUGCCUGGUUCGCUGUGCUGAACACCUCCUUUGAAGGACCCAAAAUUGGGAUAAAGAGUGCUCAGGUUUAUCCCGAACACCUCAGUACUAGUUACAUGUGGGCAGAAGCCGACGACUGGCCAACUCUCAAAUUUCAUAAAGGCCGCACAGAAGGUAAUAUUUUAAAUUAACAAGCGUUGCAUAGCGCAAAUGAACUCGUUUCAUAUUACAGGAUCACAUGAGUACAUUCAUUCGAAUAUUACGUCCUUAGCACAUUCCUCCGCCACAAGGCGAGCACCCUUCAGGACACUGUCAUAAUACAUUUCGGGGUGGCGAUACUCCUUGCCUUCCGGUGGCCCCUCCUUCACCAGCUUUACGGCGUCCAGCUUCGCCCAGUGCACCUUCGCCCGGGCAAAAGCCCUGCGCGCACCCUCGAUGCAAACGGACCGCUUUAAGACUUCAAGCCGUGGGCAGGCAUUCACAAGCCGCCUCACCAGACCGAAGUAGCUAUCAGGCAGGGGCUCCCCAGGCCACAUCCGGACUAUAAGACCCUUCAUGGCCUGUUCGGCCACCUUGUGAAGCUCGACCAGUUGCUUCAGCUGGUCGCUCAAGGGCAUUGGGUGUUCGGUCCCAGUAUACUGAGACCAGAACAACUUCUCCGUCAAAAUCCCCUCCUCAGCCCGGUAGAACUCUGCGGCAUCCGACACACUGCGGGGCAGAUCUGCGAACGCUCCUGGAGAGCUCCAAACUCGGGUAAGUAAAAGGAAAGUUUCCUUCACAUGCUUGCUUUGCAUAAUGAAUGCCUUACCCGCUGCUAUCUUCUUAACCGCCUCAAUUUCCUGGAGGGCCUUUUGGGCUUCGGCCUUGGCAUGUUGUGCGCUUUCGAGGGCCUUCGCAAGCUCGGACUCUCGCGUCUUAGAGUCAAGCUCCAAGGACUCGUGUUUUUUGGCGAGAGCCUGGAGCUCUUGCUGCACCUCGCCCACCCGGGCUUCUUGCUUUUCUCGCUCGAUGCGCUCCUUGGCCGCUUUGUCUUCGGCCUCGGAUAGUGCCUUCUGCAGGGUCGCCACUUCGGUCAUGGCCCCUAGCAAAAUUCAUGACGAUCCUAUUAUUCUAAAACCAAAUUUUUUAAUAUACAGACGGGGUAUCGCUUACCUUUGUUCUCUUCAAGCUGCCUCUUGGUAAGGCCGAGCUCUUCCUUGGACCGCUCAAGGUCCUGCUUCAGUGUAGCGACCUCCGCAGUACGUGCAGUAGCGGCUAGCAGUGAAGCCUGCAUAUGCACAUAGACAUAUUCCGAUUAGACUCCUGCGGUCAUUAUUUGAUCCUCUAUUCGGCCUUUCUUCGCGAACGCCAAACAGAGCAUCAGGGGCUACUGUCUACGCGGUAACAUUCUCUUAUAAUCUGGUUACUUACCUCAAAGCCUGUUAGGAGGCUGGCACAGGCUUCAGUCAGUCCGCUCUUGGCGGACUGAACCUUCUUGACCACCGCACUCAUGAUAGUGCGGUGCUCUUCGUUGAUGGAAGCGCCGUGAAGCGCUUCCAGCAAGUUGUCCAAUGACGCUGGAUGGACAGAGGCCAUCGGCACAGGCGGCUUGCCCCUCUUAGCGAGGGGUUGCCUGACAGAGUCCGGAACCACUGGAGGUUCCGGCGCAGUAUUUGGUUGGGGGCCGAAUUUGCUGCCCCGUCAUCGGAGCCCAUGGGAGUCUUGCUCCCCUUGCGCCCAGUGUCCGGAAUGUCACCUUGAGGCGCCUCCAGGACUACCUCCCCUCGGCUUGGUGCCCUUUGAGACAACACCUCGACAUUGUCCGUAGGGCGAGGGGAGGAGGCGGUGGGAAGUGAAUCGCUGUUCAGAUCCGACGGGUCCAAAGAACCAUCCGACGAAGAUACGUCGAUAUGGGCUCGGGACGGACUGCAUAAUCAUGUUCGGCGUGAUGAGAAGCAGUGCAAUAAAACAUAUCAAGGAUUAUUAUGGUAUCCGGAUACUUACGACUUCGCCAGGGGCUUGUCCCUGGGCAACCACUCGUCGUCACUAUAGGUGGCCGUCGUGGCGCAGUCCGGGCGGAGGGUCCUUCCCUUCUUGGACCCUUCGGCCUCCCCGGAGGGGGCGGCCUUCCUUUUCUUGUCCCCUCCGGCUGGGGAGGGGGGAGAAAUUUCCUCUUCUUCCUCCUUGUUUUCGUGGAAGGAGUGCACCUCGGUGUUUUCGGACGAUGAGUCCGAUAUAACCUUGCGCCGGAGACCCUUCCGGGUCCCCGUGGCCUUCUUCUUGGCCUUCUUCACCGGCACCUCGUAAGGCGCCGGAACCAGCAUCUCCGUUAGGAGAGCAUCUGCUGGAUCUUCAGGCAGGGGGCUGGACAAUCGAUCUGCUCCGCUGUCUCUACCCGGUCCUGUUAAAUGGCGUGGAGGCUUAGACCCCGCGCAUGGUUAAACUAGGGAAAAUGAACAUCUUAUGAGACAUAAAAGACUUACCGGAUUGGCAGGGCGCUUUGCGCUGACUCCGCGGUCCUCGGUAAGGGGAGGAGGUACCUCGGCGCCCUUGAACAGCACCUUCCAGAUGUCCUUGUGUGUCGUGUCGCAGAGCUCUCGCAGCAUCUGGUGCUCGGCCGGGUCGAACUCCCACAAAUUGAAUGCCCGCCUUUGACACGGGAGGAUCCGGCGGAAGAGCAUGACUUGGACCACGUUGACGAGCUUAAUUUUCUUGCUCAUCAUGUUUUUGACGCAGGUCUGGAGUCCGGUCAGCUCUACCGAGGAACCCCGGGAUAGGCCCUUCUCUUUCCAGGAGGUGAGCCGCAUGGGGAUCCCGGAUCGAAAUUCGGGGGCCGCCACCCAGUUGGUGUCGCGCGGCUCGGUGAUGUAGAACCACCCCGAUUGCCACCCCUUUAUGGUCUUCACGUUGGAGCCUUCGAGCCAGGUGACGUUGGGCAUUUUGCCCACCAUGGCGCCUCCGCACUCCGCUUGCUGGCCGACCACCACCUUCGGUUUAACAUUGAAGGUCUUCAGCCACAGGCCGAAGUGGGGCUUGAUGCGGAGGAAGGCCUCGCACACGACGAUAAACGCCGAGAUGUUGAGGAUGAAAUUGGGGGCCAGAUCGUGAAAGUCCAGCCCGUAGUAGAACAUGAGCCCACGGAUAAACGGGUGGAGGGGAAAUCCCAGUCCGCGGACGAAGUGGGUAAGAAAAAACACCCUCUCAUGGGGUUCUGGAGUAGGGACGAUCUGCCCCGCAUCUGGCAGCCAGUGUGCGAUAUCCGCGGCCAGAUAUCCGGCUCUCCGUAGCUUUGUGAUGUCCUCCUCCGUAACGGAGGAGACCAUCCACUUGCCUCCCGCUCCGGACAUGCUUGGAGUGGUUUGAGGAGAAAAUGCGAACUUGGGUGCUGGAGCUCGAGUGCGCAAGAAUGGAUGAGCAAGGAGGAAGAAGGCGUGGGUGAAAAAGAAGAAUCCUUGUCCCUUUAUAAAGGCGGAAGAAACUAUACGCCUCCCACCUGCCUGGUAAAACUCGCUUAUUCCCCAAGCGCCGUAAUUGAUGGCGCGGUUGGGUUACCCACACCCGUAUUGUUGAGAAUCACGUGAUAAGGGGACACGAUCUCUGCUUCGACAAGGCGUGCCAAGAAAACCGCCUCGCAAUAUGUGCAGUAGCUGGUUGAGAAAAACGGUUCGAAUAAUGACCAGGCCGUGGUGUGAUGUCACGUUAUGAAAAGUUGUCAGCAGAUUAGAUUUGUGGAAAUAUUAUUCUCUCUAUGGUGGUAUGUGGAAUUUGUUUUGCAGAGUCGGACACUAUCCUUGUGUUUAGAAUCUUCUAUGGAGUAUUCGGAGGAAGAACCCGCCUUGCAAUGCCGAAAACAAUCUGCACGCCGGACUCAUCGUCAUUGAAGCCUGGUUCAGGGGCUACUGAGGGAGUCCUGGAUUAGGGGGUCCUCGGACAGCCGGACUAUAUCCCUUAGCCGGACUGUUGGACUAUGAAGAUACAAGAUUGAAGACUUCGUCCCGUGUCCGGAUGGGACUCUCCUUGGCGUGGAAGGCAAGCUUGGCAAUACGGAUAUGUAGAUCUCCUCCCUUGUAACCGACUCUGUGUAACCCUAGCCCCCUCCGGUGUCUAUAUAAACCGGAGGGUUUAGUCCGUAGGACAACGACAAUCACACCAUAGGCUAGCUUCUAGGGUUUAGCCUCUACGAUCUCGUGGUAGAUCAACUCUUGUAAUACUCAUAUCAUCAAGAUCAAUCAAGCAGGAAGUAGGGUAUUACCUCCAUCGAGAGGGCCCGAACCUGGGUAAACAUCGUGUCCCCCGCCUCCUGUUACCAUCCGCCUUAGACGCACAGUUCGGGACCCCCUACCCGAGAUCCGCCGGUUUUGACACCGACAUUGGUGCUUUCAUUGAGAGUUCCACUGUGUCGUCGCGAUAAAGUCUUGAUGGAUCCUUUGAUCAUCGACAACGAUGCGAUCCGGGGCGAGGUUUUCCUCCCCGGAAAGAUCUUCGUAUUCGGCGGCUUCGUACUGCGGGCCAACUCGCUUGGCCAUCUGGAGCAGAUCGAGAGCUACGCCCCUGGCCAUUAGGUCAGGUUUGGAAACUUGAACUAUACUACCGACAUCCACGGAGACUUGAUCUUCGACGAAUUCGAGCCCAUGUCAGGUGCGCCGCACAGUCACGAUGAGCAUGACUUAGCUCUGCCGUCGGACAGUGUUCGGGAGAUCACACCUGCAACUACUCCGGCCCUCAAUCCGGAACAGAUUGUGCCGUCCGAGGACGGGUGGAUGGACCCCACCACGAAGGCCGCACACUCAACGGUGAUAGAGCCGAAUGCUGACUUCACUUCCUAUGAGGCCCGUGUUGCCGGACACUUGGAUUCGUCCCCGACCACGGGCUCCGAGCCGCCUGCGUCCGUGCCUAUCGAAUCCGAUUGGGCACCGAUUAUGGAGUUUUCCUCCGCGGAUAUCUUUCAGCACUCACCACUGGGCGACGUGCUAAGCUCAUUGAGGUCUCUCUCCUUGUCAGGAGACCCUUGGCCGAACUAUGUCCGGCUAGAGUGGGAUGCGGGCGAUGAAGAAAUUCGCUCCCCACCCAACACCCACUUAGUAGCCACCGUCGACGAUUUAACUGACAUGCUCGAUUUCGGCUCCGAAGACAUCGACGGUAUGGACGACGAUGCAGGAGACGAACAGGAACCACCGCCCACAGGGUGCUGGAUUGCCACCUCACCGUAUGAUAUAUACAUGGUGGACACCCCCAAAGAAGGCAAUGGCGAUAAGACAACAGAGGAUAAUCCCUCCAAGAAGCAAUCCAAGCACCGACGUCAGCGGUGCCGCUCUAAGUCCCGCCAUACCAAAAGCAGCGAUACCGGCACAAGAGACAAUAACGCUCCGGAUAGUGCCAAAGACGACGACAAUCCCCUCCAGCCAGACCUCGGGCGGGAGGAUGAAUAAGCUAGCCCUCCGGAACAGGCAGCAGACGGAGAAUCAGAGGAUGACAAUUACAUGCCUCUCUCCGAAGACGAGGUGAGCCUCGGCGACGAAGAAUUUAUCGUGCCUGAGGAUCCCGUUGAGCAGGAGCGCUUCAAGCGCCGGCUUAUAGCCACAACAAACAGCCUGAAGAAAAAGCAACAACAGCUUCGAGCUGAUCAAGAUCUGCUAGCGGAUAGAUGGACUGAAGUCUUGGCGGCCGAGGAAUACGAACUUGAGCGCCCAACCAAGACUUACCCAAAGCGCAGGUUGCUACCCCAACUCGAGGAGGAAACAUUAAAACCUACAUUACCAGCGUAUGAUGCAGCCGAUCGGCCACCUCGUGGCCGAGACAGAGGGGCAUAUCAGCCCGAAGUCCAGCCCGCACCCCGUCGCCAGGCAAACAAAAACACCAAGGCCCGGGGCAACACGCAGGACCUGCGAAGCGCAUUGGAAAACAAAGCAGGACAUACAAGAUCGAUCUACGGAUCACGGGGUCGCGCCCCAACGCGUGACGAUGAUCGUCACGCCGGACACACUAAAAGCAAAUCCGGCCGGGUCGAAUACAGCAGACAAGACUCGUAUGAACUGCGUCACGACAUAGCCCGACACAGAGGUGCCGCACACCCCCUAUGCUUCACUGACGAAGUAAUGGAUCACGAAUUCCUAGAAGGGUUUAAACUCGUAAACAUUGAAUCAUAUGAUGGUACUACAGACCCCGCGGUAUGGAUAGAAGACUUCUUCCUCCACAUUCACAUGGCCCGCGGGGAUGAUCUACACGCCAUCAAGUAUCUCGCGCUAAAACUCAAAGGGCCGGCUCUGCAUUGGCUGAAUAGCUUGCCGGCAAACUCCAUCGGAAGUUGGGAGAGUGUGGCAGAUGCAUUCCUGGACAAAUUCCAGGGUACUUAUGUGCGAUCGCCGGAUGGUGACGAUUUAAGUCAUAUAACUCAGCAGCCAGGGGAAUCGGCCAGGAAAUUCUGGACCCGGUUCCUAACUAAGAAGAACCAAAUUGUCGACUGUCCGGAUGCAGAGGCCUUAGCGGCAUUCAAGCAUAACAUCCGUGACGAGUGGCUCGCCUGGCACCUCGGUCAAGAGACGCCAAAAUCCAUGGCAGCCCUCACGACACUUAUGACCCGCUUUUGCGCAGGCGAAGAUAGCUGGUUGGCUCGUAGUAACAACACAGCAAGCAAACCUGGCACAUCAGAGGCCAGGGAUAGCAACGGCAAACCACAACGCAACAAACACAAGCGCCGCAAAUAUGGUGAAAACGCCGAAGAUACGGCAGUUAAUGAUGGGUUUAAUGGCUCAAAGUCCAGUCAGCAGAAAGGGCCACUCAAAAAUAACAAUUCGGGUCCAUCCAGUCUGGACCGCAUACUCAAUCGUCAAUGCCAAAUUCAUGGCACCCCAGGGACGCCAGCCACCCAUACCAACAGAGAAUGUUGGGUCUUCAAACAAGCCGGCAGGGCAGGCGCCAAAAACAGAGAAGGGGGGUCUCAAAGCGACGAUGGCGACGAAGAGCCCAGAUCACCGAACACAGGAGGGCAAAAGAAAUUUCCCCCGCAAAUCCAAAUGGUGAACGUGGUAAACACCACCCAAAUUCCCAACCCAGACCGGAUACGCACCCUUAGGGAUGCCGACUUAACGGAACCAGUCGUCCCACAAUAUAAACUAGGGCCGGUCACCUUCAACCGCACGGAUCGUCCGGUUAAUGCCAAUUAGGGCAAUCCAGCCGCACUAGUCCUUGACCCAAUAAUUGACGGGUUCCACCUCACACGAGUCCUUAAGGAUGGAGGCAGCAGUCUAAACCUGCUUUACCAGGACACAGUGCGCAAGAUGGGCAUCGAUCAUUCGGUGAUCAAACCCACUAAAGCCACUUUCAGAGGCAUUAUACCAGGUGUGGAAGCCAGCUGUACAGGCUCCAUCGCCCUCGAGGUAGUCUUCGGAUCACCAGACAAUUACCGUAAAGAAGAGUUAAUCUUCGAAAUCGUCCCUUUCCGCAGUGAUUAUCAGGCACUGCUCGGACGAACCGCGUUCGCUCGAUUCAACGCGGUGCCACAUUAUGCCUACCGUAAGCUCAAAAUGCCCGGUCCACGCGGCGUCAUCACGGUUAAUGGCAAGGAUGAGCUUUACUUCAGCAUCAACGAGUACACCACUGCCUUAACAACAGAAGCAAUGAGCAGCACCUUGCAGCCGAACCUCGAGUCGACGGCCAGGCUCCCGGACACCGUCAAAGGACUCCGAACUACUUCCCGGAAGGAUAACUCGGCUCGUCCAGAGCUCAAUUAAACAUUCUGACGAAGGCCAGGACAGGCCGCACUCAGCGGCUCAACCGCUCUCCGGCACGCAAACAUUUCUUACAUUUCCUUCGCAGGUUCACCUUUGCGCCGACCAGGACGGGCGAUAUGGAGGCAGCUUGAACGCGCAAGGGAAUCCUUAGACAUUCCCCACGAUGACCAUCCGACUAUACUCCGGAUCCGCACACAGCUUCUUCGCCCCAGGUCUCAACAGGUUCCAUAGUCAUAUUUCCUUUUUACCACAUUACCUGUACUUAUACGCAUUGACGUACCAUUCAAACACAACUUAUGAAUUCAUAUGACGCUUAUCUGCUGUUAUUUCUUAUUAAAAUUCUUUUAUCAAGUGGCUGUUGGGGAACGUAGCAGAAAUUCAAAAUUUUCCUACGUGUCACCAAGAUCAAUCUAGGACAUGCUAGCAACAAGAGGGGAGGAGUGCAUCUACAUACCCUUGUAGAUCGCGAGCGGAAGCGUUCAAGAGAACGGGGUUGAUGGAGUCGUACUCGUCGUGAUCCAAAUCACCGAUGAUCCUAGCGCCGAACGGACGGCACCUCCGCGUUGAACACACGUACGGAGCGGGGACGUCUCCUCCUUCUUGAUCCAGCAAGGGGGAGGAGAAGUUGAUGGAGAUCCAGCAGCACGACGGCGUGGUGGUGGAAGUAGCGGGAUCCCGGCAGGGCUUCGCCAAGCGCAAGCGGGGAGGAAGAGGUAUCACGGGGGGAGGGAGGCGCCAGGGCUUGGGGUGCUGCUCCCAUGCACCUCCCCACUAUAUAUAGGGGUGGAGGGGGCUGGUUUCUUGCCCUCCAAGUCCAUUGGGGCGUUGGCAAAGGUGGGGGAAAGAAAUCCCAUCAUUUCCCUUCCCCACCGAUUGUUAUCCCCUUUUUUAGGGAUCUUGAUCUUAUCCCUUCGGGAUAUGAUCUUAUUCCUUCUAAGGUGGGAUCUUGGUGCGCCUUGACCAGGGGUGUGGGGCCUUGCCCCCACUACCCACGUUCAUGUGGGUCCCCCCAUGCAGGUGGGCCCCACUUCAGAACCUUCUAGAACCUUCCCGGUACAAUACCGAAAUAUCCCGAACAUUUUCCGGUGGCCAAAAUAGGACUUCCCAUAUAUAAAUCUUUACCUCCGGACCAUUCCGGAACUCAUCGUGACGUCCGGGAUCUCAUACGGGACUCCGAACGACUUUCGGAUUUCCGCAUACUAAUAUCUCUACAACCCUAGCGUCAUCGAACCUUAAGUGUGUAGACCCUACGGGUUCGGGAGACACGCAGACAUGACCGAGACGACUCUCCGGUCAAGAACCAACAGCGGGAUCUGGAUACCCAUGUUGGCUCCCACAUGUUCCACGAUGAUCUCAUCGGAUGAACCACGAUGUCGAGGAUUCAAUCAAUCCCGAUACAAUUCCCUUUGUCAAUCGGUACGUUACUUGCCCGAGAUUCGAUCGUCGGUAUCCCAAUACCUUGUUCAAUCUCGUUACCGGCAAGUCACUUUACUCGUACCGUAAUGCAUGAUCCCGUGACCAAACACUUGGUCACAUUGAGCUCAUUAUGAUCAUGCAUUACCGAGUGGGCCUAGAGAUACCUCUCCAUCAUACGGAGUGACAAAUCCCAGUCUCGAUUCGUGCCAACCCAACAGACACUUUCGGAGAUACCUGUAGUGCACCUUUAUAGCCACCCAGUUAGGUUGUGACGUUUGGUACACCCAAAGCAUUCCUACGGUAUCCGGGAGUUGCACAAUCUCAUGGUCUAAGGAAAUGAUACUUGACAUUAGAAAAGCUCUAGCAAACGAACUACACGAUCUUGUGCUAUGCUUAGGAUUGGGUCUUGUCCAUCACAUCAUUCUCCUAAUGAUGUGAUCCCAUUAUCAAUGACAUCCAAUGUCCAUGGCCAGGAAACCAUAACCAUCUAUUGAUCAACGAGCUAGUCAACUAGAGGCUUACUAGGGACAUGUUGUGGUCUAUGUAUUCACACAUGUAUUACGGUUUCCAGUUAAUACAAUUAUAACAUGAACAACAAACAAUUAUCAUGAACAAGGAAAUACAAUAAUAACCAUUUUAUUAUUGCCUCUAGGGCAUAUUUCCAACAGUCUCCCACUUGCACUAGAGUCAAUAAUCUAGUUCACAUCACCAUGUGAUUAACACUCAAAGUUCAGUAGAGUCAAUAAUCUAGUCCACAUCACCAUGUGAUUAACACUCAAUGAGUUCUAGGGUUUGAUCAUGUUAUGCUUACGAGAGAGGUUUUAGUCAACGGGUCUGCAACAUUCAGAUCCGUGUGUGCUUUAGAAAUCUCUAUGUCAUCUUGUAGAUGUAGCUACCACGUGCUACUUGGAGCUAUUCCAAAUAACUGUUCUACUAUACGAAUCCGGUUUACUACUCAGAGUCAUCCGGAUUAGUGUCAAAGUUUGCAUCGACGUAACCCUUUACGACGAACUGUUUUACCACCUCCAUAAUCGAGAAAAUUCCUUAGUCCACUAGAUACUAAGGAUAAGUUCGACCGCUGUCAUGUGAUCCAUUCCCGGAUCACCGUUGUACCCCUUGACUAACUCAUGGCAAGGCACACUUCAGGUGCGGUACACAGCAUAGCAUAUUGUAGAGCCUACGUCUAAAGCAUAGGGGACGACCUUCGUCCUUUCUCUCUCUUCUGCCGUGGUCAGGUCUUGAGUCUUACUCAAUACUCACACCUUGUAACACAGCCAAGAACUCCUUCUUUGCUGAUCUAUUUUGAACUCCUUCAAAAUCUUGUCACGGUAUGUAUUCAUUUGAAAGUACUAUUAAGCGUUUUUGAUCUAUCCUUAAAGAUCUUGAUGCUUAAUGUUCAAGUAGCUUAAUCCAGGUUUUCCAUUAAAAACACUUUUCAAAUAACCCUGGAUGCUUUCCAGAAAUUCUACAUCAUUUCUGAUCAACAAUAUGUUAACAACAUAUACUCAUCAAAAAUUCUAUAGAGCUCCCACUCACUUCUUUGGAAAUACAAGUUUCUCAUGAACCUUGUAUAAACCCAAAAUCUUUGAUCAUCUCAUCAAAGCGUUCAUUCCAACUCCGAGAUGCUUACUCCAAUCCUUAGAAGGAUUGCUGGAGCUUUGCAUACUUGUUAGCAUCUUUUCGGAUUGACAAAACCUUCUGGUUGUAUCACAUACAACCUUUCCUCAAGAAAAUCGUCGAGGAAACAAUGUUUUGACAUCCUAUCUGCAAGAUUUCAUAAAUAAUGCAGUAACUGCUAAUAUAAUUCUAACAGACUCUUAGCAUCGCUUCGAGUGAGAAAGUCUCAUCGCAGUCAACUCCUUGAACUUGCCGGAAAACAUCUCAAUGACAAGUCGAGCUUUCUUAAUGGUGACACUUACCAUCAUUGUCUGUCUUCCCUUUAAAAUCCAUCUGUACCCAACAGCCUUACGACCAUCAAGUAGUUCUUUCAAAGUCUAUACUUUGUUUUCAUACAUGGAUCCUCUCAGAUUUUAUGGCCUCAAGCCAUUCGUCGGAAUCCGGGCCCACCAUCGCUUCUCCAUAGCUCGUAGGUUCAUUGUUGUCUAGCAACAUGACUUCCAAGACAGGAUUACGUACCACUCUGAAGUAGUACGCAUCCUUGUCAUCCUAUGAGGUUUGGUAGUGACUUGAUCUGAAGUUUCAUGAUCACUAUCAUAAGCUUCCACUUCAAUUGGUGUAGGCACCACAGGAACAACUUCCUGUGCCCUGCUACACAUUAGUUGAAGUGACGGUUCAAUGACCUCAUCAAGUCUCCACCAUCCUCCCACUCAAUUCCUUCGAGAGAAACUUUUCCUCGAGAAAGGACCCAUUUCUAGAAACAAUCACUUUUGCUUCCAGAUCUGAAAUAGGAGGUAUACCCAACUGUUUUGGGUAUUCUAUGAAGAUGCAUUUAUCUGCUUUGGGUUCGAGCUUAUCAGCCUGAAACUUUUUCACAUUAGCGUCGCAGCCCCAAACUUUUAAGAGACGACAGCUUAGGUUUCCCUAAACCAUAGUUUAUACGGUGUCGUCUCAACGGAAUUGCGUGGUGCCCUAUUUAAAGUGAAUGCGGUUGUCUCUAAUGCCUAACCCAUAAACGAUAGUUGUAAUUCGAUAAGAGACAUCAUGGUAUGCACCAUAUCCAAUAGGGUGCAGUUAUGAUGUUCGGACACACCAUCACAAUAUGGUGUUCUAGGCGGUAUUAGUCGUGAAACAAUUUCCACAAUUUCUUAAUUGUGUGCCAAACUCGUAACUCAGAUAUUCAUCUCUAUGAUCAUAUCACAGACAUUUUAUCCUCUUGUCAAGACGAUCUUCAACUUCACUCUGAAAUUACUUGAACCUUUCAAUAAUUCAGACUUGUGUUUCAUCAAGUAAAUAUUCUCAGCAUCUACCAAAUCAUCUGUGAAGUAAGAACAUAACGAUAUCCACGGCGUGCCUCAGCACUCAUUGGACUGCACACAUCAAAUGUAUUACUUCCAACAAGUUGCUCUCUUGUUCCAUCUUACUGAAAACGAGGCCUUUCAGUCAUCUUGCCCAUGUGGUAUGAUUUGCAUGUCUCAAGUGAUUCAAAAUCAAGUGAGUCGAAAUGAUCCAUCUGUAUGGACUUUCUUCAUGCAUAUAUACUAAUAGACAUGGUUCGCAUGUCUCAAUCUUUUAAAAAACGAGUGAGUCCAAAGAUCCAUCAACAUGGAGCUUCUUCAUGCGUUUUAUACCAAUAUGACUCAAGUGGCAGUGCCACAAGUAUGUGGUACUAUCAUUACUAUGUUAUAUCUUUUGGCAUGAACAUGUGUAUCACUACGAUCGAGAUUCAAUAAACCAUUCAUUUUAGGUGCAAGACCAUUGAAGGUAUUAUUCAAAUAGACAAAGUAACCAUUAUUCUCCUUUAAUGAAUAACUGUAUUGCGAUAAACAUAAUCCAAUCAUGUCUAUGCUUAACGCAAACACCAAAUAACAAUUAUUCAGGUUUAGCCCCAAUCUCGAUGGUAGAGGGAGCAUGCGAUGCUUGAUCACAUCAACCUUGGAAACACAUAUUGUCAUCUCACCUUUAGCUAGUCUCCGUUUAUUCCGCAGCUUUUAUUUCGAGUUACUAACACUUAGCAACCGAACCGGUAUCUAAUACCCUGGUGCUACUAGGAGUACUAGUAAAGUACACAUUAAUAUAAUGUAUAUCCAAUAUACUUCUGUCGACCUUGCCAGCCUUCUCAUCUACGAAGUAUCUAGGGUAGUUCUGCUUCAGUGACCGUUCCCCUCAUUUCAGAAGCACUUAGUCUCGGGUUUGGGUUCAACCUUGGGUUUCUUCACUAGAUCAGCAACUGUUUUGCCGUUUCAUGAAGUAUCCCUUCUUGCCCUUGCCCUUCUAGAAACUAGUGGUUUUAAUAACCAUCAACAAUUGAUGCUCCUACUUGAUUUCUACUUUCGCGGUGUCAAACAUCGCGAGUUGCUCAAGGAUCAUCAUGUCUAUCCCUGAUAUGUUAUAGUUCAUCACGAAGCUCUAAUAGCUUGGUGGCAGUGACUAUGGAGAACCAUCACUAUCUCAUCUGGAAGAUUAACUCCCACUCGAUUCAAGUUAUUGUAGUACUCAGACAAUCUGAGCACAUGCUCAACGAUUGAGCUUUUCUCCCUUAGUUUGCAGGCUUAAGAAACUUGUCAGAGGUCUCAUACCUCUUGACGUGGACACUAGUCUGAAAUCCCAAUUUCAGUCUUUGGAACAUCUCAUAUGUUCUGCGACGUUUCAAAACCAUCUUUGGUGCCACAAUUUUAAACCGUUCAACAUUACGCACUGAACUAUCACGUAGUCAUCAAAACGUGUAUGUCAGAUGUUCGCAACAACCACAAACGACGCUCGAGGUUCAGCACACCGAGCGGUGCAUUAAGGACAUAAGCCUUCUGUGCAGCAAUGAGGACAAUCCUCAGUUUACGGACCCAGUCCGCAUAAUUGCUACUAUCAACUUUCAACUAAAUUUUCUCUAGGAACAUAUCUUAGUAGAACUAAAGCGUAAGCUACGACAUUAUUUGCAAAGACCUUUUGACUAUGUUCAUGAUAAUUAAGUUCAUCUGAUUAUUUAAUGAACUCCCACUUAGAUAGACAUCCCUCUAGUCAUCUAAGUGAUACAUGAUCCGAAUCGACUAGGCCAUGUCCGAUCAUUAUGUGAGACGGACUAGUCAUCAUCGGUGAACAUCUCCAUGUUGAUCGUAUCUACUAUACGACUCAUGUUCGACCUUUCGAUCUCUUGUGUUCCGAGGCCAUGUCUGUACAUGCUAGGCUCGUCAAGUCAACCUAAGUGUUUUGCUUGUGUUCCGAGGCCAUGUCUGUACAUGCUAGGCUCAUCAACACCCGUUGUAUGCGAACAUUAGAAUCUAUCACACCCGAUCAUCACGUGGUGCUUCAAAACAACGAACCUUCGCAACGGUGCACAGUUAGGGGGAACACAUCUCUUGAAAUUUUAGUGAGGGAUCAUCUUAUUUAUGCUACCGUCGUUCCUUAGAUGUAAAAAUGACAAACAUCACAUGCAAAUCAUAAAGUGACAUGAUAUGGCCAAUAUCAUCUUGCGCCUUUUGAUCUCCAUCUUCGAGGCGCGGCAUGAUCACCUUCGUCACCGGCAUGACACCAUGAUCUCCAUCAUCAUGAUCUCCAUCAUCGUGUCUUCAUGAAGUUGUCUCGCCAACUAUUACUUCUACUACUAUGGCUAACGGUUAGCAAUACAGUAAAGUAAUUACAUGGCGUUUUUCAUUGACACACAGGUCAUACAAUAAAUUAAGACAACUCCUAUGGCUCCUGCCGGUUGUCAUACUCAUCGACAUGCAAGUCGUGAUUCCUAUUACAAGAACAUGAUCAAUCUCAUACAUCACAUAUAUCAUUCAUCACAUCCUUUUGGCCAUAUCACAUCACAUAGCAUACCCUGCAAAAACAAGUUAGACGUCCUCUAAUUGUUGUUGCAUGUUUUACGUGGCUGCUAUGGGUUUCUAGCAAGAACGUUUCUUACCUACGCAAAAGCCACAACGGUGAUAUGCCAAUUGCUAUUUACCCUUCAUAAGGACCCUUUUCAUCGAAUCCGAUCCGACUAAAGUGGGAGAGACAGACACCCGCUAGCCACCUUAUGCAUCAAGUGCAUGUCAGUCGGUGGAACCUGUCUCACGUAAGAGUACGUGUAAGAUCGGUCCGGGCCGCUUCAUCCGACAAUGUCGUCAAAUCAAGAUAAGACUAGUAACGGUAAGCAAAUUGAACAAAUCGUCGCCCACAACUACUUUGUGUUCUACUCGUGCAUAGAAACUACGCAUAGACCUACCUCAUGAUGCCACUGUUGGGGAACGUAGCAGAAAUUCAAAAUUUUCCUACGUGUCACCAAGAUCAAUCUAGGAGAUGCUAGCAAUGAGAGGGGAGGAGUGCAUCUACAUACCCUUGUAGAUCGCGAGCGGAAGUGUUCAAGAGAACGGGGUUGAUGGAGUCGUACUCGUCGUGAUCCAAAUCACCGAUGAUCCUAGCGCCGAACGGACGGCACCUCCGCGUUCAACACACAAACGGAGCGGGGACGUCUCCUCCUUCUUGAUCCAGCAAGGGGGGAGGAGAAGUUGAUGGAGAUCCAGCAGCACGACGGCAUGGUGGUGGAAGUAGCGGGAUCCCGGCAGGGCUUCGCCAAGCGCAAGCGGGGAGGAAGAGGUAUCACGGGAGGGAGGGAGGCGCCAGGGCUUGGGGUGCUGCUCCCAUGCGCCUCCCCACUAUAUAUAGGGGUGGAGGGGGCUGGUUUCUUGCCCUCCAAGUCCAUUGGGGCAUUGGCAAAGGUGGGGGAAAGAAAUCCCAUCAUUUCCGUUCCCCACCGAUUGUUAUCCCCUUUUUUAGGGAUCUUGAUCUUAUCCCUUCGGGAUAUGAUCUUAUUCCUUCUAAGGUGGGAUCUUGGUGCGCCUUGACCAGGGGUGUGGGGCCUUGCCCCCACUACCCACGUUCAUGUGGGUCCCCCCAUGCAGGUCGGCCCCACUUCGGAACCUUCUAGAACCUUCCCGGUACAAUACCGAAAAAUCCCGAACAUUUUCCGGUGGCCAAAAUAGGAUUUCCCAUAUAUAAAUCUUUACCUCCGGACCAUUCCGGAACUCCUCGUGACGUCCGGGACUCCGAACGACUUUCGGAUUUCCGCAUACUAAUAUCUCUACAACCCUAGCGUCACCGAACCUUAAGUGUGUAGACCCUACGGGUUCGGGAGACAUGCAGACAUGACCGAGACGACUCUCCGGUCAAUAACCAACAGCGGGAUCUGGAUACCCAUAUUGGCUCCCACAUGUUCCACGAUGAUCUCAUCGGAUGUACCACGAUGUCGAGGAUUCAAUCAAUCCCGUAUACAAUUCCCUUUGUCAAUCGGUACGUUACUUGCCCGAGAUUCGAUCGUCGGUAUCCCAAUACCUUGUUCAAUCUCGUUACCGGCAAGUCACUUUACUCGUACCGUAAUGCAUGAUCCCGUGACCAAACACUUGGUCACAUUGAGCUCAUUAUGAUCAUGCAUUACCGAGUGGGCCCAGAGAUACCUCUCCAUCAUACGGAGUGACAAAUCCCAGUCUCGAUUCGUGCCAACCCAACAGACACUUUCGGAGAUACCUGUAGUGCACCUUUAUAGCCACCCAGUUAGGUUGUGACGUUUGGUACACCCAAAGCAUUCCUACGGUAUCCGGGAGUUGCACAAUCUCAUGGUCUAAGGAAAUGAUACUUGACAUUAGAAAAGCUCUAGCAAACGAACUACACGAUCUUGUGCUAUGCUUAGGAUUGGGUCUUGUCCAUCACAUCAUUCUCCUAAUGAUGUGAUCCCAUUAUCAAUGACAUCCAAUGUCCAUGGUCAGGAAACCAUAACCAUCUAUUGAUCAACGAGCUAGUCAACUAGAGGCUUACUAGGGACAUGUUGUGGUCUAUGUAUUCACACAUGUAUUACGGUUUCCAGUUAAUACAAUUAUAGCAUGAACAACAGACAAUUAUCAUGAACAAGGAAAUACAAUAAUAACCAUUUUAUUAUUUCCUCUAGGGCAUAUUUCCAACAGUGGCAUUCGUACACCAUGAUAUGCCCUCAAAUAUGCCAGGGGCUUCGUUUUACCCAUAAUACGGCAAUAAAGUCCGAACACCCUUGCGGAAGUUCGGCAUCCCGAACCUAUAGCAUUAUAUGCAUCAACUCCAAGUCAUGUCUUACGUCAAUAGUUGGGUUUGCCCGGCUCCCACGUUUUGGUACCUUACGUUCCGCUAUAUCAGCUAAGGUAGCACUGGGAGAACUACUGCGAUUGUGUCCCGGUUCUUCCGGACGAGCACCUCAGUAGAGAAAGCCGAAAACUGACUGUCAUGAUACGACGAGAGGUGGUCAGCUGUUCAAGAGGUUGUAAAAUCUUUAAGGAUUUCUCCCGCAUAAUGCCAUAACCAAUGCAGCGUGCGAUGGAUCGGUUUUUUCUUCCGAUCAGGUGCUUAUAGAGCCCCUCGUGCGGUCUUCCGAACACCAGGGGCUGCGCCUACCUUCCUAAAGCUCCUAUGGCUAAGUGAGAGCGAUAAAGCCCUAUAGUCUGAUUGCCUGGUUCGUUGUGUUGAACACCUCCUUCGAAGGACCCAAAACUGGGAUAAAGAGUGAUCAGGUCUAUCCCGAACACCCCCUGUCGGUGUCAAAACCGGUGGAUCUCGGGCAGGGAGUAUCGAACUGUGCGUCUAAGGCGGAUGGUAACAGGAGGCGGGGGACACGAUGUUUACCCAGUUCCGGGCCCUCUUGAUGGAGGUAAUACCCUACUUCCUGCUUGAUUGAUCUUGAUGAUAUGAGUAUUACAAGAGUUGAUCUACCACGAGAUUGUAGAGGCUAAACCCUAGAAGCUAGCCUAUGGUAUGAUUGUUGUUGUCCUACGGACUAAACCCUUCGGUUUAUAUAGACACUGGAGGGGGCUAGGGUUACACAGAGUCGGUUACAAGGGAGGAGAUCUACAUAUCCAUAUCGCCAAGCUUGCCUUCCACGCCAAGGAGAGUCCCAUCCGGACACGGGACGAAAUCUUCAAUCUUGUAUCUUCAUAGUCCAACAGUCCGGCUAAAGGAUAUCACUACUAGGAAAAGGCCUGCUAGUGGCGCACCUGUUUUGGCCAUUAAUGGCGCACUACAGGUGCGCCACUAGCAUCACGCCACUAGUAAUUAAUACUAAUGGCGCACCCCUAGUGCGCCAUUGGUAUACCAGAUACUAAUGGCGCACCCCUGCUGCGCCAUUGGUAUAUCACACGGUGCGCCAUUAGUAUACCAGAUACUAAUGGCGCACCACAUGGAAGUGCGCCAUUACUAACAUUUUUUUUCAAAUUUUUUCGGAAUUUUUUUUCAAUUUUUUUGUUUUUUCUUAAUCUUGGGUCAAUAUGCUUAAUCUCAAGUCAAAUCGCACUCCCUGGUCAAACUUCCCGAAAGGUCACCCAUCCUCACAUUACUCCAGCCCAAGCACGUUUAACUUCAUAGUUCUACCCAACCCCAGCACCAGCUCACUUAACACGCAUUUGUUGAUAUAUCUAGCAUAUCAAUCCUAUUAAACCUUGUUGAUGUCUAGGACAUUGUUCAUGUUCAUAAGUGUGAUGAAAUUUUGAAGAAAUAUUUCAAACUUUCGUUCAUAUUACGUAUCAUAUUUUGAAUAUUUUUUCAAAAAAAAUCGAAACUAAUUUUUUUUCUGUUACUAGUGGCGCACCUAGCAAAUGGUGCGCCACUACUAAGUUUGAAUUUUUUUCCAUUUUCCCCUCUAGAUCUUAAAAGCCCCGUAUCUUUUAUUCUGUUAGGUUUUUGGGGAUUCUAAAAAUCUUCAACGGGGUUCCUCCUCCGAAUACUCCGUAGAAGAUUUUGAACACAAGGAUAGUGUCCGGCUCUGCAAACCAAAUUCCACAUACCAUCGUAGAGAGAAUAAUAUUUCCACAAAUCUAAUCUGCUGACAACUUUUCAUAACGUGGCAUCACACCACGGUCUGGUCAUUAUUCGAACCGUUUUUCUCAACCAGCUACUGCACAUAUUGCGAGGCGGUUUUCUUGGCACGUCCUGUCGAAGCAGAGAUAGUGUCCCCUUAUCACGGGAUUCUCAUCAAUACGGGUGUGGGUAACCCAACCGCGCCAUCAAUUAGGGCGCUUGGGGAAUAAGCGAGUUUUACCAGGCAGGUGGGGAGGCGUAUAGUUUCUUCCGCCUUUAUAAAGGGACAAGGAUUCUUGUUUUUCACCCACGCCUUCUUCCUCCUUGCUCAUCCAUUGUUGCGCACUCGAGCUCCAGCACCCAAGUUCGCAUCUUCUCGUCAAACCACUCCAAGCAUGUCCAGAGCGGGAGGCAAGUGGAUGGUCUCCUCCGUUACGGAGGAGGACAUCACAAAGCUACGGAGAGCCGGAUAUCUGGCCACGGAUAUCGCACACCGGCUGCCAGAUGCCGGGCAGAUCGUCCCUACUCUAGAACCCCAUGAGAGGGUGUUUUUUCUUACACUUCGUCCGCGGACUGGGAUUUCCCCUCCACCCGUUUGUCCGCGGGCUCAGGUUCUACUACGGGCUGGACUUUCACGAUCUGGCCCCCAAUUUCAUCCUCAACAUCUCGGCGUUUAUCGUCGUGUGUGAGGCCUUCCUCCGCAUCAAGCCCCACUUCGGCCUGUGGCUGAAGACCUUCAAUUUUAAACCGAAGGUGGUGGUCGGCCAGCAAGCAGAGUGCGGAGGCGCCAUGGUGGGCAAAAUGCCCAACGUCACCUAGCUCCAAGGCUCCUACGUGGAGACCAUAAAGGGGUGGCAAUCGGGGUGGUUCUAUUGAAGGAAAUAUGCCCUAGAGGCAAUAAUAAAGUUAUUAUUUAUUUCCUUAUAUCAUGAUAAAUGUUUAUUAUUCAUGCUAGAAUUGUAUUAACCGGAAACAUAAUACAUGUGUGAACACAUAGACAAACAGAGUGUCACUAGUAUGCCUCUACUUGACUAGCUCGUUGAUCAAAGAUGUUUAUGUUUCCUAGCCAUAGACAUGAGUUGUCAUUUGAUUAACAGGAUCACAUCAUUAGGAGAAUGAUGUGAUUGACUUGACCCAUUCCGUUAGCUUAGCACUCGAUCGUUUAGUAUGUUGCUAUUGCUUUCUUCAUGACUUAUACAUGUUCCUAUGACUAUGAGAUUAUGCAACUCCCGUUUACCGGAGGAACACUUUGUGUGCUACCAAAUGUCACAACGUAACUGGGUAAUUAUAAAGGUGCUCUACAGGUGUCUCCAAAGGUACUUGUUGGGUUGGCGUAUUUCGAGAUUAGGAUUUGUCACUCCGAUUGUCGGAGAGGUAUCUCUGGGCCCACUCAGUAAUACACAUCACUAUAAGCCUUGCAAGCAUUGUGACUAAUGAGUUAGUUGCGGGAUGAUGUAUUACGAAACGAGUAAAGAGACUUGCCGGUAACGAGAUUGAACAAGGUAUUGAGAUACCGACGAUCGAAUCUCGGGCAAGUAACAUACCGAUGACAAAGGGAACAACGUAUGUUGUUAUGCGGUCUGACCGAUAAAGAUCUUCGUAGAAUAUAUGGGAACCAAUAUGAGCAUCCAGGUUCCGCUAUUGGUUAUUGACCGGAGAGGUGUCUCGGUCAUGUCUACAUAGUUCUCGAACCCGUAGGGUCCGCACGCUUAACGUUACGAUGACAGUUAUAUUAUGAGUUUAUAUGUUUUGAUGUACCGAAGGUUGUUCGGAGUCCCGGAUGUGAUCUCGGACAUGACGAGGAGUCUCGAAAUGGUCGAGACAUAAAGAUUGAUAUAUUGGAAGCCUACGUUUGGACAUCGGAAGUGUUCCGGGUGAAAUCGGGAUUUUUCCGGAGUACCCGGAGGUUACCGGAACCCCCCGGUAACUUGAUGGGCCUUAGUGGGCCUAGGUGGAACAGAGGAGAGGAGGCCAGGGCAAGGCCGCACGCCCCUCCCCCCAGUCCGAAUAGGACAAGGAGAAGGGGCCGGCGCCCCCCUUUUCCUUCCUCCCCUCCACCUCUUCCCCCUCUCUCUCCUAGUCCAACAUGGAAAAGGGGGGAGUCCUACUCCCGGUUGGAGUAGGACUCCUCCUGGCGCGCCUCUCCCCUUGGUCGGCCGAACCCCCCUUGGUCCUUUAUAUACGGGGGCAGGGGGGGCACCUCUAGACACACAAUUGAUUAUUGAUCUCUUAGCCGUGUGCGGUGCCCCCCUCCACCAUAUUACACCUCGAUAAUAUCGUAGCGGUGCUUAGGCGAAGCCCUGCGUCGGUAGAACAUCAUCAUUGUCACCACGCUGUCGUGCUGACGAAACUCUCCCUCAACACUCGGCUGGAUCGGAGUUCGAGGGACGUCAUCAAGCUGAACGUGUGCUGAACUCGGAGGUGCCGUACGUUCGGUACUUGAUCGGUCGGAUCGUGAAGACGUACGACUACAUCAACCGCGUUGUGAUAACGCUUCCGCUUUCGGUGUACGAGGGUACGUGGACAACACUCUCCCCUCUCGUUGCUAUGCAUCACCAUGAUCUUGUGUGUGCGUAGAAUUUUUUUGAAAUUACUACGUUCCCCAACAGUGGCAUCCGAGCCUGGUUUUAUGCGUUGAUGUUAUAUGCACGAGUAGAACACAAGUGAGUUGUGGGCGAUAUAAGUCAUACUGCUUACCAGCAUGUCAUAUUUUGGUUCAGCGGUAUUGUGAGAUGAAGCGGCCCGGACCGACAUUACGCGUACGCUUACGCGAGACUGGUUUCACCGUUGCGAGCACUCGUUGAUUAAAGGUGACUGGCGGGUGUCUGUCUCUCUCACUUUAGUUGAACCGAGUGUGGCUACGCCCGGUCCCUGCGAAGGUUAAAACAGCACCAACUUGACAAACUAUCAUUGUGGUUUUGACGCGUAGGUAAGAACGGUUCUUGCUAAGCCCGUAGCAGCCACGUAAAACUUGCAACAACAAAGUAGAGGACGUCUAACUUGUUUUUGCAGGGCAUGUUGUGAUGUGAUAUGGUCAAGACAUGAUGCUAUAUUUUAUUGUAUGAGAUGAUCAUGUUUUGUAACCGAGUUAUCGGCAACUGGCAGGAGCCAUAUGGUUGUCGCUUUAUUGUAUGCAAUGCAAUCGCCAUGUAAUUGUUUUACUUUAUCACUAAGCGGUAGCGAUAGUCGUAAAAGCUAUAGUUGGCGAGAUGACAACGAUGCUACGAUGGAGAUCAAGGUGUCGCGCCGGUGACGAUGGUGAUCAUGACGGUGCUUCGGAGAUGGAGAUCACAAGCACAAGAUGAUGAUGGCCAUAUCAUAUCACUUAUAUUGAUUGCAUGUGAUGUUUAUCUUUUAUGCAUCUUAUCUUUGAUUGACGGUAGCAUUAUAAGAUGAUCUCUCACUAAAAUUUCAAGAUAAAAGUGUUCUCCCUGAGUAUGCACCGUUGCCAAAGUUCGUCGUGCCCAGACACCACGUGAUGAUCGGGUGUGAUAAGCUCUACGUCCAUCUACAACGGGUGCAAGCCAGUUUUGCACACGCAGAAUACUCAGGUUAAACUUGACGAGCCUAGCAUAUGCAGAUAUGGCCUCGGAACACUGAGACCGAAAGGUCGAGCGUGAAUCAUAUAGUAGAUAUGAUCAACAUAGUGAUGUUCACCAUUGAAAACUACUCCAUUUCACGUGAUGAUUGGUUAUGGUUUAGUUGAUUUGGAUCACGUAAUCACUUAGAUGAUUAGAGGGAUGACUAUCUAAGUGGGAGUUUUUUAAGUAAUAUGAUUAAUAGAACUUAAAUUUAUAAUGAACUUAGUACCUGAUAGUAUCUUGCUUGUCUAUGUUAAUUGUAGAUAGAUGGCCCGUGCUGUUGUUCCAUUGAAUUUUAGUGCGUUCCUUGAGAAAGCAAAGUUGAAAGAUGAUGGUAGCAAUUACACGGACUGGGUCCGUAACUUGAGGAUUAUCCUCAUUGCUGCACAGAAGAAUUACGUCCUGGAAGCACCGCUGGGUGCCAGGCCUGCUGCAAGAGCAACACCAAAAGUUAUGAACGUCUGGCAGAGCAAAGCUGAUGACUACUCGAUAGUUCAGUGUGCCAUGCUUUACGGCUUAGAACUGGGUCUUCAACGACGUUUUGAACGUCAUGGAGCAUAUGAGAUGUUCCAGGAGUUGAAGUUAAUAUUUCAAGCAAAUGCCCGGAUUGAGAGAUAUGAAGUCUCCAAUAAGUUCUACAGCUGCAAGAUGGAAGAGAAUAGUUCUGUCAGUGAGCAUAUACUCAAAAUGUCUGGGUAUAAUAAUCACUUGAUUCAACUAGGAGUUAAUCUUCCGGAUGAUAGCAUCAUUGACAGAAUUCUUCAAUCACUGCCACCAAGCUACAAGACCUUCGUGAUGAACUAUAACAUGCAAGGGAUGAAUAAGACAAUUCCCGAGCUCUUCGCAAUGCUAAAGGCGGCGGAGGUAGAAAUCAAAAAGAAGCAUCAAUUGUUGAUGGUCAAUAAGACCACUAGUUUCAAGAAAAAGGGCAAAGGGAAGAAGAAGGGGAACUUCAAGAAGAACAGCAAGCAAGUUGCUGUUCAGGAGAAGAAACCCAAAUCUGGACCUAAGCCUGAAACUGAGUGCUUCUACUGCAACCAGACUGGUCACUGGAAGUGGAACUGCCCCAAGUAUUUGGCGGAUAAGAAGGAUGUCAAGGUGAACAAAGGUAUAUGUGAUAUACAUGUUAUUGAUGUGUACCUUACCAGAGCUCGCAGUAGCACCUGGGUAUUUGAUACUGGUUCUGUUGCUAAUAUUUGCAACUCGAAACAGGGACUACGGAUUAAGCGAACAUUGGCCAAGGAUGAGGUGACGAUGCGCGUGGGAAACGGUUCCAAAGUCGAUGUGAUCGCCGUCGGCACGCUACCUCUGCAUCUACCUUCGGGAUUAGUAUUAGACCUAAAUAAUUGUUAUUUGGUGCCAGCGUUGAGCAUGAACAUUAUAUCUGGAUUUUGUUUGAUGCGAGACGGUUAUUCAUUUAAAUCAGAGAAUAAUGGUUGUUCUAUUUAUAUGAGUAAUAUCUUUUAUGGUCAUGCACCCUUGUAGAAUGGUCUAUUUUUAAUGAAUCUCGGUAGUAGUGACACACAUAUUCAUAAUGUCGAAGCCAAAAGAUGCAGAGUUGAUAAUGAUAGUGCAACUUAUUUGUGGCACUGCCGUUUAGGUCAUAUCGGUGUAAAGCGCAUGAAGAAACUCCAUAAUGAUGGACUUUUGGAAUCACUUGAUUAUGAAUCACUUGGUACUUGCAAACCGUGUCUCAUGGGCAAGAUGACUAAAACACCGUUCUCCGGAACUAUGGAGAGAACAACUGAUUUGUUGGAAAUCAUACAUUGAGAUGUAUGUCGUCCGAUGAAUAUUGAGGCUCGUGGCGGAUAUCGUUAUUUUCUCACCUUCACAGAUGAUUUGAGUAGAUAUGGGUAUAUCUACUUAAUGAAACAUAAGUCUGAAACAUUUGAAAAGUUCAAAGAAUUUCAGAGCGAAGUUGAAAAUCAUCGUAACAAGAAAAUAAAGUUUCGACGAUCAGAUCGUGGAGGAGAAUAUCUGAGUUAAGAGUUUGGCCUACAUUUGAAACAAUGCGGAAUAGUUUCGCAACUCACGCCACCCGGACACCACAGCGUAAUGGUGUGUCCGAACAUCGUAAUCGUACUUUACUAGAUAUGGUGCGAUCUAUGAUGUCUCUUACUGAUUUACCGCUAUCGUUUUGGGGUUAUGCUUUAGAGACGGCUGCAUUCACUCUAAAUAGGGCACCAUCAAAAUCCGUUGAGACUACGCCUUAUGAACUAUGGUUUGGCAAGAAACCAAAGUUGUCGUUUCUUAAAGUUUGGGGUUGCGAUGCUUAUGUGAAGAAACUUCAACCUGAUAAGCUCGAACCUAAAUCGGAAAAAUGUGUCUUCAUAGGAUACCCAAAGGAGACUGUUGGGUACACCUUCUAUCACAGAUCCGAAGGAAAGACAUUCGUUGCUAAGAAUGGAUCCUUUCUAGAGAAGGAGUUUCUCUCGAAAGAAGUGAGUGGGAGGAAAGUAGAACUUGAUGAGGUAACUGUACCUGCUCCCUUAUUGGAAAGUAGAUCAUCACAGAAACCAGUUUCUGCAACACCUACACCAAUUAGUGAGGAAGUUAAUGAUAAUGAUCAUGAAACUUCAGAUCAAGUUAUUACUGAACCUCGUAGGUCAACCAGAUUAAGAUCCGCACCAGAGUGGUACGGUAAUCCUGUUGUGGAGGUUAUGUUACUGGACCAUGACGAACCUACAAACUAUGAAGAAGCGAUGGUGAGCCCAGAUUCCGCAAAAUGGCUUGAGGCCAUGAAAUCCGAGAUGGGAUCCAUGAAUGAGAACAAAGUAUGGACUUUGGUUGACUUGCCCGAUGAUCGGCAAGCCAUUGAAAAUAAAUGGAUCUUCAAGAAGAAGACUGACGCUGACGGUAAUGUUACUGUCUAUAAAGCUCGACUUGUUGCGAAAGGUUUUCGACAAGUUCAAGGGAUUGACUACGAUGAGACCAUCUCACCCGUAGCGAUGCUUAAGUCUGUCCGAAUCAUGUUAGCAAUUGCUGCAUUUUGUGAUUAUGAAAUUUGGCAAAUGGAUGUCAAAACUGCAUUCCUGAAUGGAUUUCUGGAAGAAGAGUUGUAUAUGAUGCAACCGGAAGGUUUUGUUGAUCCAAAGGGAGCUAACAAAGUGUGCAAGCUCCAGUGAUCCAUUUAUGGACUGGUGCAAGCCUCUCGGAGUUGGAAUAAACGCUUUGAUAGUGUGAUCAAAGCAUUUGGUUUUAUACGGACUUUUGGAGAAGCCUGUAUUUACAAGAAAGUGAGUGGGAGCUCAGUAGCAUUUCUGAUAUUAUAUGUGGAUGACAUAUUGCUAAUUGGAAAUGAUAUAUAAUUUCUGGAUAGCAUAAAGGGAUACUUGAAUAAGAGUUUUUUAAUGAAAGACCUCGGUGAAGCUGCAUAUAUAUUAGGCAUCAAGAUCUAUAGAGAUAGAUCAAGACGGUUAAUUGGACUUUCACAAAGCACAUACCUUGACAAAGUUUUGAAGAAGUUCAAAAUGGAUCAAGCAAAGAAAGGGUUCUUGCCUGUACUACAAGGUGUGAGAUUGAGUAAGACUCAAUGCCCGACCACUGCAGAAGAUAGAGAGAAGAUGAAAGAUGUUCCCUAUGCUUCAGCCAUAGGCUCUAUCAUGUAUGCAAUGCUGUGUACCAGACCUGAUGUGUGCCUUGCUAUAAGUUUAGCAGGGAGGUACCAAAGUAAUCCAGGAGUUGAUCACUGGACAGCGGUCAAGAACAUCCUGAAAUACGUGAAAAGGACUAAGGAUAUGUUUCUCGUUUAUGGAGGUGACAAAGAGCUCAUCGUAAAUGGUUACGUUGAUGCAAGCUUUGACACUGAUCCGGACGAUUCUAAAUCGCAAACCGGAUACGUGUUUACAUUGAACGGUGGAGCUGUUAGUUGGUACAGUUCUAAGCAAAGUGUCGUGGCGGGAUCUACGUGUGAAGCGGAGUACAUAGCUGCUUCGGAAGCAGCAAAUGAAGGAGUCUGGAUGAAGGAGUUCAUAUCCGAUCUAGGUGUCAUACCUAGUGCAUCGGGACCAAUGAAAAUCUUUUAUGACAAUACUGGUGCAAUUGCCUUAGCGAAGGAAUCCGGAUUUCACAAGAGAAUCAAGCACAUCAAAAGACGCUUCCAUUCCAUCCGGGAUUUAUUCCAGGUGGGAGACAUAGAAAUUUUCAAGAUACAUACGGAUCUGAAUGUUGCAGACCCAUUGACUAAGCCUCUUCCACGAGCAAAACAUGAUCAGCACCAAGACUCCAUGGGUGUAAGAAUCAUUACUGUGUAAUCUAGAUUACUGACUCUAGUGCAAGUGGGAGACUGAAGGAAAUAUACCCUAGAGGCAAUAAUAAAGUUAUUAUUUAUUUCCUUAUAUCAUGAUAAUUGUAUAUUAUUCAUGCCAGAAUUGUAUUAACCGGAAACAUAAUACAUGUGUGAAUACAUAGACAAACAGAGUGUCACUAGUAUGCCUCUACUUGACUAGCUCGUUGAUCAAAGAUGGUUAUGUUUCCUUGCUAUAGACAUGAGUUGUCAUUUGAUUAACGGGAUCACAUCAUUGGGAGAAUGAUGUGAUUGACUUGACCCAUUCGGUUAGCUUAGCACUCGAUCGUUUAGUAUGUUGCUAUUGCUUUCUUCAUGACUUAUACAUGUUCCUAUGACUAUGAGAUUAUGCAACUCCCGUUUACCGGAGGAACACUUUGUGUGCUACCAAACGUCACAACAUAACUGGGUGAUUAUAAAGGUGCUCUACAGGUGUCUCCAAAGGUACUUUUUGGGUUGGCGUAUUUCGAGAUUAGGAUUUGUCACUCUGAUUGUCGGAGAGGUAUCUCUGGGCCCACUCAGUAAUACACAUCACUAUAAGCCUUGCAAGCAUUGUGACUAAUGAGUUAGUUGCAGGAUGAUGUAUUACGGAACGAGUAAAGAGACUUGCCGGUAACGAGAUUGAACUAGGUAUCGAGAUACCGACGAUCGAAUCUCGGGCAAGUAACAUACCGAUGACAAAGGGAACAACGUAUGUUGUUAUGCGGUCUGACCGAUAAAGAUCUUCGUAGAAUAUAUGGGAACCUAUAUGAGCAUCCAGGUUCUGCUAUUGGUUAUUGACCGGAGAGGUGUCUCGGUCAUGUCUACAUAGUUCUCGAACCCGUAGGGUCCGCACGCUUAACGUUACGAUGACAGUUAUAUUAUGAGUUUAUAUGUUUUGAUGUACCGAAGGUUGUUCGGAGUCUCGGAUGUGAUCUCGGACAUGACGAAAAGAUUGAUAUAUUGGAAGCCUAUGUUUGGACAUCGGAAGUGUUCCGGGUGAAAUCGGGAUUUUUCCGGAGUACCGGGAGGUUACCGGAACCCCCCGGUAACUUGAUGGGCCUUAGUGGGCCUAGGUGGAAGAGAGGAGAGGAGGCCAAGGCAGGGCCGCACGCCCCUCCCCCCAGUCCGAAUAGGACAAGGAGAAGGGGGCGGCGCCCCCCCUUUUCCUUCCUCCCCUCAACCUCUUCCCCCUCUCUCUCCUAGUCCAACAUGGAAAAGGGGGGAGUCCUACUCCCAGUAGGACUAUGACUCCUCCUGGCGCGCCUCUCCCCUUGGCUGGCCGAACCCCCCCUUGCUCCUUUAUAUACGGGGGCGGGGGGGCACCUCUAAACACACAAUUGAUUAUUGAUCUCUUAGCCGUGUGCGGUGCCCCCCUCCACCAUAUUACACCUCGAUAAUAUCGUAGCGGUGCUUAGGCGAAGCCUGCAUCGGUAGAACAUCAUCAUUGUCACCACGCCGUCGUGCUGACGAAACUCUCCCUCAACACUCGGCUGGAUCGGAGUUCGAGGGACGUCAUCGAGCUGAACUUGUGCUGAACUCGGAGGUGCCGUACGUUCGGUACUUGAUCGGUCGGAUCAUGAAGACGUACGACUACAUCAACCGUGUUGUGUUAACGCUUCCGCUUUCGGUCUACGAGGGUACGUGGAGAACACUCUCCCCUCUCGUUGCUAUGCAUCACCAUGAUCUUGCGUGUGCGUAGAAUUUUUUUGAAAUUACUACGUUCCCCAACAUCCAUAUCACCGAGCCGCGCGACACCAACUGGGUGGCGGCCCCAGAAUUUCGAUCCCGAAUCCCCAUGCGGCUCACCUCCUGGAAAGAGAAGGGCCUAUCCUGGGGUUCCUCGGUAGAGCUGACCGGACUCCAGGCCCGCGUCAAAAACAUGACGAGCAAGAAAAUUAAGCUCGUCUACGUGGUCCAAGUCAUGCUCUUCCGCCGGAUCCUCCCGUGUCAAAGACGGGCAUUCAAUAUUUGGGAGUUCGACCCGGCCAAGCACCAGACGCUGCGAGAGCUCUUCGACACGACGCACAAGGACGUCUGGAAGGUGCUGUUCAAGGGCGCCAAGGUCCCUCCUCCCCUUACCGAGGACCGCGGACUCAGCGCGAAGCGCCCCCCCCCUCGUGAAUUCGGAUGUAACUUUUCGAGUAGAUGAUUUUUCAUACAAAGACUUUUUAAUCCGAGUUCGUAUGCAAAAUUUAUGCCCAUUUUACAAAUUCCAAAGAGAUUUUGCAAAUAAAGUCAAAAUUCAUAUUUGUAAAUUUUCCCAACAAGUAGACCACAUAUCACAUGGGAAACUUAUUUUCUUUUAUUUUUUUUGACAUUUCCGUCAUUUUGUUUUAUUUUUUAAACUAAAAAGGCGGUCCACGGGGGGGGGUGCAUUCGGUGGAAUUUUUGGUAACUAGUAAUGGCGCACCACACCCACGGUGCACCAUUACUAACUUUGAAAAAAAAAUAAAAAAAUUGUUAGUAGUGGCGCACCGAGGGUGUGGUGCGCCAUUACUAGUUUUGAAAAAAAAAUUAGAACUAUUUGUUAGUAGUGGCGCACCGAGGGUGUGGUGCGCCAUUACUAGUUUUUUUUUAAAAAAUUGUUAGUAGUGGCGCACCGUGGAUGUGGUGCGCCAUUAGUAUUUGGAGUUUAAUGGCGUACCCACAGAUGGUGCGCCAUUAGUAUAUAGCAGUGGCGCACCACAUGUGUGAUGCGCCAUUAAUGUCCAUAUUAUCUAUAGCCCUUUUCCUAGUAGUCUAUAGUCCGGCUGUCCGAGGGCCCCCUAAUACAGGACUCCCUCAGUAGCCCCUGAACCAAGCUUCAAUGACGAUGAGUCCGGCGCACAGAUUGUCUUCGGCAUUGCAAGGCAGGUUCCUCCUCCGAAUACUCCGUAGAAGAUUUUGAACACAAGGAUAGUGUUCGGCUCUACAAAACAAAUUCCACAUACCAUCGUAGGGAGAAUAAUAUCUCCACAAACCUAAUCUGCUGACAACUUUUCAUAACAUGACAUCACACCACGGUUUGGUCAUUAUUCGAACCGUUUUUCUCAACCAGCUACUGCACAUAUUGCGAGGCGGUUUUCUUGGCACGUCUUGUCGAAGCAGAGAUCGUGUCCCCUUAUCACGGGAUUCUCAUCAAUACGGGUGUGGGUAACCCAACCGCGCCAUCAAUUAGGGCGCUUGGGGAAUAAGCGAGUUUUACCAUGCAGGUGGGGAGGCGUAUAGUUUCUUCCGCCUUUAUAAAGGGACAAGGAUUCUUCUUUUUCACCCACGCCUUCUUCCUCCUUGCUCAUCCAUUCUUGCGCACUCGAGCUCCAGCACCCAAGUUCGCAUCUUCUCCUCAAACCACUCCAAGCAUGUCCUGAGCGGGAGGCAAGUGGAUGGUCUCCUCCAUUACGGAGGAGGACAUCACAAAGCUACGGAGAGCCGGAUAUCUGGCUGCGGAUAUCGCACACCGGCUGCCAGAUGUGGGGCAGAUCGUCCCUACUCCAGAACCCCAUGAGAGGGUGGUUUUUCUUACACUUCGUCCGCGGACUGGGAUUUCCCCUCCACCCGUUUGUCCGCGGGCUCAUGUUCUACUACGGGCUGGACUUUCACGAUCUGGCCCCCAAUUUCAUCCUCAACAUCUCGGCGUUUAUCGUCGUGUGCGAGGCCUUCCUCCGCAUCAAGCCCCACUUCGGCCUGUGGCUGAAGACCUUCAAUUUUAAACCGAAGGUAGUGGUCGGCCAGCAAGCGGAGUGCGGAGGCGCCAUGGUGGGCAAAAUGCCCAACGUCACCUGGCUCGAAGGCUCCUACAUGGAGACCAUAAAGGGGUGGCAAUCGGGGUGGUUCUAUAUCAACGAGCCGCGCGACACCAACUGGGUGGCGGCCCCCGAAUUUCGAUCCGGAAUCCCCAUGCGGCUCACCUCCUGGAAAGAGAAGGGCCUAUCCUGGAGUUCCUCGGUAGAGCUGACCGGACUCCAGACCUGCGUCAAAAACAUGAUGAGCAAGAAAAUUAAGCUCAUCAACGUGGUCCAAGUCAUGCUCUUCUGCCGGAUGCUCCCGUGUCAAAGACGGGCAUUCAAUAUUUAGGAGUUCGACCCGGCCGAGCACCAGACGCUGGGAGAGCUCUUCGACACGACGCACAAGGAUGUCUGGAAAGUGCUGUUCAAGGGCGCCAAGGUACCUCCUCCCCUUACCGAGGACCGCGGACUCAGUGGGAAGCGCCCCCCUGUGAAUUCGGAUGUAACUUUUCGAGUAGAUGAUUUUUCAUAUAAAAAACUUUUUAAUCCGAGUUCGUAUGCAAAAGUUAUGCCCAUUUUACAAAUUCCAGAGAGAUUUUGCAAAUAAAGUCGAAAUUCAUAUUUGUAAAUUUUCCCAACAAGUAGACCACAUAUCACAUGGGAAACUUAUUUUCUUUUAUUUUUUUGACAUUUCCGUCAUUUUCUUUUAUUUUUUUAAAACUGAAAAGGCGGUCCACGGGGGGGGGGAGUGCAUUCGGUGGAAUUUCUGGUAACUAGUAAUGGCGCACCACACCCACGGUGCGCCAUUACUAACUUUGAAAAAAAAUUGUUAGUAGGGGCGCACCGAGGGUGUGGUGCGCCAUUACUAGUUAAAACUAGUAAUGGCGCACUAUCCCCUCGUGUGCCAUUACUAGUUUUGAAAAAAAAAUAAAAAAAAUUGUUAGUAGUGGCGCACCGAGGGUGUGGUGCGCCAUUACUAGUUUAACUAGUAAUGGCGCACUAUCCCCUGGUGCGCCAUUACUAGUUUAAAAAAUGGUUAGUAGUGGCGCACCAUGGAUGUGGUGCGCCAUUAGUAUUUGGAGUUUAAUGGCGUACCUACACAUGGUGCGCCAUUAGUAUAUAGCAGUGGCGCACCACAUGUGCGGUGCGCCAUUAAUGUCCAUAUUAUCUAUAGCCCUUUUCCUAGUAGUGUAUAGUCCGGCUGUCCGAGGACCCCCUAAUCGAGGACUCCCUCAGUAGCCCCUGAACCAGGCUUCAAUGACGAUGAGUCCGGCGCGCAGAUUGUCUUCGGCAUUGCAAGGCGGGUUCCUCCUCCGAAUACUCCGUAGAAGAUUUUGAACACAAGGAUCGUGUCCGGCUCUGCAAAACAAAUUCCACAUACCAUCGUAGAGAGAAUAAUAUUUCCACAAAUCUAAUCUGCUGACAACUUUUCAUAACGUGACAUCACACCACGGUCUGGUCAUUAUUCGAACCGUUUUUCUCAACCAGCAACUGCACAUAUUGCGAGGCGGUUUUCUUGGCACGUCUUGUCGAAGCAGAGAUCGUGUCCCCUUCUCACGGGAUUCUCAUAAAUACGGGUGUGGGUAACCCAACCGCGCCAUCAAUUAGGGCGCUUGGGGAAUAAGCGAGUUUUACCAGGCAGGUGGGGAGGCGUAUAGUUUCUUCCGCCUUUAUAAAGGGACAAGGAUUCUUCUUUUUCACCCACGCCUUCUUCCUCCUUGCUCAUCCAUUCUUGCGCACUCGAGCUCCAGCACCCAAGUUCGCAUCUUCUCCUCAAACCACUCCAAGCAUGUCCGGAGCGGGAGGCAAGUGGAUGGUCUCCUCCGUUACGGAGGAGGACAUCACAAAGCUACGGAGAGCCGGAUAUCUGGCCACGGAUAUCGCACACCGGCUGCCAGAUGCGGGGCAGAUCGUCCCUACUCCAGAGCCCCAUGAGAGGGUGGUUUUUCUUACACUUCGGCCGCGGACUGGGAUUUCCCCUCCACCUGUUUGUCCGCGGGCUCAUGUUCUACUACGGGCUGGACUUUCAUGAUCUGGCCCCCAAUUUCAUCCUCAACAUCUCGGCGUUUAUCGUCGUGUGCGAGGCCUUCCUCCGCAUCAAGCCCCACUUCGGCCUGUGGCUGAAGACCUUCAAUGUUAAACCGAAGGUGGUGGUCGGCCAGCAAGCGGAGUGCUGAGGCGCCAUGGUGGGAAAAAUGCCCAACGUCACCAGGCUCGAAGGCUCCUACGUGGAGACCAUAAAGGGGUGGCAAUCGGGGUGGUUCUAUAUCACCGGGCCGCGCGACACCAACUGGGUGGCGGCCCCUGAAUUUCGAUCCGGAAUCCCCAUGCGGCUCACCUCCUGGAAAGAGAAGGGCAUAUCCAGGGGUUCCUCGGUAGAGCUGACCGGACUCCAGACCUGCGUCAAAAACAUGAUGAGCAAGAAAAUUAAGCUCGUCAACGUGGUCCAAGUCAUGCUCUUCUGCCGGAUCCUCCCGUGUCAAAGACGGGCAUUCAAUAUUUGGGAGUUUGACCCGGCCGAGCACCAGACGUUGCGAGAGCUCUUCGACACGACGCACAAGGACGUCUGGAAGGUGCUGUUCAAGGGCGCCAAGGUACCUCCUCCCCUUACCGAGGACCGCGGACUCGGCGCGAAGCGCCCCCCCUGUGAAUUCGGAUGUAACUCUUCGAGUAGAUGAUUUUUCAUAUAAAAAACUUUUUAAUCCGAGUUCGUAUGCAAAAGUUAUGCCCAUUUUACAAAUUCCAGAGAGAUUUUGCAAAUAAAGUCGAAAUUCAAAGUUGUAAAUUUUCCCAACAAGUUGACCACAUAUCACAUGGGAAACUUAUUUUCUUUUAAGUUUUUGACAUUUCUGUCAUUUUCUUUNNNNNNNNNNNNNNNNNNNNNNNNNNNNNNNNNNNNNNNNNNNNNNNNNNNNNNNNNNNNNNNNNNNNNNNNNNNNNNNNNNNNNNNNNNNNNNNNNNNNNNNNNNNNNNNNNNNNNNNNNNNNNNNNNNNNNNNNNNNNNNNNNNNNNNNNNNNNNNNNNNNNNNNNNNNNNNNNNNNNNNNNNNNNNNNNNNNNNNNNNNNNNNNNNNNNNNNNNNNNNNNNNNNNNNNNNNNNNNNNNNNNNNNNNNNNNNNNNNNNNNNNNNNNNNNNNNNNNNNNNNNNNNNNNNNNNNNNNNNNNNNNNNNNNNNNNNNNNNNNNNNNNNNNNNNNNNNNNNNNNNNNNNNNNNNNNNNNNNNNNNNNNNNNNNNNNNNNNNNNNNNNNNNNNNNNNNNNNNNNNNNNNNNNNNAAAAAAAAGUUAGUAGUGGCGCACCGAGGGUGUGGUGCGCCAUUACUAGUUAAAACUAGUAAUGGCACACUAUCCCCUGGUGCGCGAUUACUACUUUUGAAAAAAAUUAUAAAAAAAUUGUUAGUAGUGGCGCACCGAGGGUGUGGUGCGCCAUUACUAGUUUAACUAGUAAUGACGCACUAUCCCCUGGUGCGCCAUUACUAGUUAAAAAAAAAUUGUUAGUAGUGGCGCACCAUGGAUGUGGUGCGCCAUUAGUAUUUGGAGUUUAAUGGCGUACCACACAUGGUGCGCCAUUAGUAUAUAGCAGUGGCGCACCACAUGUGUGGUGCGCCAUUAAUGUCCAUAUUAUCUAUAGCCCUUUUCCUAGUAGUGUAUAGUCCGGCUGUCCGAGGACCCCCUAAUCCAGGACUCCCUCAGUAGCCCCUGAACCAGGCUUCAAUGACGAUGACUCCGGCGCGCAGAUUGUCUUCGGCAUUGCAAGGUGGGUUCCUCCUCCGAAUACUCCGUAGAAGAUUUUGAACACAAGGAUAGUGUCUGGCUCUACAAAACAAAUUCCACAUACCAUCAUAGAGAGAAUAAUAUUUCCACAAAUCUAAUAUGCUGACAACUUUUCAUAACGUGACAUCACACCAUGGUCUGGUCAUUAUUCGAACCGUUUUUCUCAACCAGCUACUGCACAUAUUGCGAGGCGGUUUUUUUGGCACGUGUUGUCGAAGCAGAGAUCAUGUCCCCUUAUCACGGGAUUCUCAUCAAUACGGGUGUGGGUAACCCAACCGCGCCAUCAAUUAGGGCGCUUGGGGAAUAAGCGAGUUUUACCAUGCAGGUGGGGAGGCGUAUAGUUUCUUCCGCCUUUAUAAAGGGACAAGGAUUCUUCUUUUUCACCCACGCCUUCUUCCUCCUUGCUCAUCCAUUCUUGCGCACUCGAGCUCCAGCACCCAAGUUCGCAUCUUCUCCUCAAACCACUCCAAGCAUGUCCGGAGCGGGAGGCAAGUGGAUGGUCUCCUCCGUUACGGAGGAGGACAUCACAAAGCUACGGAGAGCCGGAUAUCUGGCCACGGAUAUCGCACACCGGCUGCCAGAUGCGGGGCAGAUCGUCCCUACUCCAGAACCCCAUGAGAGGGUGGUUUUUCUUACACUUCGGCCGCGGACUGGGAUUUCCCCUCCACCCGUUUGUCCGCGGGCUCAUGUUCUACUACGGGCUGGACUUUCAUGAUCUGGCCCCCAAUUUCAUCCUCAACAUCUCGGCGUUUAUCGUCGUGUGCGAGGCCUUCCUCCGCAUCAAGCCCCACUUCGGCCUGUGGCUGAAGACCUUCAAUGUUAAACCGAAGGUGGUGGUCGGCCAGCAAGCGGAGUGCGGAGGCGCCAUGGUGGGGAAAAUGCCCAACAUCACCUGGCUCGAAGGCUCCUACGUGGAGACCAUAAAGGGGUGGCAAUCGGGAUGGUUCUAUAUCACCAAGGCGCGCGACACCAACUAGGUGGCGGCCCCCGAAUAUCGAUCCGGAAUCCCCAUGCGGCUCACCUCCUGGAAAGAGAAGGGCCUAUCCUGGGGUUCCUCGGUAGAGCUAACCGGACUCCAGACCUGCGUCAAAAACAUGAUGAGCAAGAAAAUUAAGCUCCUCAACGUGGUCCAAGUCAUGCUCUUCCGCCGGAUCCUCCCGUGUCAAAGACAGGCAUUCAAUAUUUGGGAGUUCGACCCGGCCGAGCACCAGACGCUGUGAAAGCUCUUCGAUAGGACGCACAAGGACGUCUGGAAGGUGCUGUUCAAGGGCGCCAAGGUACCUCCUCCCCUUACCGAGGACCGCGGACUCAGCGCGAAGCGCCCUGCCAAUCCGGUAAGUCUUUUAUAUCUCAUAAUAUGUUCAUUUUCCCCGGUUUAACCAUGCGCGGGAUCUAAGGCUCCACGCCAUUUUAACAGGACUGGGUAGAGACAGCGGAGCAGAUCGAUUGUCCAGCCCCCCUGCCCGAAGAUCCAGCAGACGCUCUCCUAACAGAGAUGCUGGUUCCGGCGCCUUACGAGGUAACAAUGAAGAAGGCCAAGAAGAAGGCCACGGGGACCCGGAAGGGUCUCCGACGCAAGGUUAUAUCGGACUCAUCAUCCGAAAACACCGAGGCGCACUCCUCCCACAAAAAUGAGGAGGAGGAAGAGGAAAGUUCCCCCCACCUGCCGGGGGAGACAAGAAAAGGAAGGCCGCCCCAUCCGAGGAGGCCGAAGGGUCCAAGAAGGGAAGGACCCUCCUCUCGAACUGCUCCACGACGGUCGCCUAUAGUGACGACGAGUGGUUGCCCAGGGACAAGCCCCUGGCAAAGUCGUAAGUAUCCGGAUACCAUAAUAAUCCUUGAUAUGUUUUAUUGCACUGCUUCUCAUCAUGCCGAACAUGAUUAUGCAGUCCGUCCCGAGCCCAUAUCGACGUAUCUUGUCGGAUGGUUCUUUGGAACCGUCGGAUCUGAAUAGCGAUUCACUUCCAACCGCUUCCUCCCCUCGCCCUACGGACAACGUCGAGGUGUUGUCUCAAAGGGCACCGAGCCAAGGGGAGGUAGUCCUGGAGGCGCCUCAAGGCGACAUUCCGGACACUGGGCGCAAGGGGAGCAAGACUCCCAUGGGCUCCGAUGACGGGGGCAGCAAAUUCGGCCCCCAGCCGAAUACUGCGCCGGAACCUCCAGUGGUUCCGGACUCUAUCAGGCAACACCUCACUAAGAGGGGCAAGCCGCCUGUGCCGACGGCCUCUGUCCAUCCAGAGGCAUCGGACAACUUGCUGGAAGCGCUUCAUGGCGCUUCCAUCGACGAAGAGCACCGCACUAUCAUGAGUGCGGUGAUCGACAAGGUUCGGUCCGCCAAAAGCGGACUGACUGAAGCAUGUGCCAGCCUCCUAACAGGCUUUGAGGUAAGUAAUCAAAUUAUAAGAAAAUGUUACAACAUAGACAGUAGCCCCUGAUGCUCUGUUUGGCGUUCGCGAAGAAAGGCCGAAUAGAGGAUCAAAUAAUAACUGCAGGAGUCUAAUCGGAAUAUGUCUAUGUGCAUAUGCAGGCUUCAGUGCUAGCCGCUGCCGCACGUACUACAGAGGUCGCUAUACUGAAGCAGGACCUUGAGCGGUCCAAGGAAGAGCUCGGCCUUACCAAGAGGCAGCUCGAAGAGAACAAAGGUAAGAGACACCCCGUCUGUAUAUUGAAAAAUUUGGUUUUAGAAUAAUAAGAUUGUCAUGAAUUUUGCUAGGGGCCACGACCGAAGUGGCGGCCCUGAAAAAUGCGCUAUCCAAGGCCGAAGAUAAAGCGGCUAAGGAGCGCACCGAGCGCGAGAAACAAGAGGCCCGAGUUGGCGAGGUGCAGCAAGAGCUCCAGGCUCUCGCCAAAAAACACGAGUCCUUAGAGCUUGACUCUAAGACGCAAGAGUCCGAGCUUGCGAAGGCCCUCGAAAGCGCACAACAUGCCAAGGCCGAAGCCCAAAAGGCCCUCCAGGAAAUUGAGGCGGUUAAAAAGAUAGCAGCGGGUAAGGCAUUCAUUAUGCAAACCAAGCAUGUGAAGGAAACUUUCCUUUUACUUACCCGAGUUCGGAGCUCUCCAGGAGCGUUCGCAGAUCUGCCCCGCAGUGUGUCAGACACCGCGGAGUUCUACCGGGCUGAGGAGGGGAGCUCGACGGAGAAGUUGUUCUGGUCUCAGUAUACUGGGACCGAACACCCAAUGCCCUUGAGCGACCAGCUGAAGCAACUGGUCGAGCUCCACAAGGCGGCCGAACAUGCCAUGAAGGGUCUUAUAGUCCGGAUGUGGCCUGGCAAGCCCCUGCCUGAUAGCUACUUCGGUCUGGUGAGGCGGCUUGUGAAUGCCUGCCCACGGCUCGACGUCAUAAAGCGGUCCGUCUGCAUCGACGGUGCGCGCAGGGCUUUUGCUCGGGCGAAGGUGCACUGGGCGAAGCUGGACGCCGUAAAGCUGGUGAAGGAGGGGCCGCCGGAAGGCAAGGAGCAUCGUCACCCCGAAAUGUAUUAUGACAGUGUCCUGAAGGGUGCUCGCCUUGUGGUGGAGGAAUGUGCUAAGGAUGUAAUAUGCGAGUGAAUGUACUCAUGUGAUCCUGUAAUAUGAAACGAGUUCAUUUGCGCUAUACCAUGCUUGUUAAUUUAAAAUAUUACCUUCCAUGUGGCCGUUUAUGAAAUCUGAGAGUUGGCCAGUCGUCGGCUUCUGCCCCCAUGUAACUAGUACUGGGGUGUUCGGGAUAAACCUGAGCACUCUUUAUCCCAAUUUUGGGUCCUUCGAAGGAGGUGUUCAGCACAGCGAACCAGGCAAUCGGACUAUAAAGCUUUAUCACUCUCACUUAGCCAUAGAAGUCUACAAUUUUAAAUUUUGGCGAAGCCCCUAGUAUUCGGAGGGCCGAAUUUGGGGCGCUAUAUACGCCUAAGUCGGGCAAGGCCGACUCCUCGCCCGAAGCGGAAGAAGUCUUUAAGGACUUGAGACCUCUCGAACAGCGACCAACUCUCGCCUCACCAUGACAGUCAGUUUUCGGCUUUCUCUACUGAGGAGCUCGUCCGGAAGAACUGGGACACAAUCGCAGUAGUUCUCCCAACGCUAGCUUAGCCGAUAUUGCAGAACGUAAGGUACCAAAACAUGGGAGCCGGGCAAACCCAACUAUUGACCCAAGACAUGAUUCGGAGCUGAUGCAUAUAAUGCUAUAAGUUCAGGGUGCCGCACUGUCGAAAGUGUUCGGACUUCUCACGCCGUAUUAUGGGGUAUAGUGAAACCCCUGACGUACUAGUCGUACUAGAAUGUACGGGUGCAAUCUGUCGUAAUUAAGCAGACAAGAGAGAAAAAAAAGAAAGGGUAAUGCAAUAAUAGGCUAACGCUACGCAUUGUUAUUAAAUAGUACGUCAACGCGUACGGAUACAAGUAGUGCAAUAAGAAAAAAAUAGGGCCAUUUGACAUGCCCUAUCCAAGGGCAAGUUGCGUGCGGGUAUGUAAAAUAGGUAUUUUGAUCGUUAUUAGAGACCACAUGGGGAUUCCCUUGUACGUCAGACCGUCUUGCUUCCUUGGUACUUCUUUACUGCGAUGAGUCCAACGAUUAGACUGCCGGAAAGGGCUUCCAGAGAGCAAGGUCUUGAAAUAGAGAAAAUGAAAAAGGUAUACAGCCCCUGGGGCGGUUGAGCCGCAUUGUGGGACGUGCCGUAUUGGUGCCUCCGCCUAUGCCCAUGGUAUCUUGAGUGCGUAGUUAUGUACGCGUGGCACAGAUUUCGCCACUUGACUGGGACUAGGACGGAGGCCGAAUUGCUAGUCGAGCCUCAAACGUGCCUGCCGAUCCGCCUGCGGGGUACUCCGGACUCGCUUGAAGGUGUCCGGGGUCUUUUCUGCCGAAUUGUCAGCUUGCCUAAUAAGGCUGCUUUGCGCUUCUGCUGCGAGAGCCGCAGUGUGCUCCUCCGUGCGGAGCGAGCGCUCUGUGUUUCCAUUAACUGUUAUAACCCCGCGUGGUCCUGGCAUUUUGAGUUUGAGGUAUGCAUAAUAUGGUACCGCAUUGAAUUUGGCAAAUGCGGUUCGUCCGAGCAGUGUGUGAUAGCUGCCGCGAAAGGGGACGAUAUCGAAGAUUAACUCCUCGCUUCGAAAGUUGUCCGGAGACCCGAAGACCACUUCCAGUGUGAUUGAGCCCGUGCAACAUGCCUCUACACCUGGGAUUACCCCUUUAAAGGUGGUUUUUGUGGGUUUGAUCCUCGAGGGAUCUAUGCCCAUUUUGCGCACUGUAUCCUGAUAGAGCAGGUUCAGGCUGCUGCCACCUUCCAUAAGGACUCGAGUGAGGUGAAAUCCGUCGAUGAUGGGGUCAAGGACCAAUGCGGCAGAUCCGCCAUGACGGAUACUAGUGUGGUGGUCCCUGCGAUCAAAGGUCAUCGUCCUGGGAAUUUCUUCGUCAUCCGCAUCCCAUUCUAGCCGGACAUAGUUCGGCCAAGGUUCUCCUGACAAGGAGAGGGACCUUAAUGAUUUUAGCACAUCACCAAAAGGCGAGUACUGAAAGAUAUCCGCAGAGAUAAACACCAUGAUCGGUGCCCAAUCGGAUUCGAUAGGCACGGACGCAAGCGGCUCGGAGCCCGUGGCCGGGGACGAAUCCAACGGUUCGGCAACACGGCUCUCGUAGGAGGUGAAGUCAGUAUUCGGCUCUAUCGCCACUGAGAGUGUGGCCUCCGUGGCGGGGUCUAUCCACCCUUUCUCAGAUGGCGCAAUUUGUUUCGGAUUGAGGGCCGGAGUAGUUGCAGGUGUGAUCUCCCGAACACUGUUCGACGGCAGAGUUAAGUCAUGCUUGUCGUGAUUGUGCGGCGCACCUGACAUGGGCUCGAAUCCGUCAAAGAUCAAGUCUCCACGGAUGUCGGCAGUAUAGUUCAAGUUUCCAAACCUGACCUGAUGGCCAGGGGCGUAGCUCUCGAUCUGCUCCAGAUGGCCAAGCGAGUUGGCCCGCAGUACGAAGCCGCUGAAUAUGAAGAUUUGUCCGGGGAGGAAAACCUCAUCCUGGAGUGCAUCGUUGCCGAUGAUCGAAGGAGCCAUCAAGCCUUACGGUGACGGCACAGUGGAACUCUCAAUGAAAGCACCAAUGUCGGUGUCAAAACCGGCGGAUCUCGGGUAGGGGGUCCCGAAUUGUGCGUCUAAGGCGGAUGGUAACAGGAGGCGGGGGACACGAUGUUUACCCAGGUUCGGGCCCUCUCGAUGGAGGUAAUACCCUACUUCCUGCUUGAUUGAUCUUGAUGAUAUGAGUAUUACAAGAGUUGAUCUACCACGAGAUCGCAGAGGGUAAACCCUAGAAGCUAGCCUAUGGUAUGAUUGUUGUUGUCCUACGGACUAAACACUCCGGUUUAUAUAGACACCAGAGGGGGCUAGGGUUACACAAAGUGGGUUACAAGGGAGGAGAUCUACAUAUCCAUAUCGCCAAGCUUGCCUUCCACGCCAAGGAGAGUCCCAUCCGGACACGGGACGAAGUCUUCAAUCUUGUAUCUUCAUAGUCCAACAGUCCGGCUAAAGGAUAUAGUCCGGCUGUCCCAAGACCCCCUAAUCCAGGACUCCCUCACCCCCGUACUUCUCACGUGGGGGCAGAAACCGACGACUGGCCAACUCUCAGGAUUCAUAUAUAAAACGGCCGCGCAGGAGUAUAAACUUUUAUAUAACAGGAAAUAAAUAAUAUAAAUGACCUUGUUCAGACAUUACAAAGGACAACAUGAUUUGCAUUCAUGGAAAUAUAAUGUCCUUGUUGCAUAGCUCCGCUGCAAGGUAGGAUCCCUUCAAGACACUCUCAUAAUAUAAUUCGGGCUUGCGGUGCUCCUUCCCCUCUGGCGGCCCUUCGGUCAUCAGCUUUUCAGCAUCCAUCUUCCCCCAGUGCACCUUUGCGCGGGUGAAGGCCAUUCGCGCACCCUCUAUACAGACCGACCGCUUGAUGACAUCAAGUCGAGGGCAAGCACUCACAAGCCACUUCACGAGCCCGAAGUAGCUGCUCGCAAUCGGCUCGGCGGGCCAUAGCCGGAUAAUCAAAUCCUUCAUGGCUAGUUCCGCCGCCUUAUGCAGUUCGAUCAGCUGUUUCAGUUGAUCGACAAAAGGCACCGGAUAAUUCGGUGCCAAAUACUGCGACCAGAAGAGCUUAUCCGCAGUGUUCCUUUCUUCGGCUCGGUAGAAUUGGGCGGCAUCCGAUAUGCUGCAGGGCAUCUCCGCAAAUACCCCUAGAGAAACCCGAAUUCAAAAUUAGAAACAUAAUUUUCACCUCAAAUACUUGCUUUACAUGGAAAAAGCCUUACCCGCCGCAAUCUUCCUCACCUCUUGGAUCCCCUGCAGGGCACUUUGGGUUUCCCCCCGGGCAUCGCUCGUGGCCUGAUGCGCCUUGGUGAGUUCAGAUUCUUUCUCCGUUAAACUCUGCUCCAAGGUCUCGCAUUUCUUCACGGCCUCUUGUAGCUCCUGCUCAGCUUUAAUAACCCUGGCCUCGUACUUCUCACGAAGAGCCUGCUCUGUGGCUGCCUUUUUCUCGGCCUCGGCCACAACCUUCUUAUGGGCCUCGACUUCGGUCACCUUCCCUAGCGCAAAUCAUGAAGCCUAUUUCAUCAUACUGAAAAUUCAUUCGCAAUAAACGCGAACAAGACUUGUGCAUACCUUGUUUAUCUCCCAACUGCAUUUUCAACUGGCCAAGUUCUUCUUUAGCCCACUCCAGACUUUGAUUCAGUCCGGAGAUCUCUGUAGUAUGAGAGGCAGCAGCCGCUAUAGACGCAUGCUUAUAACAGAAGAGAAAUAGAUGUCAUUCAAUGAGUCUUGCUGAGAACAUAAAUUUGAUCCUCUGUCCGGCUUUUUAUUUCACCGAACAGUGUAUCAGGGGCUACUAUCCAUACCAUGACACUCUUCGAAACCUCAUACAACAUACCUCAAAACCUUUUAUAAGGCUGAUACAGGCUCCAUUCAGUCCACUCUCAGCAGACUGAAUCUUCUCAAUCACCGCACCCAUAAGGGCACGGUGUUCAUCGACGAUGGAGGCGCUCUUCAGUGCCACCUACAAAGCAUCCGACACCUCUGGUUGGACAGAGGUUGCCGGUAUGCCCCCUCCAGCUAAGAGAGGCUGCCUGCCUGAUUCUGGAGCCGUAUUGGUCUCCGGAACUGCAUCUGGCUGGGAGCCGAAUUCAAGAUGGCCCCCGCCGUCAGCUCCCAUGGGAAUUUUCUCCCCCAUGUGCCCGGCCCCUGAAGUUUGACCUCCAGGCGCCGCCUUCACGGUCUUCUCCUCUCCUCCUUGGCCGGGGUCCCUCUGGGACAAAGCCUCGGUGGUAUUCACCUAUUUGAAGGAAGGGGCCUUCGGGGGCGUCUCGCUCUCCAUAGCAUCCGAGCUCAGUGAAUCCUCUGAUGAGCAUUGUUCGGUACGGGACCUCGCCGGACUACAAAAAUAUGGCUCAGGUUAAAAUACUAUGCCAUGACGAGUCUUGACACAUAAACGUAUUCGGACUGUAUAUACUCAGGAGUUCACCAGGGGCUGGGCCCUGGGAUCCCACGCCGGGCCGCUGUCGGCGGCGGCAGUGGACUCCUCCGGAAGAGGAGCUUUUCCCCUUUUAGGCGACUCGGCCUCCAAGUGUGCGGAGGCCGUCCUCUUCUUUCUUCCCCACGCAGGGGAUUCAUCUUCCUCCUCCUCCUCGUCCUCUUCGGAGGCGGAACGGGCGUCAGAGCCUUUGGAUAUUGUGUCCGAAGUGCCGCGGGGACGAAGGCCGCCCCGGGUCUUUUUGGCCUCCUUCUCGGCCAUCUUCUUUGGCACCUUGUAAGGCGCCGGGACCAGCAUCUUCGUCAAAAGUGGGGCGGCCGGUUCUUCGGGCAGCGGGGCCGGACAAUGGAUCCGCUCCGCCUUCUUCGUCCAGCCCUAGGAGAGUUGUGGAAAACACAUUAAGCGCUUCCCUUGGGUUAUGCGGAUAAAAAGUACGAUGACUUACCGAACUUGCAGGGCGGGACAGUUGGUACCCGCGGUCUUCGGCGGAGUCCGGCCAUGAUUUGCUGGACUUGAAAAGCACCUUCCAGAUGUCCUUGUGCAAGGAGCCGAAAAGCUCUCGUAGGGUUUGGUGCUUGGCCGGAUCGAAUUCCCAUAGAUUGCAAGUCCGGUGUUGACAAGGCAGGAUCCGGCGAACUAGCAUCACCUGGACUACAUUGACAAGUUCAAUGUUCUUGUCUCCCAUAUCUUUAACGCGCGUCUGGAGCACCGAUAGUUUGUCGGAAGAGGACCAGUUCAGGCCCUUCUUGACCCAGGAUGUAAGCCGCAGGGGGGCACCGGAUCGAAACUCAGGAGUAGCGGCCCAUUCCGUGCCGCGCGGCUCGGUGAUGUAAAACCACUACUGUUGCCACUCCUUGACGGAAUCGUUAAAGGUGCCUGUUGACCAUAUGACGUUGGGCAUCUUGCUCACCAUAGCGCCCCCACACUCGGCGUGCUCGCCGCCCACUACCUUGGGCUUCACAUUAAAAAUCUUCAGCCAUAAGCCGAAGUGUGGCGAGAUGCGGAGAAAAGCCUCGCACACGAUAAUAAAUGUCGAGAUGUUGAGGAAGGAAUUAGGGGACAGAUCAUGAAGAUCGAUCCCAUAAUAAUACAUGAUGCCGCGAACGAACGGGUGGAGGGGAAACCCUAGCCCGCGGACGAAGUGAGGGAGGAAUACAAUCCUCUCGUGGGGUUCCAGAGUAGGGACGAUAUGUCCCGCCGUCGGGAGACGAUGGCUGAUUUUCUUGGCCAGAUACCCGGCCUCCCGAAGCUUUUUGAUAUCCUUCUCCCGGACGGUAGAGGCCAUCCAUUUGCCUCCUGCUCCGGAUCCGGACAUUUUCGGAAGGCCUUUGUGGGCAGAGAAUAUGAACGCUUGGGCGCUGGAGCUCGGGCGGAGGGGAAUGGAUCGGGAAGAAGAAAGCAUGGGUGCGGAAGGGAGUCCUUAUCCCCUUAUAAAGGCAGCAGGGAUUCUGCGCCUCCCCACUUGCCUGGUAAAACCGCUUAUUCCCCAAGCGCCAUAAUUGAUGGCGCGGUUGGGUUACCCACACCUGUAUUGAGAAUCCCAUGAAAAGAGGGACACGAUCUCUGCUUCGACAAGACGUGCCAACAAAACUGCCUCGCAACACGUGCAGUGGCAGGCGCCGAGAAACGGUUCGUCAUGACUAGACCACGGCAGAACGUCACGUUAAGAAAUGUGUCAGCAGAUUAGAUUUGUGGAAAUAUUAUUCUCUCUACGGUGGUAUGUGGAAUUUGUUUUGCAGAGCCGGACACUAUCCUUGUGUUCGGAAUCUUCUAUGGAGUAUUCAGAGGAGCACUACAAAAAAAUACACUUCCGUGAUGAUACGUGUUUGUCACAGUAGGUCGCGUUUUUUGUCAUGCAUGUACAUCCAUGACAAAUUUAUGACAGAAUCAAGAUAGUCAUACCUGUGCUGUCGUAGAAGUGUUCCAUGACAUUACCAAAAUUGUCAUCACGGAAAUGUCCACUUCCAUGACGAUAAAUCGCGCGUCACAUAAGUGCUUUCGUCAAGGGUGACCGACAUGUGGCAUCCACCAUAACGGAACGCUGUUAAGCUUUCGGGUCGGGUUUUGGAUCCGAUAACCCGUUAACAGCGCCGACCAAUGGGGAUUUUCCACGUGUAAAAUCAUCAUUGGCUGGAGGAAACACGUGUCGGCUCAUCGUUGGGACAGAUGUCAUCCACUCAUUGGACAGAAGGCGCCUAUGAUACGUCGACACGUGGCACGGCCCAAUAGAGGCCCAUUCCUGUGAAAAGGCCGGCCCAUUUGACUUGGUCAAAAGGUGGCAGGCCGGCCCGUGGAAAGCCUGUUAACGGCAUGUUCGCAUAUAGCCCAUUUACAGCCCGCUAACCCAAGGCCCGUUACGCCCUAUCCGAAUUAGGCCCAGUAGCGUCAUCUGGGCCAUCCAAUAUGAUUCCAGCCUGUUUUCACUUCUGGCCCAUGUAUGGCCCAUGACGUCUUUCGGCCCAUAUGAGGCCCUAUGUAACUCUUGGCCUAUUAACGGCCCGUGGUGAAACUGGCCUGUAAUGAACAGUGUAUCACUUUACACCCAUUAACGGCCCAUGGUGAAACUGGCCCGUAAUGAACGGUGUAUCACUUUAUACCCAUUAACGGCCCGUUAUUCUGUUGGGCCGUUUCCAGCCCAUGUUAUCUUUCGGCCUUCUCAGAGCCCAUUUAUUCUUGGGCUCAUUUCCAGCAUUCAUUUACUUACGGCCCGUUACUGUAAUUUUCUGCUUGUGGGCCAAAUUCAGCCCGUGGUUACAGUCGGCCCGUUUGUGGUCCGUUAAUACGUUGGGCCAUUUUCAUAGCGUCAUCAAAUACGGCCUAUUAACGAUGGCCCAUUAUGGUCGGCCCAUGAACGGACGAUUCCAACUCUAGCCCGUUUACGGCCAUAAUGCGGUCUGUUUGGCCCAUGUUUGGCCAAUCGAUCAUACGGCCCGUAUAAGGCCCAUUGAUGAUACGGCCCGCGAAAGGCCCAUUGUUUCUACGGCCCGUAGAAGGCCCAUUGUUUCUACGGCCCGUAGAAGGCCCACUGUUUCUACGGCCAGUAGGAGGCCCAGUGUCACUACAGUAAAUAUUAGCCCAUGGUUAUUGUGGCCUAGUUUUAAAAAAUAGGUUAUUGCAGCCACUAGCUAACCGUGGAAAAAGAACUGCAAUGACUACAAGCAAACAAAUAAACAAGACAACAAGGAAAUAAAUAAGCAAGCAACUAACGCUAGGCUAUCACGGCUAUUACACAUAUUACAUCCACUGGGCAUCAAAGUUCGCCACCAGUGCAAAUAUAGGGAACAAAGCAGCAUAUCAUAUACACUGGUUGUCAAAGUUGGCGACCAGCACAAAUAAACGCCGCAGCAAAACAAAUCCAGAACUGAAACCACUUCAGAAGAUCUCAAGAAACAAUAUCCUGGGUACCCAUAAUGCUGGCAAGAUGCUUAGCAAGCUUAUUAACUUUCUCUUGUUUGGCGCUUAAAUCCUCCAGCGCUUGCUGUUGCACCAGAAAAUAUGCAUCUGAAUUCUGCAGGGACUUCCUCAGUCCUUCAGCUUCCUGUCGUAGCACAUCUGAUCGAUGUCUUUCAACUUGAAGCUGAGACUCAAGAAGAUGAACUGAUUUUGGCAGCGAGUUCGAAGAGCUUGUGCCAGCAGUAGUGGCCAGUAACUCGAACACUACAUCAAGACAGGACUUCUGGGUUCCCUCACUGUCGUCAAGAUAGUUUUUAUCAGCUUUCUUGGAGACCAACAAGGAUGUCUCACUAUCUUGAACCUUAUCUGCAUUACUUCCUUUACCAUUGGAUAACGCGGUACUGUUCUCCAAUAUUUUGUCCGCAUUCUAAAAGAGAAACAAGCAGACACAUCACAUGUUUACCAUGUUGUAUAUGAAACUCAUUUUGGUAAAUGAGUUCAGUAGUAAAGUGGACAGGAUAACAAAAUGAAACAAACAUAUAUCUAUGUACCAUGGUCACUUUAUGGUCUAUAUCAUUCUAGUUUUUGUUGCCAAAUCAAGAUAGAGACACAGUUCAAAUAAUAUUUGUUCAAGACAAAGCAGA
Molecule: long non-coding RNA, 113306 nt
Filed under: Triticum aestivum (bread wheat)
Lineage: Eukaryota; Viridiplantae; Streptophyta; Magnoliopsida; Poales; Poaceae
Description: long non-coding RNA (TAES_LNC023799)
Source: RNAcentral